GAAAGGCAAGGCUUUAUGGGUUCAGUGGGGUUGAUCUCUGUGGGGUCCUGCCCAGUAGGAGCAUUAACAUGACCAACUUGAGUGCCCUUUUGCGGGAGUGGAGAGAUGCUGUAGAUGACGAAUCAAGAAAAUCUGGGAAGCCUCCGCUGCUGCUAGUAAUGGCUGUGUAUUGUCAACCCAUUUUUAACUCCGUGAGUUACCCACUUGACUCAAUUCAGAGAAAUUUGGACUGGGUUCACCUAAUUGCGUAUGAUUACCAUCUCCCCACCAAGGAAAGGUUUGCGCUCCCUCACGCAGCUUUAUUUGACCCAGCAAGCCAGAACAACACAGACUUCUGCAUCACCUCGUUGCUGACUAGAGGAUUUCCCGCAAGAAAGCUGGUUCUGGGCUUGCCCUACCAUGGCUAUGCUUGGCAGCUCGAGGAUUCGAGCGCCGAUGCCAUUGGCCAUCCAGCAGUGGGGCCUGCUGUGACGGCGGAUGGGUCAUUUGGAUACAGGGCUAUAAAAUCAUAUAUCCGAGAUUUCGGUUAUGGAGCCAGUUCUGUUUAUAAUGGUAAAUAUGUGGUGAAUUUUUUCAGAAAGGGAUCAGUAUGGAUCAAUUUCGAUGGUGUGGAGGCCAUCUGAGCUAAAGUAACUUAUGCCAAGGAAAAGGGGCUUCUUGGUUACAAUGUGUUUCAGGUCAACAAUGAUCAGAACUGGGCCCUUUCCCGAACAUGUUUGGAUCGAGAACCUCACAGGAAUUUCUGAAGGUUUUAAAAUAUUAUUGCAUUGAAAAUGUAGAACUAAAUGUAAUUUAAGGACUUAAUUGCCUUGUCAGCUCAAAAGGCCAGUGAAGAUCAGCAACACAGGCGAUGGUUCUGGCUAGUUAUGCUUAUUUCGAUUGCUAUAAUUUUUCUUCUUAUAUUUGGCCUGAUAUGCUACCUACAGAGGAGAACUUUGAAAUCAAAAGGUACGUUUUCUAAACUAUACUGGAGGAUUACUACUGUGGUAAUCAGGAACAUUGACUUAGGAAGAGUUAAAGUUCUAGAUACAAUUUUUUAAUUUUGGCUCUCGGGUAUUUCAGGUGUAAUAAGAGGAUUUAGUAGCCAAUUAAAGACUCUGGUGUGUAAAGGUGAAAGUCUUGAUAGUGGUUCUCCCUAUCUGCAAACAUUCAGUUAUGCUACCCUCAAAGCAGCAAAUGAUGACUUCUCAAGUGAAAAUAAGCUUGGAGAGGGUGCAUUAGGACCUGUUUGCAAGGUAAGAUAUAUGAGGCCAUACUUAAUGUAAUGAUUAUUAUUCUCUGUGUCAUUGCAAAUCCUAUGAAGUAUGUGUUGGGAGAACGAACCACGAUUGAGGGCCAGAUUUGGUUCUUUUGCUCUAUAACAUGCAUUUGUUGUUGUAUAAUGUGAGCAAGGAAAAUAGCUCACCCCCAAAUAUUUUUCUUAUUUCUUAUGCUCAAGAAUAUGUGGUCCUUCUCAUGUAUAGUCUGAUUUAUAAUUGAGAAAGUGAAGGUAAUGGGAACUUUUCGACCAAAAAAAAAAAAAAAACCGGUAAUGGGAAAUUGCUACCCUUACUAUGAGAGAGCAAAUCUUUUCAUAUGUUAAACAUAGGUAUGCCAGCUUUCUCUGUAGCAGCUGCCAGCUGGUUGGUUUAUACUUGUAAUUUCAAUCAUUUAGUUGGAAUGAGCUGGUGAGUAUAUCUUAUUGAAGCUACAUGCCUCUAAAAGUAGAAAGAACUGGCGUCACAGCACAACACAAUAAGCUUGAGAUAUUUAGUAAUGCAGCGUAGGUCUUCUUAAUUAUGGAUGCGAGCUUGUAAGUUUCAUCAUAGGAGGUUGGACUUGGAUGCCUUCUGCUCAAGUUUUGUUUUUCAUUUAUGUUCCAUGGGGUUAUGUGACAUAUGUCAUAGACAAAAGACUGGCUUCCAGCAUAAACAGUGAAAAGUUUUGUUGAGUCUACCAUGUUCAAGUGGAAGUCAGUUGCCCUGUUCUGACCAUCAGCAUAACUGUUGCUCAGGGCAAGUUGCCCAAAGGACAGUACAUUGCAGUGAAGAGACUUUCGAAAACUUCAAACCAAGGGCUCGAGGAGUUCAAGAACGAAGUUACGCUCACUGCCACCCUGCAACAUGUCAACCUCGUUCACCUUAUUGGAUUUUGUACCGACAGGGAAGAAAAGAUGCUGAUCUAUAAGUAUAUGCCAAAUAAGAGCUUGGACUUCUACCUAUUUGGUUCGACAUCUUUCAUGCUUCUUACGAUAGUCAUUGAGCAUAACCUGGGUUUUUUUAAGUGACAUCUAGUGUGAUUCUCCAAAAAGCUUAGAUGGGUCCCCAGUUCCGCUACAAGGGCUAGGGCAAGUAGACCCUUUUAAGCAUUUGGGGUACACAAUGGUAUGCAAUGCUCUACUUUCACUUCCGGUUCUGAUGGUCUUUAGGUUUUGAUGAUGCAGAUCCAAUAAGGCAAUAUUCGCUGGAUUGGGUGAAACGUGUUCAUACCAUAGAAGACAUUACACGGGCUUCUUUAUCUCUAAGAAUACUCGAAUUUCAUAAUAAUUCAUCAAGACUUGAAAGCCAGCAAUGUUCUGCUGGAUGAUGAAAUGAACCCCUAGAUAUCAGAUUUUGGUUUGGCAAGAAUAUUCAAGAAGGAUGACCUUGAGGCAAAUACCAGCCGAAUUGUUGGGACGUAGUAAGAGAGCUAACUAGGCCCUCCAAAUUUUUCCUCAUAGGUAUUCUCCUACUAAAAGUCUGCUGCUUAAAACCAAUUUUUGUUCUUGCAUACUGCGGGUAUGUUCUGCCAGAAUAUGUGAGGAAGGGCAUAUACUCGAUGAAGUACGACGUCUACAGCUUUGGGUACUGCUAUUGCAAAUCAUCAGUGGUAGAAGGACCUCAUGUUACUACGGCCUGAAUGAAAAUCUGAAUCUUCUUGAUUAUGUAAGUAGAAAUUAUUUGUGAUUCCAAAAUUUUCUGGACUCAAAUUUAGGAACAUGAAUUUUGACUUUUAACCAACUGGCGUUCUUUAAUUUCAGGCAUAUGAGCAGUGGAAAGACGAUAAAUGCAUGGAGUUCAUUGACCCGUCUCCGGAUGACUCUUCAUCAUCCUGCAAGCUCUUGAGAUGCAUGCACGUGGCUCUUCUAUCCGUGCAAGAGGAGCCUGGGGACAGACCCUCCAUGUUGGAAGUCUCUUCAAUGCUCAGGAAUGAAUCUUCAGCUGUGAAUUUCCCCAAUAAGCCUGCAUUUUCAAUUAAGGAGGAUGAACAUGACAAUGACAAGUGCUUGCUCAAGGAAGCAAUUCAUUCAGUCAAUGAUGCAUCAAUUUCUGAAUUGUUUCCUCGCUGAUUGUACAUUGCAUGUAUCCGAUGUUGUGAAUACUAAUACCAUAGAGAGAUUCUUUUGUUAGCUUAUUUGGUUGCCUAGUACUUUGUUUGUCCCAGUGGCAUUUUUUUCCUAAUUAAUUGUAAUAUUUUUUUUGACGUCCGUAAAUAUUUUUAUCAUUUAGAGGCAAUUCAAGUUAGGGAUGAUUGAUUCCUGAUUCAGUUCAAUUCCACCUAGGUACCGAGAACCGGACCAGAGAGACCGGUUUCUAGUUUCUAGAAUUGCAGACGGGACCAAACAGUCCAGUUCGGUUCUCGGACGGUGCAAUGAAAUCAGUUCGGCCUCCGGACGGUCCAAUGAAAGUGGUCGCUUGCUCUGUUUAUUCCUAGCCUUUGCUCGAUCACACCAUGAACUCGAGGCGUCGGUUCUCACAGUCGGCUUGAAAAGACUGAGUCAUGAGCAAAUCAGACCGCAAACCACACAAAUCCGGCAAUAUUCUUUCUUCUAUCUUAAUAUAGGUUGAAGUAAUCGGACGAUUCAGAGACUUUUGCCUGCACAGCACACAACUAGACCUAGAAUCCAGCAAGUCUCGUGAAAAUGAACGGUGAGAAACGGGAAACGUAAUUCAAAAAACGGCAAAAUAGAGAUCAUUGCCUUGAUGAGAAUCGAGAUGGAAGUAACGGAGCAAGAGAGGAGGCGAGAGUUGAGACGAUACUGCGAGAGGGAGGCAUCAAGCUCGACCGAAAGGGAUGCGACUUAGGCGAGAGAAGGCGGCGCUGCGCAGCCAUUUGAGAGUUGAGCGAGAGGGACAAGAGGGAAAGAGGCGAGGUUUGAGAAGCGAGAGAGAAAGAGGCAGAGGCAGCUAGGCACGACUAUGACUAACUCAGUCUGUAAGGGAAGGGCUGAAGAACGAGGUAUCUCGUAAGCUGCGUGAGCUAAGACGAGAUUAUUGAUUAGGGUUUAAGUUUACACUCUUAACUUUACGCUGCUAUUCUUUAAGAAAUUGAAAAAAAAAAAUUGAAAUAAAUAAAAAUAAACUGGCCAAGUCUAGGCGGUUUAGCUCCCACCAUGGAACCAGGAACCAAAUUGAAAAUCAUAGGUUUCAUAAAAUUGGAAUCAAGAACUGGACUAGCGUCACCUAGAAUUGCCUGAAAUUGGCCAAUUCGAUCCGAUUUGGGCUGCCCUAGUUUAGUCAGUCCAUCUUGCUCAAUCCUAGUUCAAGUGUUCCUUCUUUUGACUUGUACCCUAUUAAGGGAAAAAUACCAAAAAAAAAAUAUAAAUUUAUUAUACUUGUAUCCAUUUAGUUCUCAACAUUUUAAUUUGAUUAAUUUAAUUUUGAACAUUUUCACAUUGAUACUAAUUUAGUCUAUCCGGUUAAUUUAGGUUAAAAAUCAUUGAUGUGGACAUCAGUCAUUUUAUAUAGCACAAACAAUACUGACAUGAACUUUUUAAAAUAAUAUUUUUUACAAAUUUUUGAUUUUUUUUUUUUUAUAAAUUUUGUUUUCUUUAAUUUUGUAUCUAUUUUUUCAUUUUUUUCCUUUCAUUUUGGCCAAUGAGAGCCAACAAGCCCUCACUAGCCACUAGAUGGCUUAAAUUGGUUAAAAAUUAUUAACGUAAACGCCAACCAUUUUAUGUAGCACAACAGAUGCUAACAUGAACUUUUUUAUUUUAUUUUAUUUUAUUUUAAAUUUAGUCGGAAUGAGGUGACUCUGGAGAUGGAGUGGGUUCACGCCCCCAUUAAAAAGAGUUUUCGAAAGAUAAGUCAACUUACUAUUCUAGAGAAUACCACAUGCGGCCCAAGCAAUUGUUCACGUGACUAGUACAUCUAUUACUUAAAAUUAACUCGGGAUUGUCAGAUUUGGAGAACCCACAUGGGACCGACCCUUUUCAAUGAUCCAAACUAAAAUUAGAAUAUGAACUCACCCUCUUAAACUAAUUUCUCUUUGCAGCCCAUGUGUGUGUCUAUAUUUAUAUAAAGGUUCAAAUCACUUAGGUCUAUUGUGGCGACGGGGUGAGUGCGUGGAUUCAAGCCUGCAUGCCGGUAGAGCAGACUGUGCUCGGCUUCCCCUUCUACGGACGCAUUUUCCCUCGCAUAUGCCAACAACCAUAGCUACUUUGCGCCCGUCACUUGAGUUUUAAACAAUUCAAUUUUGCCACUUGAGUCUUAAACUUUUUUGCGUUUUAUCAAUUGAGUUCAUUAGCCAAUUUUCUUCCUAAAUCGCUAACGUGGAUAUUGACCAUUUUACAUGAUAUGAUCUGUGCUGAUGUAGAUAAUAUUAAUAAUUUUUUAAUCUUUUAUCAAAAAUUUUACUAAUUUUUCCCUUUUUCACUAUUAUUCUUUUCUCCUUCUUUUCUUUUCUUUUUUUCUACUUUUCUCUUCUUCUUUUUCCCUCCACCAGCAAUUGUUGAGCUAGCCAUCGAUGAGGUUGGAUGAAGGUCGACAAAGGGAAAAAGGGAAAGAGAAAAAUUAAAAAUAAAAUAAAAUAAAAAAAGAAGAAGAGAAAAGGGAAAAAUAAAAAAAAAAUCUCAAAAAUAUUAAAAUAUAAUUAAAAUUAUCCACGUUAGUGUCGACCGUGACAAGUAGGAUGGCUGACUUUCAUAUUAGCGAUUUCUAGUCAAAAUUGCCUAAAUAUACUAAAUUGGUAAAACGUGAAAAUAUUUAGAAUUUAGUUGAGAAAAUUGAAAGGGCCAAGAUUGAAUUAGCAAAAAUUAGAUAUGUUUAGGACAUUUUGGAUAAUUUUCCCUCAAUCAGGCAAUGGAAGUUUUCUAUUAUACAUUAUAUUUACCAAGUUUAGCCCUAACCCUAGCUACAUAUAGUAUAGUAAACCGAGCCAUCAUCUUUCAAAUGUCAUCUAAUCAAGUCCCUAACUCUAAAAAAGAAAAAAAAAAUCCUUAUGUGUUUACAUCAAAUUUACACUACAUGUUCAUCUAAAAUGGAACGAAAUUCUUUUUAGGGAUAUUGCAAUUCACCAUAAUUAAUAUCAGAAUGGACUUAGUCAUUUGAGGAACAAUAUUUUGUUUUUUUGUUUUUUUUUUCAAUGAAGUGCAAUAGCGUGAAGGAAAGGAAAUUCUAGCUAGGCUCUCUAUGUCCAAGGGAGAAUAAAUGGAUCUGGAUGUUGACUUUCUAAACAACACACAAACACACAACACACACACCCGCACCCACACACAUAAGUCAAGUCCGACGCCGUUUUAUUCAAUUUUAUAUUGAUCAGAUCAUCUUGCACGAAAAGGCAGUUUGCACUGGGAAAGCAAAAAAGUCUAUCCCGUCGUCAGAUGGUCAAACUAAUAUAUGUUUUCAAAGAUGUCAGAUAUAUGGUUCUACUUGGCGGUAUCCAUCCUUGGCUGUUUCCUCCCUGCAUGCUCUGACUAAAGAAAAAAGUCAAAACUUUUCCCGAUCAGUGGAUCAAAUUGAUCACAGUCUAAUUCUAAUCUCCUUCAAUUUUCAACCUGUUGUUGCAGCUUCAAGCUCGUGGUGACCUAUACGACCUCAGAGGAGACAUUAUUUACUUGUGUUAAUCGAAGUUUGGUCCAAUAAUGUGAAGGAUAGCAUCCCAUCUUACGGGAAAAUGUAUUCUUAGCGGAACUAAAGCAAGAUCCAAUAAUGUAAUGGAUUUAUAGAUUCUCUCUCUCAGACAUAAUUACGAGUUUGACAGUUGGCACAUAAACAUGUUAAGAAUGGAAAGAAAAAUAACGGAUUUCAAUAACCUAUAGAGAAAAAAGGAUUUGAAAGGACGGAGUCAGAAUGAUGUUGGGAUGCAAACAAGGGGAAAAGCAACGAAAAGAACGCAUAUAUAGAAAUAAGAUAUAAAAAAAUGUUGUUAGUGAAGAAGGAGGAGGAAUUUGUUUAUAUAAUGUACAAAAAUUUGAUGAGAUACAUGAGAAAUUUUAAUAAUCCCUACGAUCCAUUCUCUCAAUUCUGACGAGAUUGUGACUUUAGAAUCAUUUCUUUCCCUCUUAAUCCCUCCUAUUGAACUAUAUGUUUGACAUCGAGAAGCCCAACCUGUCUGUCCAAAUUGGCCCCCUAUUGAAAAUUGAACAUGUAAAUUUUCUUGUUAGGCAUGAGAUUGAAUAACAAGAUAGGCUCGAUCAUGAGUUGGAUGUGGUGAGACAGGACUUGUCUAUUUGGUCAAUCAUAUUCAUUGCCAAAAGGGAAAAAGACACAAGAAAUUAUAAACUAUACUCACUAUGAUUUAUUUAUCAAAAAUCUUUUUUAUGACAUAAAAAACCUCAAACUAUACUUAGUGUGAUAUAUUUACUAAAAAAAAUUUACGACAUAAAAGACUCUAAAUUUAUAUCUAGGUAACAUAUUUACCCCUAUGUCGAGAUUUUGUUAGGUGAUUUUCAGUCAAAACAACGUGGUUUCUAGUUAACAUAAAUUGCGCGGGCGCCAUGUUGACAUGUUUACUUCUUGACAUUAAUAUAGGCAAAUUUUUAAAUGAAAAAGUACCAAAAAAGUCUUAAACCUAUGGUAUUGGUACUAAAUCAGUCAUAAACAUUUUAAUUAGACUAAUUUAAUCAUAAACCUUUUUCACAUGGAUACCAAUUCAGUCAUUCUAACCAAUUUUGGCUAGCCGUACCUAACGUGGACGUUAGUUGAUUAGCACUAAUGUGGAUACUAGUCGAUUGAUGAAUAUUGAUGUAGCAAUUUUUAAUUUUUUAAUUAUUUUUUUCAAAUUUUUAAUUAUUUUUUCAUUUUCUUUUCCUUUUUCUUCCUAUUGGCCUUCUUCUCUUGUAGUGGCUGGCAAGCUUUCGGCGGCCUAAGCAGUGACACCGACAUGCGACACACGAUACGAUACAACAUGAUACAUUGACACGUUGUUUCUUAAAAAAUAGAAAGUUUCAACAUGUUGUACAUUAAAUAUAUAUUUAUAUAUACAUGAUAAAUUAUCAUUUUUAUUAUUAUUUUAAUCAAAUUAAUUUGAUUCAAAUGCAUAAAUAAAUAAAUAAUAACAAAAAGAGCCUAGAAUGAAUUUACACUAAAAAUAUUAAUCCACCAUUUGUUAAUUCAUUUUAAUUUGAAAAUUUCAAUUAUAUUCAAAUAAUCUAUAAAACUUGGAGGAAAAAAUAAGUAAUUCACAUUUUGGACUUGAGUGUUAGAGUAUGUCAGAAAAGAAGAGAAAAAAACUUGGAGGUGAAUUGUGUGUCACAAAAAGUGAGAGCCAGAAAAUAAAAGAAGACUUAAAUUGUUCUUGUUUCCCAUAUUAUUAUUAUUAUUAUUAUUAUUAUUAUUAUUAUUAUUAUUAUUAUUAUUAUUAUUAUUAUUAUUAUUAUUAUUAUUAUUAUUAUUAUUAUUAUUAUUAUUAUUAUUAUUAUUAUUAUUAUUAUUAUUAUUAUUAUUAUUAUUAUUAUUAUUAUUAUUAUUAUUAUUAUUAUUAUUAUUAUUAUUAUUAUUAUUAUUAUUAUUAUUAUUAUUAUUAUUAUUAUUAUUAUUAUUAUUAUUAUUAUUAUUAUUAUUAUUAUUAUUAUUAUUAUUAUUAUUAUUAUUAUUAUUAUUAUUAUUAUUAUUAUUAUUAUUAUUAUUAUUAUUAUUAUUAUUAUUAUUAUUAUUAUGUACAUAUUUACAUUUUCACCUUCAAUUUAUUGAAAAUUUUUAAAAUUGAUCCAUCGUGUGUUGGAAUUUUGAACUCGAACGUCAAAAUUUCGGACUUGAGUGUUGGCGAGUGUCAGAAGAAUUGAUUGUCAUAUUUUUUGAUAUGUAUUAAUUAAAUGUUGAAGAAUGUCAGAGAGUAUAGCAUACAUGUUGGAGUAUUUGACACCACACAAAGGGUCUUGAAAAGUAUUGGUAUUUCAUAAACGAUGGCUCGUUGGUCAGUGGGCUAGCCGUGAAGCCCUUGUUGUCAUGCCCCGAACCUUGAGCGCACGCACAUCCCUUGAUGGUCAACUAAAAACAAUUGCGACAUCCCAAGACGUGUCGCCGACCCCUUCAUUUUAAUCUUUCAUUAUGCGCAAACGGAAAAUGAAUUAUCUCCCCAUCAACAAACAAUCAAGCAAGAAAACAUGGAUAGUGAGAUGAACAACAGAAACACACAUCUACUCAGAUAUAUACAUUUUUUACAUUUUCAUAUUGGAUUAACCUACGGAGGAUCAUUUCCAAUUUACAAGCCCAACAAAGGGGCCGAUCCAUUCUCUAAGCCAAACCAAAAAUAAACUAGUCUAGGCUAACCCAACUAUACACAAAAAGAACCCUCGGGCUCGACACUCCAGUCACUUGGAUCCAUGAGACUCAGACUCCGUUGAUUCAGAGUUGGAGCCGUACGAGUCAGCUGCUGGUGAAGCGGGGCCAGGAUUCUCCACUGCACCGUUAGGAGAGUCCAGCUCCAUGGGAUCCCAGUCAGCAUCCCCAAGGCUCCUACCAGGUGGCCUGUCAAAACCUUGUAGAGGACUAAUCAACAUAUCUCCAUUCCGAAUGAACCAUGCCAAGAACCUGUGGGGUAUCCAUUGCCCUGGUCCCUCAUCCACCCAAAUGGUGGUGAUAUACUUCUCAUACAGAUAUGCCUGACCCAGGAAGCGGUGGUGUGUCACAAUAGUAUCCCAGUCCUUAGGGAUACCGAAACUCAUUGGCGGAAGUGUCAUUUUAAGGACCUGAAAGUAGUUAUACAAUGAUCAGUGAGAUAUAAAUCUCAGUGAGUCCUCCCCUAAGCCCCCGAUUAGAACACUAACUCAACUCGGGGUAUCUCUUUAGAACCACCCCACAAACUUACCAUGACUAAUAACCAACAAUCAACAAAUCACAACAGCCAGGGUCAACCACUAACUACAUAGUUGGUUUGCAUGCAACAUUACCUGGUAUGCCAUACGCUGCACGUUACAUAUUAGCACAAUACACGCAAUGCACAUGGCUAUUAGAUGAUGCAGUUCAUCAAUUACAUACGAGUUGCAUUGCAAGCGAUCUCACCUAGCCAUUGCCACACUCUACACGUUAUUGAUUCAUGAGUGCAUGCCAUAAAUAAUGUGCUCAACUCAUGCAUAGUGAAAACUAAUGAUGCCAUGAUUCACUUAUGCUCUUGCAUUUUAGUGCGCCAUCUAUCAUGCAUCACUCACCUAUCAUACCACGCCACACAAUUUUACCCCAUAAUAAGGCCCAAUCAACUCAACACUCACACAUGCUCUAGUUACUAAUGACCUACUGGCCAUAUCUAACUUUCCAAUUAGUGCUCAUCCACCUAAAUACUUGUGACAUCCUGAAAUUUGACCCCAUUUCAAUAAAGUGAAAUGAGCAUGUCGUCAAUGUGCCUAUGGUCCUUUUUUUCUGAGCUGAUCACUCACGAGUUAACUAACCUAUUGAGUGAAGUCAUUAAGGGAUGUAUCUGCAGUAAAAUCCCUAAAAGCUACUCAAUUGGUUGGAUUGGACUAAAAUCACGUUUGAUUGAUUCUAACCAUGAAAUUUAAUUUGGUUUCGGGAAUCGAAUAUUCGAGUGUGUCACAAUUCAUUUUUAGGGUCCUGUCUCAUCGUCCGUCAAAUUUUUGACGAGUCCGAAAUUUCAAUAAAGAAAUUAUCGGAGGAAAAAUUGAAGACCGAAAGAAAAUAGAAAGGGAAAGAGAAAAUAAAUAAAAUAAGAUUUAGGGUAUUAUUUUAUUUUUUCCCUCUCCCUCUCUCUUCUUUCUCUCUCUCUCUCUUCUCUCUCCUCUCUCUUCUCUCCCCUCCCCCCUUCGUGCGAGCAUCCCCACCGACUGCCCCUCUUGCUGUCUUCCACUUUGUCUUCUCUCUUUCUUUUUCAUUUUGACCAGUCAAACUCUCUCUCUCUCUCUCUCUCUCUCUCUCUCUCUCUCUCUCUCUCUCUCUCUCUCUCUCUCUCUCUCUCUCUCUCUCUAUCUCUCUCUCGACUCACUCUCUCUCCUUCUCCCCUCCGCACAUUCGAGCGAGCGAACCAGAAGCCGAAGAAGAGCAGAAGCUGUAGCUCGCCAUUGCCGCCCGUCUCGCCGCCCGCAUUGCACGCCCGUGCGACGCCGCGCACCUUGCCGCCUCCUGGUUGCGCUUGCCGUCCUCACCGGGCGCCGUCCAGCCCCGUUUGGCCUCUGCUUCGCCUCUGCCCAGCUCGACCAGCCGCCUCUGGCCACCGCCCAGCUUCGUUCGGCCACCGCCCGGCCUCCUCGGUGUCCCCCUUGCCCUCCUCCGGCCUUCCUCCCCCUUUUCAGCCCCGGAGCAGCUUCGUUUGGCCACGAGCAAUGGCUGGAAAAGUAGGUUUCCAGUCUUGUUCAAGGCCCGUUUUGGGCCGUUUCCGGGCGCCGAACCCGAGCCGUGCUUUGGGAAGAAUCGACCCUCGUGUUGUCCCCAUCAGAUUGGUCCGUUUUGCGCUAAAAUCCGGUGAGUAAUCUCACUAAUCCCUGAUUAGUUGGCUAAUUAUGCUUAAGGGUGGUUUAAUUUUAAUUAAUUAGGUUUAGGUGGUUAGAUUAGUAUGGAUUAGUGUUUAUUAGUCAAUUGUGAUGCGAAUUAGAUAAAUUGAAUAUGUAUUUAGCAAGUAGACAUGGUCUACUAUUUAUUGAGGGUAGCCUGGGAUUUUUCCCGACCCUAAUCGGGCUUCAAUUAGGCUUUUCGGGCCUAAGUGGAAUUUUUGGUAUUUAAAUAUUAAUUUUCGGAAUUAAAUUAAAUAAUUAUUUAUUUUCCAAAAAUUCAAUUGAGAUGGUUAGUGACCGGGAUAUUAUGCUGGUGACCGUGGUGAAGUCCGUUUAUUUAAUCGGGCUCUAUUUUGAGCUAAAUUGAAUUUUUAAUAUUUAUUAAUUAAAAUUUGAAAUUAAUUAAUUAAUUAAUUAUUUAUUUUUCGGAAAUUAAGAUUGAGAUAGCCGACGACCGAAAUCUCGUGCUGAUUGUCGUGGCGUAGUCUGUUUAUUUAUUUGAGCUCUACGUUGCAUGGAAUUAAAUAAAUUGUGAUGUUUUAGGGAUUUACCCUAAUUUGAUUUGAAAUUGAUUGAGAUUGAAUGAUUAAUUGGUAGAUGGCCAAGUAUGUUUAUUUAGCAUUUAUAAUGCUUUGAUGAGUUGUAAAGUGGAUGGAAUCAUGAGAGUGAACUGGAAAUACUCUGGGCUAUAACUGAUCAGACACGGUGUACGGGCCUAAGUGGUUCGGUGACUAAGGAUGUCACUGGCGAAAACGGCGCCUUAAAGAAUGCACGUACCAGUCUAGUACAUAUCCCAUCAUGGGCAUAUGUGGUUCGGUGAUUUUGGAUAUCACUGGUGAAAACGGCGCCUUAAAGAACGCACGUAGCUGUCUAUUGAAUACAUGAUUAUAGGCAUGUGUGGUUUGGUGAUUUAGGAUAUCACUGGCGAAAACGGCGCCUUAAAGAACGCAAGCAAUUGUUUAGUGGAUACGUCACUUUUGCGAACUUGACGCUGGAGAGCAUUGAUGUGGCUCUGUGACCGAAUGCCGAAGGGAGGUUAUAUGGAGUGGAAUUAAUGACCUAGAAUGAUUCGUUUGACAUGUAAUCGACUGGUUCGAUUUGUUUGGAGUAAAUGGGUGCCUAUUGUGAAUUGUGCUGAUUUGCAGGUGGGAUCUGAGGCCAAGGUAAGUCCUCUACCCUGUGCAUGUUUAGGCAGCCUAUAGUAUAAUAGUUUACUAAUCGGGCUUUAGUGGGGUAGAACUCGCUGAGAUGUAGUCUCAUCCCGGUUUGGGGAAAACAUUUCAGGACCUCGCUAAGGAGCUGAGGAGGAGGAAUCUGAGGUGGAGAACUCUGGGGUGAAACCCGAGGAGAAGAAUUUUGGAAGAAGAAGAUAAUCCUGAGAGGGAUCUUAAGUAUGCCCUGGAUGUGCUGAGAUUCUAUCUUCUUUUGAGAUCUCCAUUUUGAUGUGAAUAUAGAUAGAGUAAAAAGUUGUGAAGUACUCUGGUUUGUAUUUUGUAUAAAAGUAUGGUUAUAAGUUUCAAUAUGAAAAAUAUGGCCAUACUUUUUUAUCCCAUCGAUUUAUUGUCUGGGGAUUUAUAACUGCUUCCGCAUGUGCUUAAUAAAUGAAAGGGUCGGUGAUACAUAGUCUUGGGAUAUCGCAUUAUAAAAUCGACCAACAGAGAAGGAUGUGUGCGUGCCCGAGGAUCGGGGCGUGACAUCCCAUUUUUGUCGUAUUAGAGCGAAGUUCAAGAUUGGAGUGAUAAGGAGCGUUGAUCAUGGGAUAGUUAGUAGGAAAAGCCUUUAAAUUCUUGCUGGUGCAUGUCUGUGUUAGCUGAGUGCUAAAAUUGUUUGUUGUUUGGAUUGCUCUGUUUCUAAUUCGGUGUUGAAUUGGAAACAGGUGUUAGUUGAGUAAAGCUACACCAUGAGCAAUCAGGAGCCGAGAACUCCUGCAAAGAGGACCAGUAGGGCCCUUAUUCGGGGUAGAGCUCUGACUUGUGUUGGAACACGAGGCGGACGUGGUCGAGCGCCAGCAUAGGCUAGCGAGAGUGGAAUGAUUCCACAUGUCGUAGCUGUUGGGGUAGUAGCCCCUAAUGAUCCUAGGGUGGAUGGGAUCUUGCGUGUUCUGGAAGCGAUGGGUACUAGAAUGGAUCAGCAAGCCGCUACUGUUGAAGCUGCUGCUCAGGCCGCCGCAACUGCUGCUGCUGCCGCCGCCACCGGAGUUACCCCUGUUGCUGCACCUACAAUCGCACCUGCUGUUGCUCCAGCCGCCGUGAAUGUAGAAGGUCCACCGGAGAUAGUGGUCGCUACAAGACCAAUUCAUAAGUUGGUGGAGCAUUUCCUAAGGUUAAAUCUGUUGUUGUUCACCGGGUUUGGAGAUCCUGAAGCUGCUUCUUCAUGGGUUCAGAAGCUCGAGAAGGCGUUUGCACUGCUGAUGUGCAAUGAGGCUGAGAAGGUAAUGUUAGCAACUUACCAGCUGGAGGGAGUUGCGGACACUUGGUGGAUGACUACUCGUGAAAUGAUCUUUCCAGAAGGCGCUGUUCAGGACUGGAACACUUUCCGUGAAGCCUUCAAUGAUAAGUUUUUCUCUGAGACUGCUAGAGAGGUGAAGAUGGCCGAAUUUCAACGUAUUCGCUAGGGUUCCCUAUCUGUUGAUGAGUAUGAGGCGAAGUUCAAUGAUUUUUCGCGAUAUGCCCUCGAGUUAAUUGAGAAUCCUGUGAAUCGAGCGAGGAGGUUUAGAGAUGGAUUCAGACAGGAUUUGAGAAAUGCCUUAGUCCUUCUGGAUCUGAAGACUUAUAAUGACAUAUAUCGGAGAGCUCAGAAGAUUGAGAAAUAUCAGAACGAUAAAGCUGCCUCAUCUGGAUCGAGGUUUAGCUCUCAUAGAGAUAACAUCCGCCAAGGAAAGAGGCCGAUGUUUGGAAAUAGAUUCCAAGGCCCGCCCAACAAGAAAAGUGGAUUUAAUGAGCCGGUACCCAGUAGUGUUGGUGUGUGUCGCUUCUGUGGGAGAAGACGCGGGACAGGACCGUGCCCAGCUAGGACGGGUGCAUGUUUCGAAUGUGGCCAAUAGGGCCACAUAGCCAGAUAUUGUCCAAAGAAGCGAAGAGGACAACCUCAGUUGCCGCCACCGCCACCGAUGAGAUAGAUAGGAGGGUAUGCCUCUCAGAAUGCACCGCAAUGAGGACAGCAGAGACCUCCAGUUCAGGGCACUGUGUACGCGAUUACCUAAGGUCAGGCAGAAGCUGCGCCUGGGGUGAUCACAGGUACGGUCUCGCUCAACGAUCAACCUGCUUAUACUUUUUGAUUCGGGAGCAACCCAUUCCUUCAUUGCCGAGCAAUAUGUUAGGAUGCUAGGGUUGAGUCAUGUAUUGUUGGAGUCGGCAAUUUGGAUAUCUACACCCUUGAAAGAUAAAGUUAUUGCUGCUUUGGGAUGUUUGGGGUGCAAGUUAGAGAUUGGUGAGCGAGUGGGGAAAAUUGACUUGUUAGUCCUAGCCAUGUAUGAUUUUGAUUUGAUAAUUGGCAUGGAUUGGCUCACCAAGCAACGAGCUAAAGUGGACUGCUAUCGCAAGGCGAUUCAGUUUGACCCGUUAGGAGGUAAGAGCUUCAAGUUCGUCAGGAAUCGAGGAGGACCUUCGAUUUCCCUAAUUUCGUCGCCGGAAGCAGCUCGUCUAUUAGACGAGGGUUGCCGAGGGUACUUAGUGACUGUCGUGGAUACGACAGUUGAAGAGUUGAAAAUGGAAGAUAUUUCAGUAGUAUAGGAGUUUCCAGAUGUCUUUCCAAAAGAAUUGCCAGGGUUACCGCCAAAAAGAGAGAUUGAAUUUGUAAUUGAGCUAGCACUAGGGACAGAACCGAUCUCAAAGGCACCUCAUCGAAUGGCGUUAUCUAAGUUGAAGGAACUGAAGGUGCAGAUACAAGAAUUACUGGAUAAAUGAUUUAUUCGUCCUAGUGCAUCACCUUGGGGAGCACCAGUUCUAUUUGUUAAGAAGAAAGAUGGUUCGUUGCGUUUGUGCAUGGACUAUCAGCAGCUCAAUCAGGUAACGAUCAAGAACAAAUAUCUAUUGCCGAGGAUAGAUGACUUGUUUGAUCAACUGCAAGGAGCGUCAAUAUUCUCAAAGAUCGACUUGAGGACAGGAUAUCAUCAGCUGAGGAUUAGGAAGGAGGAUAUUCCUAAGUCGGCAUUUCGUACCCGGUAUGGUCAUUACGAGUUUACAGUGAUGCCGUUUGGGUUGACAAAUGCUCCAGCUGCCUUUAUGGAUUUGAUGAACAUAGUGUUCAAGGAAUAUCUGGAUCAGUUUGUGAUUGUGUUCAUUGAUGACAUCUUCGUCUAUUCGAAAAGUGAUGAAGAACAUGAGAAUCAUCUGAGAUUAGUGCUUCAGACCUUAAGAACUCAUCAGUUGAAUGCUAAGUUUAGCAAAUGUGAGUUUUGGCUGACUCGUGUUGCGUUCUUAGGUCAUGUGAUUUCCAGAGAAGGAAUCUCUGUCGACCCGAGCAAGAUAGAAGCCAUGAUCAAGUGGCUGAGACCGACAAUAGUGACAGAGAUCAGAAGUUUUCUGGGGUUAGCAGGUUAUUACAGACGGUUUGUGGAAGGGUUCUCAUCAAUAACGUCGCCUCUAACUAAACUCACGAAGAAAGAAUAGAAAUUUGUAUGGUCAGACAAGUGCGAGUGUAGUUUCCAAGAGCUGAAGGAAAAGCUGACUACUGCAUAUGUGCUGACGAUUCCAUCUGGUCCUGGAGGAUUCGAGAUCUAUAGUGAUGCGUCAUUCAGGGGAUUGGGUUGCGUGCUGAUGCAACAUGGCAGAGUUGUUGCAUACGCUUCCCGGCAGUUGAGACCUCAUGAAUUGAAUUAUCCGACGCAUGACUUAGAACUCGUAGCCAUCAUAUUUGCGUUGAAGAUUUGGAGGCACUACUUCUGCGGGGAAAAGUUUCAGAUCUUCACGGACCAUCAGAGUCUCAAGUAUUUGUUCUCUCAGAAGGAGUUGAACAUGAGAUAGCGCCGAUGGAUGGAAUUGCUGAAGGAUUACGACUGUGAUAUUCUAUAUCACUCGGGAAAGGUGAACAAGGUCGCCGAUGCAUUGAGUCGGAAGUCUUCAAUAGCGCAAAUCUUGGUUAAGAAGUGGAACUUAAUCGAGAGAGCUCGGGAUUCGGAAUUCAAAUUUGAGGUAGGCCACCUUUCAAGUUUUAUGGCCACCCUUAGAAUCAAACCGGAUGUCCAGGUCAGAAUCAAAGAACUCCAACCGACAGAUCCAGAUGUACAGAAAAUUCUUCAAGAGGAUACCGAUAAAAGAAAGGCCGAUUUUCAAGUUUCUAAUGAUGGGGUAUUAAGGCUCCGUGGACGUUUGGUUGUACGUGCCGAUGUAGAGCUUAGAGAAAAUUUUUUAUUUGAAGCACAUCGUAGCAACUACAACAUUUAUCCUGGAAGUACCAAGAUGUAUCAGAAUUUGCGUCAACACUAUUGGUGGUCAGGUAUGAAGGAGGACAUUGCCAAGCAUGUGGCCAAAUGUUUGACUUGUCAGCAAGAAAAAGCCCAGCAUUGCAAGCCGGGAGGACUUCUGCAACCUCUUGCGAUCCCAGAGUGGAAAUGGGAGCAUAUCACGAUGGAUUUUGUGACUGAACUACCAAGGAGUCAGAGGGGUAAUGAUUCGAUUUGGGUAGUAGUCGACAGGCUGACAAAGUCGGCUCACUUCAUUGUAGUUCAAAAGGACCUCAGUCUUGAUAGGCAGGCAGACUUGUAUGUGCGUCAGGUGAUUCGUAUGCAUUGAGUGCCGGUUACGAUAACAUCCGAUAGAGACCUAAGGUUUACCGCUGCUUUUUGGAAGAGCUUGCAGAGUGCUUUAGUUACAAAGCUUCAGUAUAGUACAGCAUAUCAUCCUCAUACGGAUGGCCAGUCUGAAAGGACAAUUCAGACUCUUGAAGACAUGUUGAGAAGAUCAGCUUCAUCUGGUGGAAUUCGCCUACAACAACAGUUAUCAGCAGAGCAUCAAGAUGGCUCAUUUUGAAGCGUUGUAUGGCAGAGCGUGCAGAACUCCAGUAUGUUGGGAUGAAGUCGGAAAGAGGAAGAUAACAGGCCCAGAGUUGGUCCAGUAAUCAGUAGAUGCCGUGGCAGUGAUCAGAGACAGAUUAAAGAUCGCGCAGGGCAGGCAUAAAAGUUAUGCAGACAAGCGUCGAAGGUCUUUGGAAUUCCAAGUUGGUGAUCACGUUUUACUAAAAGUGUCACUAAUGAGGGGAACUUCGCGCUUUAGUAAGAAAGGCAAGCUGAGUCCGAGGUACGUAGGUCCGUUUGAGAUUCUUGAAAGAAUCGGAAACCUAGCGUAUCGUCUUGCAUUGCCGCCAAGAUUGGCGCAAGUGCAUGACGUCUUUCACGUGUCGAUGUUAAGGAAGUAUGAGCCUGACCCGACCUACGUACUCAAUUUUGAGGAAUUGGACGUGGAUGAUCGUGUGUCAUACGUUAAAAGCCCAGUCCAGAUUAUCGAUCGUAAAGAGCAAGUUCUGCGUACAAAGACCAUUCCGUUGGUCAAAGUGGUCUAGCAACACCAUGGUACUAAAGGAGCGACUUGGGAGACUAAAGAGUCAAUGAGACAAUUGUACCCCCACCUUUUUGAGCAAAGUGUGUAAUGAUUUAAAUUUCGAGGACGAAAUUUUUAUAAGAGGGGAGGAGUUGUGACAUCUUGAAAUUCGACCCCGUUUCAAUAAAGUGAAAUGGGCACGUCGUCAACGUGCCUAUGGUCCUUUUUCUCUGAGCUGAUCACUCACGAGUUAACAAACCUAUUGAGUGAAAUCAUUAAGUGAUGUAUCUGCAAUAAAAUCUCUAAAAGCUACUUAAUUGGUUGGAUUUGACUAAAAUCGCGUUUGAUUGAUUCUGACCAUGAAAUUUAAUUUGGUUUCGGGAAUCGAAUAUUCGAGUGUGUCACAAUUCAUUUUUAGGAUAUUGUCUCAUUGUCCGUCAAAUUAUUGACGAGUCCGAAAUUUCAAUAAAGAAAUUAUCGGAGGAAAAAUUAAAGACCGAAAGAAAAUAGAAAGGGAAAGAGAAAAGAAAUAAAAUAAGAUUUAGGGUAUUAUUUUAUUUUUUCCCUCUCCCUCUCUCUUCUCUCUCCUCUCUUCUCUCCCCUCCCCCCUUUGUGCGAGCAUCCCCACCGACUGCCCCUCCUGCUAUCUUCCACUUUGUCUUCUCUCUUUCUUUUUCAUUUUGACCAGUCAAACUCUCUCUCUCCUCUUCUCUCUCUCUCUCUCUCUCUCCUUCUCCCCUCUGCACAUUCGAGCGAGCGAACUAGAAGCCGAAGAAGAGCAGAAGCUGCAGCUCGCUGUCGCCGCCCAUCCCGCCGCGCGCACCACACGCCUGCGCAACGCCGCGCACCCCGCUGCCUCCUGCUCACGCCUGCCGUCCUCGCUGCGCCGUCCAACCCCGUUCGGCCUCUGCUCCGCCUCUGCCUAGCCCAACCAGCCGCCUUUGGCCACCGCCCAACUUCGUCCGGCCACCGCCCGGCCUCCCCGGUGUCCCCCUUGCCCUCCUCCGGCCUUGCUCCGCCUUUUCAGCCCCCGGAGCAGCUUCGUUUGGCCACGUGCAGUGGCUAGAAAAAUGGGUUUCCAAUCUUGUUCAAGGCCCGUUUUGGGCUGUUUCCGGGCCCCAAACCCGAGCCGUGCUUUGGGAAGAAUCGACCCUCGUGUCGUCCCCGUCAGAUUGGUCCGUUUUGCGCUAAAAUCCGGUGAGUAAUCUCACUAAUCCCUGAUUAGUUGGCUAAUUAUGCUUAAGGGUGGUUUAGUUUUAAUUAAUUAGGUUUAGGUGGUUAGAUUAGUAUGGAUUAGUGUUUAUUAGUCAAUUGUGAUGCGAAUUAGAUAAAUUGAAUGUGUAUUUAGCAAGUAGACAUGGUCUACUAUUUAUUGAGGGUAGCCCGGGAUUUUUCCCGACCCUAAUCGGGCUUCAAUUAGGCUUUUCGGGUCUAAGUGGAAUUUUUGGUAUUUAAAUAUUAAUUUUCGGAAUUAAAAUUAAAUAAUUAUUUAUUUUCCAAAAAUUCAAUUGAGAUGGUUAGUGACCGGGAUAUUAUGCUGAUGACCGUGGUGAAGUUCGUUUAUUUAAUCGGGCUUUAUUUUGAGCUAAAUUGAAUUUUUAAUAUUUAUUAAUUAAAUUUCGAAAUUAAUUAAUUAAUUAAUUAUUUUUCGGAAAUAAAGAUUGAGAUGGCCGACGAACAAAAUCUCGUACUGAUUGUCAUGGCGCAGUCCAUUUAUUUAUUUGAGCUAUACAUUGCAUGGAAUUAAAUAAAUUGUGAUGUUUUAGGGAUUUACCCUAAUUUGAUUUGGAAUUGAUUGAGAUUGAAUGAUUGAUUGGUAGAUGGCCGAGUAUGUUUAUUUAGCAUUUAUAAUGCUUUGAUGAGUUGUAAAGUGGAUGGAAUCAUGAGAGUGGACUGGAAAUACUCUAGGCUAUAACUGAUCAGACACGAUGUACGGGCCUACGUGGUUUGGUGACUAAGGAUGUCACUGGCGAAAACGGUGCCUUAAAGAAUGCACGUACCGGUCUAGUACAUAUCCCAUCAUGGACAUACGUGGUUCGGUGAUUUGGGAUAUCACUGGCAAAAACGGCGCCUUAAAGAACGCACGUAGUUGUCUAUUGAAUACAUGAUUAUAGGCACGUGUGGUUCGGUGAUUUGGGAUAUCACUAGCGAAAACGGCGCCUUAAAGAACGCACACAAUUGUCUAUUGAACACAUCGUUGUAGGCAUGUGUGGUUCGGUGAUUUGGGAUAUUACUGGCGAAAACGGUGCCUUAAAGAACGCACGCAAUUAUCUAGUGGAUACGUCACUUUGGCGAACUUAACGCCCGAGAGCAUUGAUGUGGCUCUGUGACCGAAUGCUGAAGGGAGGUUAUAUGGAGUGAGAUCAAUGACCUAGAAUGGUCCGUUUGACAUGUAAUCGACUGGUUCGAUUUGUUUGGAGUAAAUGGGUGCCUAUUGUGAAUUGUGCUGAUUUGCAGGUGGGAUCUGAGGCCAAGGUAAGUCCUCUACCUUGUGCGUAUUUAGGCAGCCUAUAGUAUAAUAGUUUACUAAUCGGGCCUUAGUGGGGUAGAACUCGCUGAGACGUAGUCUCAUCCCGGUUUGGGGAAAACAUUUCAGGACCCCGCUGAGGAGCUGAGGAGGAGGAAUCUGAGGAGGAGAACUCUGGGGUGAAACCCAAGGAGAAGAAUUUUGGAAGAAGAAGAUAAUCCUGAGAGGGAUCUUAAGUACGCCCUGGAUGUGCUGAGAUUCUAUCUUCUUUUGAAAUCUCCAUUUUGAUGUGAAUAGAGAUAGAGUAAAAAGUUGUGAAGUACUAUGGUUUGUGUUUUGUAUAAAAGUAUGGUUAUAAGUUUCAAAAUGAAAAAUAUGGUCCUACUUUUCUAUCCCAUCGAUUUACUGUCUGGGGAUUUAUAACUGCUUCCGCAUGUGCUUAAUAAAUGAAAGGGUCGGCAAUACAUAGUCCUGGAAUAUCGCAUUAUAAAAUCGACCAACAGAGAAGGAUGUGUGCGUGCCCGAGGAUCGGGGCGUGACAAUACUCAUGCGUGCUCCAAAUAAUAAUGACCUCCUGACUAUAGCUAACUUUCCAGUCAGCGAUCAUCCAGAACUCCCGCCGGGCUACCGAUAAGAAGAUCGGGCUUUAUCCUGUCCCAUCAGGCACGGCUACAUCCAGAACUCCCAUUUCGACGGUUUCCCAGAAAGGGACAUCGGUCCAGAGUCUACUGCGACCGGCUUCCAACUCCUGCCAGGUAUCGCCCCCAAACUCCCAUCGGGUGACGAUUCAAUUUCUUUUCACGCAAACUCACUAUUAAGACUCGCUUCUUAUUUAUGAGCAUUUAACCAAUGCACAAUGUUUGCAAAUACAAUUUCAAAUCAUUUUUCCCUAAAGGCGGUCCAUUCUAGUGUCCCUCGGACAAAGCCUAUUUCCCUUUUUUGUGAAAUUCACGCAAUUCAUGCAGAUACUCAUGCAAUUAUACACUCAAAUCACCUCAUAGGAUUAAAAUACAUGAAAUUAGGCAUUUUUUAAUUUUCGGGUGAAUAGUGUUUCGUGAACAGUAUCGUGAACAGUAAAAUUCCAGAAUUUAAUAACUAAUAAAUUAAAUCCAAAAAUCAUUAACAAUAAUUAAAUUUAACAACCAAUAAAUUAAAGCUAAACAAGCCUAAUUAAGCACAUAAACCACAUUUAAGCCAAUAAAGUAAGAUUAAAAUAAACUAAUCUUAUCCACUAACCUAACCACCCAUCUUAGGACUAAUAUAGCUUAAUUAAAUCUCCUAAACUAGAAUCAACACUAAUUAAACCAACCUUAAGCAAGUUUAGGCACUAAUCAAGAGAUUAUGAGCUAAACUCACCUAUUAAGCGGGCUGGAGAUACGGACGCGGAAACGAUGACGGUGGCUACGCAUUGGGACCUCUACCACGACAAUCCAAGAUGUUUCUAGGGCUAGAACAGCAGCCACAGCCUCCGCUUCCCUUUGAAACUUUGAAAAACAACACUAUCGGUGGAGAAACGGAGAUGGGCGGUUGAUCAGAGCUCUGACGAGGGGUCGGUCAGCAACCAGCAGCACCUAGGGGUCAAGGGGGACUUGCUGGUGGCUGGGCUAGGUGAAAGCUUGGUUGAAAUAGGAGAAAACGGGCUGGAAUCGCGAAACAGGCCAGGCGAACUCUAGGCAGUCCGGCGAGCGGUGGCUUCUCGCCGGCAUAUGGGUCAGCCGGCAGCUUCGUUCAGCGAGCGGUCAGGCUCGUCCGUUUGGACUGGUUGUGCUAAGCAUGGUAGUGGUUGGAACGAAGGUUAAUUCGUCCGGAAAGACUACUUUUAACUCAGAUUUUUGGAGAAAAGUCAGUUAGAGCAAAACAGGGCCAGACGGUCGGACUAACGCUGGCUUCUAGCCGGCUGGUGGGUCAAACGGUGACUCCGACUGGUAAACGGCCAAGUUAUGGUGGACGGUCUGGGACUCCUGAAGACAAUGGUGGGUGGCACGGGAGUUGAUUCGUUCGAGAAGCCAACAAUCAACUCAAAUCUUUGGAGGAAGGUCUGUAGGAGCAGAAACUGGAAUAGAGGGAGAACGAGGGAGAGAGAGAGCUCGACGGUUUGGGGCUGAUGGAUGAGAGAGAGAGAGUGAACAUAGAGUUGAAGUCUUCUCCAUCAAGGCUCAUCAAUGCUUGCUCCAACUCCCCAUGCAAGUCCUCUCAUCUUCUCUCUCUUAAUUUGCCCUUAUCUAAUUGCUUUUAGGGGCAAUUUGGUCAUUUCCACAUUGCACAAAUUACCAAUCUGACCUUGGGUUGAAAUUAAUGUAUGAGCCUAAGAAAUGGGCUUGGCUAUGAAUAGAAAUGGGCUUGGGAAUUGAUUGGGCUUGAUUGGGCUCAAAUGGGCUUAAGGUUUGGUAAUGGGCUUGGAAGGAGGAAUAGUGGAUUGGGCCCAAUGGACUCACUUGCUAGCCUUAGGCCCACCAUGGUGGCUGUCCUACCUUGGGCCUGAGGCCCACACUAGCUUGGCUCGGCCCACUUCCUCAUGGGCUCGCUUCCUUGGUCUGAAAAUCUCUUUUCCAAGUACUCGGCUUAACUGGCGCUAUCGACUGACAAAGUAGCUUCAUCCAAAGUCCGUCUUGAACAUUCCUGAUAAUUUGAAGUCCAAUCUUGGAUUCUCAUGCCAUGUCAAUUCCGCCCUAAUGCCACUUUGGGUACAACUCAGACUGACAUGUGGCUUUGAGGAUUCACACGUAACUGACUCGUGUCAAACCACGUUCAAUACAUCUCGACACAUGGACAUCCUUGACUACAUGAAAUUGCGGAGGAUAGAUUCUUAUUUCAAAAUACACGAUUACUGAGGAUCAACUUAGGAUCAUUCACAGGUUCAAUAACAAUAAACGGAAUCAAUUGUCAUUCCAUUAUAUUUUGUCCGUGGAUCGACUUCUAGUCGUCCUCGAAAUCGGCCUGCCUAUCUACAAGAUCGUCCUCAUGUAAGUCUUACUGUCAAGUUGUUUUCCCAGGUCAAGUUCUUUAGUCGUACGAGUUCUGUCCUCAUUAGCCUUUCCCCUCAAAGUUAGUAUUUCAGGAGUGAUCAAUUUCGAGUAAGAUCAACCAAUAAUACAUUGACGAAAUUCACGUUCAUUUAUCCUAUAGAGGGCUCGAAUUUCAGGAUGUCACACUUGCCGACUAGUAAUGAGGGUCCCGACCCUUGGCCAUCGCUAGCGAGGGCCUUGUGGCCCUCACUUGGCCUUGCUAGGGUUGUGGGCGAGGAUUUUGCCCAGAUAUGGGCAAGGUCAACCUUGCCAUGGCCUAGCCAUUGGCGAAGGCACCUUUGCUAGUGAUUGGCGAGGCUUAUCGGCCAUUGCAGGAUAAGAAGGCCAAGAGGAAGAAGAGGAAAAGGAAAAAAAAAAAAGAAGAAGGAAAAAGGGUAAAAGUUAAUAAAAAAAUGUUUAAAAAAAUAUUUAAAAAUUGUCACAUUAGUAUUCACCGAUUGGCCAAAAUUGACCGAAAUGACUUAAUUGAUACCAAUGUAAAAAAGAUUUUGAUUCAAUUGAAAGGUUUAUAACUGAAUUGAUACUAAUGCCAUAGGUUUAUAACUUUUUUGAUCUUUUCUCAUUUUUAACUCUUAUAGACAUAAUGUUGAUGAAUGAUAAAUGUAUCAUAUGUAUAUGAAUUUGAGAUUUUUGGUGUUAGAAAAAAAUUUGAAAAAUGAAAAGUCUACAGCCACGACCAGGACGUAAGGCAACAUUAGACUAGUCAGCGUAGCGAUCGCAUUCUAUUAAAAAUGAGUCAUCUCUCAGGGGCCCCACGUUGCAAGACCCUCGAUGAAGGCGAACCUUGACCAACCGUCGAGGAACCAACCGUUCUAUACUGAUCUGACUGAAGAAGCGACGACUCUCGAGUUCUUGUUUCCUACGCAAGGUCUGAGAAAGACCAAUGCCUGAAGAAGCAAUGGCACUUUUGAGUUCUGGUUUCCUACGUAUACCCGAUUGAAGGCCCCAGCAAAGCGGUCUUCUUCCUCCUCCCGUAAAUCUCAAACCGCCCACUUCCACUUUCACAUUCUCUUCCAAGCUGUCUCUCAUGGCGGGCGAAGGCAAAAUCGCCUCUUUCUUCAUCUUUUUCCUCUGUCUCCUAUUCUAAUUUGAAUCUGGACAACCAAACGUAAUAAUAAGGGGAUUUGCCAUCCCACCUCAUCUUAAUCAGCUCAAUGAAAAAGGCAACCUAUUGUAUCUCUGUUAGUUACGGCAUCAACAAGAAACUCAAACGAGCUCCUCACGAAACAAUGCGGGAAACCUACAGAGUGACAUCAACAGACUGGCAAGACAACGAUAGAUAUGGUCGACAUCAGAGGGAUUGUUUGGAUCUAUUCGUGGAUGGACUGGUUUCCUAGACAUUUGCAUUGAUUCGCACUUUCACAGUCCACGAAAGUUAGUGAUUGCUCCAUAUUGCGGUCCCUCAAAUCACCGUCGGAGUUCUGUGCAUGAAGCACGGUCAAUUGUUGAGAAAACGACCAACAUUGCCCGUUCCCCACGCAUCAUAGUUGACGGAGUCAACUGCCAUCCUUGAGACCCACUUCAUCUCGAUUAUUGAAUUGUGUAGAUCUUACAUGGGAUUCACAUGAUCUAAUUGUUGAGAUAGAGUGGGUUCACAUGCAUUGGAUGCAUGCGAUGCAUACUCCUUAAAUAGGGCCUUUGAAAGAUGAAGUCAUCAAAUGAGCCUGCUCAAAUAUGUAACAUUACAUUAUGGAUCGGAUAAUUUGAGUCAUCGAAUCUAAAGAAUACCAAAUGUAGCCCAAGCAAGCAUUUCACGAACCUAGUGCAUAUAUUAAAUUAAAAUUAAAUGGGGAUCAUCAAAUUUGAAGGAUCCAUAUGGGCUAAAGUACAUCACAAGUGCCAAAAUUUGGCAUGAGUAGACAUUUAAGUGUCAAAGUUCCAAAAGAUUACCACUUUUUUUUUUAAAAUUUAAAAUUGGGAUACUUAAGUGCCCAUUCCGGCGAUGUGUAGCUUGAAAUCUCACAUGGCAUUAUUUUAAGAAUAAAUUGGUCUACGUGGCUCGUUAGAGUCACCUACUUAGCAAUGAAUGUGCCAAACGUUGUCGUUUUACCCCAAAAUUGAUUUUUAAUAUAUUAAUUAAAUUAAAUUAAAAACUAACUUUAAAAAAAAGGAGCAGUAGCAAAUCAGUAAGGGCCUCUACAACUCUUGCUACUACUGCCGCCACAAAGUUGCUAGAAAGGGCUGGUGAUGAUGGGCCAAGGGUCAGCCGGAGUCGCCAGGCCCCAACCAAUGGCUAGCAACCCUAGCCAACCACUAACGAGGGCCUAGAUUUGGGGCGAGGGCUCGUAGCCCUCCCCAAAAUUUGGUGUGGACCUUGCCCUAGCUAGUGGCGGUCCUUGGCCCAAUUGGGCGAGGGCUGACGACUCUGGUCGACCCUUGCCCCACCAUCGCUGGCCCUUUUCGGCUAAUUUGUUGCUACUCCUUUUUUUAAUUUUAUUUUAAAUUUAGUCUUUUAAUUUAAUUUAAUUAAUAUUUAUAUUAAAAAUAAAAUUUUGGGGGCAAAACGACAUCGUUCUGGGACAAGCUAGCCACGUUAGCACCAUGUGGAUAAUUUUUUUUUUUUAAAUAAUUGCCACGUUAGUACCACAUGGAUAAUUUUUUUAAAAAUAAUUGCCACCUCAACAAAAAAAGUGCAACAUUAGUAUUUUGAUUGUAAUUUAUUGCUGUUCUUGCUGUUAGCACUUAAGCGUUCAUUUUUUUCUCCGAUUUUGACAUUUAAGUAUACAUUUUGGAAAUUUUGGCAUGUCCACUAGUGUCAAGUUUUGGCAAUUGGGGUGUCUGACACUCAACUCAUAUGCGAUCCAUCAUUUUUGAUAUCUCAAACUCAUUUUAGAUUAUGAACAAUCACUCCUACAUUUUUGAGGGCAAAACGACAUCGUUCUGGGACAAGCUAGCCACGUUAGAACCAUGUGGAUAAUUUUUUUUUUAAAUAAUUGCCACGUUAGUACCACAUGGAUAAUUUUUUUUAAAAUAAUUGCCACCUCAACAAAAAAUGUGCAACAUUAGUAUUUUGAUUGUAAUUUAUUGCUGUUCUUGCUGUUAGCACUUAAGCGUUCAUUUUUUUCUCCGAUUUUGACAUUUAAGUAUACAUUUUGGAAAUUUUGGCAUGUCCACUAGUGUCAAGUUUUGGCAAUUGGGGUGUCUGACACUCAACUCAUAUGCGAUCCAUCAUUUUUGAUAUCUCAAACUCAUUUUAGAUUAUGAACAAUCACUCCUACAAUAAUUUCUCCUUGCAGCGCAGACGUUUGUGUAAUCUAUCAUGAAAAAGAGUGCAGAAAAGACUUUCCCCAUCUUAAUUGAUAGGAUCAGAGCACAGGAAGGAGCCCUAUUCACAUGAAAUUUAAGGAGCCCUAUUCACAUGAAAUUUCUUUGUCACGAUCAUCAUCCCCGCGCCAUUAAACUUGAGCCCAACAUGCGUAUGCAGUCCGAUAAAUCCUGUAUAAAGCCAGCUAAAAAAUGUACAACCUCCUCCGUGUAACUCACAAAAAAUGGCUUCCAUCGGAAAAACCCAUCGGUCGUAGACUCGUAACCCUCCUGUUUGCUGGCGGCGUGCGUAACAAAUCGAUCGCGGACAACAUUGCCUCCAGGGCACGCCGGUCGAGCUCCCGGAAGUCUUUCAUUGAUUCCUCCUUUGCCCUGGCUCGGUCGAACGGCUUCCAUGGCCUCACCUUGAUUGGGAGCCCCCAGAUACCGACGAGAAGAUGGCCAACUUGGGAUUGCUCAUCCAGGGGUGGCGGGCUGCGGUAGCUGCUGAGGCGGCCAGCUCGGGCAAGGACACUUUGCUUUUGUUGGCGUCAGUCCAUUACUCGCCGCACCACUGGUCUAAUACAAAUUAUUCGGUGGCCGCCAUGGCGGCGAGCAUGGAUUGGAUCAAUGAUUUCUAUGCACCCGGGUGGUCUCCAACCACAGGACCACUUGCUGCUCUUUACAAUCCAGGUAGGGGUGGCAACUUUGACUUUUUUUGGGGUUGUAAACUUUGACUAUUCUGUGGUACAACGAAAUUUCCUUAAUUUUUUGUAUCAAGACUUGAAAAUCCUCUUACCUCAACGUCAAGAGAAUUACAACACAAUUUCCCAUUCAAAGCAUAAAGUGUUAUUCCACGAGUAAUUGACAUGAAUUUUGUUCUUUAUUUAAAAUCCUCAAAUUGUUCUCAUUAAACUUGUAAUUUUCUUGAUAUUGAAACAGUCGAUCCUUUACAUUCAGGGAACGGUGUAAGUUAGACCACGCGGUAAGCGUGUGGAUUCAGGCCAGCACGCCGGCAGAAAAGAUCGUGCUCGGCAUUCCAUUCUUUGGUAGCGCAUUUGCUCUCGUGGUAACAUCAACUAAUUUUUCUAUUACUCAAAAUAGAUCAGUGGUUAGGAAAUAGAUUUGGAAUUAAAAAAAGAAUUAUAAAAAAUAAAAAUAAAAACCUAGAUCUCUAUUCACAGGAACAAAAAGAGAAAUACAACCACUUAAUAAAAAACAAAAAAAGCUUAUCAUAACCUAAUGCUCGUCUCUACACAAUCGACACAAGGUUCGGUCUCCUAACUCAAUCCGAGUCCCCUUUUUUUUCGGAAAAAAUGAAAAAUAAAACAAUUCUAAGAUUGAGGAAAAAAUAUAAAAAUUAGAUUUUGAGUAGUUUUACUAGAUAUCAAUCCGAGUCCCCAUUUUGAGUGUUAAUUCUAGUUCAGAAUUAGUUUAGAAAAAAAAUGUGAUUUUUUUUUUAUGAAAAUUGGAUUCAAAAUUGAAUAAGCUUUUAGGGUUUUGCUAUAUGGAUUUUUCAAUGCUAUUUUUUUUUUUUUUAAGAGACAAUGCUAGGUCACGAAAGUUUGGUGACUUUGGUCUUCUUCCCUUAAGAUUCUAAUGGAGACAUCCUUUAAGAUCAUUUGUAAUUCUUAAUAGAAAAUUAGAUGGCUUCAAAUAAGUCUUUUGCAUUACCAUUUGUCUUGUGUUAUGGCAGUCGAAUAAGUCUGUGCUCCAUGGAUUUUUUUAUGUCAUUUGCUUGAAGAUUUGAUGAGUUUGUGCAAAUAAGUACACCAAAGAUCACCUCUACCCUCAAGUGUUCUGCCAUUGCCCAUUCUACCAGGGAAGUUGGCUCUUCUUCUUAUAGUUAAAAAGGUUCAAAAGGUCUAUGCACCUGUUUAUUAUAAUGCCCAAAGGUUUACAAUCAACAUCCUCACAUUGUGAGUUAUAAACUAGUGGGACUCUUUAUUGCUAUUUCCAAUCAUUCAUCUUUGACUCCAUAUUAAGUUGUAUUUUCUAAUACAAUCUUAGAAUAUUUUGAUCAAUUAAAUUCUUACAAAAGUCUAGUUUUAUUUAAAUAUGAAUUGUUAAGCCUCCACUAACAUUUUUAUAAUUAAAUGAAAAAAAUUGAGAAUAGAAAUUUUUAGGGUCGUAGCAAAUGCAUUUAUGUUUUUUUAUCUAUUCUGAGAAUUUUUUUUUGUUCAGUUACCAAAAGCAUUCUUAUACUAAAAAACUCAUUCGGGGAAUUAAAAAUAGAAAAAAAAACUAUUUCUAAACAAAAAUUGCUCCUGAAAAUAGAAAUGUUAUUAAACGUACACUUAUUAGAUGAACUAAAGCAAGAUCCAAUAUUGUAAUGGAUUUAUACAAUCUAACAUUAAUAUAGGUUUGAUAGUCAGCACAUAAACACAUUAAGAAUGUAAAGGAAAAGAAUGGAUUUCAAUAACCAAUAGAGAAAAAGGAUUUGAAAGGAUUGAGCUAGAACGUUAUUGGGAUGCAAAUGAGGGGAAAAGCAAUUAUAAGAACCAUUUAGAGAUGAAUUUGUUUAUACAUGAAAAACUUUAAUAAUUCCUUCCGAUCCAUUCUCUCAAUUCUGACGAGAUUGUGAUUUCAGAAUCAUUUAUUUCCCUCUUAACCCCUCCAAUUGAACUAUAUGUUUGACAAAUACUUCAGAUCAAGAAGCAAGCCGACUUGUCUUUCCAAUUGGCGCCCUAUUGAAAUUUUUUCUUAAGGAUGAUAUUGCAUGACAAGAGAGGCCCGAUCAUCGGUUGGAUGCUGUGAGACAAGCCCUGUCUAUUUGGUCAAUCAUAUUCAUUCUCAAAAGGAAAAAAAGCCAUAAAAAAUUUAAAUUAUAUUUAAUGUGACACAUUUAUUCUUUUUUUUUUGUAACAUCAAAAACCUUAAACUAUUUCAACCGAGACAUAUUUACCCUUCGUUAAUGUUCUGUUAAAUGAAUUUUCAUCCAAAAUAACGUGAAUUUUAUUUUAAUUAAGUCAUGUGGAUUAGAAGUGAGCAUGGUUUUAAGGUGGAGCUUGAAAGUUGAGAAUUGGAUUAGUGAAAACUUGUCCAGUUCCAAGUUUCAAGUUCUAAAAUAUGUAGGGUAGGUUCUAAGUUUUAAAAAUUAAGGAUCCUAUUUCGACAAGUAGGUUCUAAGUUUUAGGUUGGUGGAACUUGAAAUUUGGAACUUGUAAUUUAGAACUUGCAAUAAUUUUUUGUGUUUUUCUUGACUUAUAUCUUUGUGCGAUUCUGCAGUAUUCUAUAACGUUUGAUGAUAAGUGUAUAAUCUGGAACUACUAUAUGAGUUUCCAUUUUAUGACAGAAAUUUUUACUUUGUUAAUAUUUCAAAUUUUUGAGCAUUUAAGUAUUAAUUAUUGUUAGUGAAUUGUCAUAAGAAGUGAUGAUUAUUAAAGUUGAUAAUUCACCGUAAUCGCUCAAUUAAUAAUACAUGUGAAAUUUGGGUAUAUCCUAAAAUUGACUUUGGAACCUGUAACAAAGUAAGUUCCAAUAUAUAUAGAAUAGGUUAUAGAUUUCCAAAAAGUAAUGAAUUUAUUUUAAUUAGUAGGUUCCAAGCUUUAGAUGAAAUCUAUACAGAACCUAUAAUUGCUCACCCCUAACGUAGGUGUCAUGUCAAUAAUAUUUACUUUUUGAUGUCUAUAUAAGCAGUUAUUUUGGUUUUAUUGAUUGAAUUUUGAAAUUUUUAGUAUCAUAGAAAAAAAAAAUUUAAACUAAGUAUGUCUGUAUAUAAUUCGAUUUUUUUUUUUUUUUUAGCUUUUUAGCUUUCCCAAAAUGAAAAGUCCACAGCCACGACCCGAACGGAAGGUACCGGUAGACUCAAAAGAAAAGACAGCGUAGCGAUGGCAUCCCAUAAAAAAUGAGUCGUCUCUCAUGCGCCACGUUGCAAGAAUUCGCUGAAAGUGAACCUUGACCAAACAUCAGUCCAGGAACCAACGAGGAAGCAACCGUCGUCGUACACUGAUCUGGCUGAAGAAGCGACGACGCUCGAGUUCUCGUUUCCUACGUACUGUCUGCAGAAGCAAUGACACUUGGAAUUGAGUUCUAGUUUCCUACGUAAACCCGAUCAAAGGUCCCAGCAGAGCGGUCUGCUUCCUCCUCCCGUAAAUCUUAAACCGCCCACUUCCGCUUUCACAUUCUCUUCCGAGCCGUCUCUCAUGGCGAGCGAAGGCAAAAUCGCCUGUUUCUUCGUCUUUUUCCUCUGUCUCCGCCCAUCUUCGGAGGAACGAACGUGGGUCAAGUCCGCUUACGUUUAUGACGGCAGUGAUAUCCGGCUUUCGGCCAUCGAUUCAUCUUUGUUCUCUACCCUCAUAUGCGCUUUUGCUUACAUCGACUCUUCGACCCAUCAGCUCUACGUCAAUUCCUCCACUGAGUACUUCUUCCACACCUUCACGGACAGCGUGAAAUUCGAGAACUCUUCGAUCACCACGCUGUUAUCAGUGUGGGCAGGCCGAGAGGAUCCUUCAGCUUUCGUUUCGAUGCUCGGUGAGUCUUCUUCAAGAAGGUCCUUUAUCGAGUCUACCAUAGAAAAGGCAAGGCUUUAUGGGUUCAGUGGGGUUGAUCUCUGUGGGGUCUUGCCCAGUAGGAGCAUUAACAUGACCAAUUUGAGUGCCCUUUUGCGGGAGUGGAGAGAUGGAGUAGAUGCCGAAUCAAGAAAAUCUGGGAAACCUCAGUUGCUGCUAGUAAUGGCUGUGUAUUGUCAACCCAUUUUUAACUCCGUGAGUUACCCACUUGACUCAAUUCAGAGAAAUUUGGACUGGGUUCACCUAAUUGCGUAUGAUUACCAUCUCCCCACCAGGGAAAGAUUUGCGCUCCCUCACGCAGCUUUAUUUGACCCAGCAAGCCAGAACAACACAGACUUUUGCAUAACUUGGUUGCUGACUAGAGGAUUUCCAGCAAGAAAGCUGGUUCUAGGCUUGCCCUACCAUGGCUAUGCUUGGCAGCUCGAGGAUUCGAGCCCCGAUGCCAUUGGCCAUCCAGCGGUGGGUCCUGCUGUAACGGCGGAUGGGUCAUUUGGAUACAGCUCCAUAAAAUUAUAUAUCCGAGAUUUCGGUUAUGGAGCCACUUCUGUUUAUAAUAGUACAUAUGCGGUGAAUCUUUUCAGAAAGGGAUCGGUAUGGAUCAAUUUCGAUGAUGUGGAGGCCAUCCGAGCUAAAGUAACUUAUGCCAAGGAAAAGGGGCUUCUUGGUUACAAUGUGUUUCAGAUCAACAAUGAUAAGAACUGGGUCCUUUCCCGGACAGGUUAGGAUUAAGAACCCCACAGGAAUUUCUGAAGGUUUUAAAAAAUUAUUGCAUUGAAAAUGUAGAACGAUAUGUAAUUCAAGCACUUAAUUGCCUUGUCAGCUCAAGAGGCCAGUGAAGAUCAGCAACACAGGCGAUGGUUCUGGCCAGUUUUGCUUAUUUCGAUUGCUAUAGUUCUCCUCAUAUUUGGCCUGAUUUGCUACUUACAGAGGCGAACAUUAAAAUCAAAAGGUACAUUUUCUGAACUUCACUGGGGGAUUACUAUAAUUCUCUGGUAAUCAGGAACAUUGACUUAGGAAGGAUUAAAGUUCUAGAUAUAAUUUCUUGAAUUUUGGUUCUCAGGUAUUUUGGGUGUAAUGAAAGGAUUUAGUAGCCGAUUAAAGACUAUGGUGUGUAAAGGUGAAAGCCUUGAGAGUGGUACUCCUAAUCUGCAAACAUUUGGUUACGUCACCCUCAAAGCAGCAACCGACGACUUCUCAAGUGAAAAUAAGCUUGGAGAGGGUGGAUUUGGACCUGUUUACAAGGUAAAAUAUAUGGGGCCAUACUUAAGCUAAUGAAUAUUAUUUUCUGUUUUAUUGCAAAUCCUAUGAAGUAUGAACCAUGAUUGAAUGCCAGAUUCGGUCCUUUUGCUCUAUAACACGUGUUUGUCGUUGUUUAAUGCAAGCAAGGAAAAUAACUCACCCCUGAAUAUUUUUCUUACUUCUUAUGCUCAAGAAUAUGUCUUAUUUCUUGUUUAUAGUCUUGACUUAUAAUGGGAACUUUUCGACCCAGAAAAAACUAAUGGUACUGGGAACUUGCUACCCUUACUAUGAGAGAGCUAAUCUUUUCAUGUGUUAAACAUAGGUAUGCCAGCUUUCUCUUUAGCAGCUGCCAGCUGCUUGGUUUAUACUGGCAAUUUCAAUCAUUUGGUUGGAAUCAGCAUCGCACGACACAGCACAAUAAGCUCGAGAUACUUAGAAAUGCUGCGUAGAUCUUCUUAAUCAUGUAUGUGAGCAUGUAAGUUUCAUCGUAGGAGGUUGGACUUGGAUGCAUUCUGCUCAAGUUUUGUUUUUCAUUAAUGUUCCUUGGGGCUAUGUGAUUAUGUCAUAGACAAAGCACUGUCUUCCAGCAUAAACAGUGAAGUUUCGUUGUGUCUACCAUGUUCAAGUGGAAGUUAGUUCGCUGUACUGACCGUCAGCAUACCUGUUGCUCAGGGCAAGUUGCCCAAGGGACAGUACAUUGCAGUGAAGAGACUUUCGAAAACUUCAAACCAAGGGCUCGAGGAGUUCAAGAACGAAGUUAUGCUCACUGCCAGCCUGCAACAUGUCAACCUCGUUCGCCUUCUGGGAUUUUGUACUGACAGGGAAGAAUUGAUGCUGAUCUAUGAGUACAUGCCAAAUAAGAGCUUGGACUUAUACCUAUUUGGUUAGACAUCUUUCAUGCUUCUUAAAAUAGUCAUUGAGCAAAACCUAGGUGUUUUUAAGUGGCAUAUAGUGUGAUACUCCAAAAGGCUUAAAUGGGUCCCAGUUCUGCUACAAUGGCUAGAGGAGGCAGACCCUCAUUAAGCAUUUGGAAUACACAAAGGUAUGCAAUGCUCUAAUUUUGCUUCUGGUUCUGAUAGUCAUUAGGUUUUAAUGAUGCAGAUCCAAUAAGGAAAUAUUUGCUGGAUUGGGUGAAAUGUGUUCAUAUCAUAGAAGGCAUUACACAGGGGCUUCUUUAUCUCCAAGAAUACUCAAAUUUCACAAUAAUCCAUCGAGACUUGAAAGCCAGCAAUGUUUUGCUGGAUGAUGAAAUGAACCCCAAGAUAUCAGAUUUUGGUCUGGCGAGAAUAUUUAGGAAGGAUGACAUUGAGGCAAAUACCAACCGAAUUGUUGGGACCUAGUAAGCGAGCUAACUAGGCCCCCCUUUUACCUCACAGAUAUUCUCCUGCUAAAAGUCUUCUGCUUAAAACCAAUUUCUGUUCUUGUAUACAGUGGGUAUGUUCCCCCAGAAUACGUGAGGAAAGGCAUAUACUCGACCAAGUAUGACAUCUACAGCUUUGGGGUACUGCUGUUGCAAAUCAUCAGUGGUAAAAAGAACUCAUGUUGCUAUGGCCUAAAUGAAAAUCUGAAUCUUCUCGAAUAUGUAAGUAGAGAUUAUUUGUGAGUCAAAAUUUUCCAGGCUCAACUUUUGGAACAUGAAUUUUGACUUUUAACCAGCUACCAUUCUUAAUUUCAGGCAUAUGAGCUGUGGAAAGACGAUAAAUGCAUGCAGUUCAUGGACCCGUCUUUGGAUGACUCUUCAUCAUCUUGUAAGCUCAUGAGAUGCAUGCAAGUGGCUCUUCUAUGCGUGCAAGCGAAGCCUGGGGACAGACCCUCCAUGUUGGAAGUCUCUUCGAUGCUCAAGAAUGAAUCUUCAGCUGUGAACUCCCCCAAGAAGCCUGCGUUUUCAAUUAACAAGGAUGAAGAUGAAGAUGAGGAUGACAAGUGCUUGAUCAAGGAAGCAAUUCAUUCGGUCAAUGAUGCAUCGAUUUCUGAAUUGUGUCCUCGCUGAUUAUACAUAGCAGGUGUCCAAUGCUGAGAGUACCAACACCAUGGAGAGAAUCUUUUGUUGACUUAUUUGGUUGCCCAGACUUCGUUUGUCCCAGUGGCAUUAUUUUCCCAAUUAAUUUUAAUAGUUUUCGACGUCUAUAUUAUCAUCGAGAGGCAGUUCAAAUAUUCCUUCUUUUGUCUUGUAACCUUUUGAGGGGAAGAGUACCAAAAAAAAAAAGUCCUAAAACUAUUUCAUUGAUCCAAUUUUGUCUUAAAUUUUUUAAUUGGACCAAUUUAUCCUUAAACUUUUCACCUUGGUACCAAUUCAGUUCGUUCAGCCAAUUUAAGUAGGAAAUCGAUGACGCAAAUGUCGGCCAUCCUACGCGGCACAUCUGCCAUUGAUGUGAACAUUUUUAAAAAUAUUUAAAAAUAUUUUGAAUUUUUAUUUUUAGCUAUUUUGUUUUUUCUUUAGUUUUUUCCUCCAUUUCACUAGAUGGCAUAAAUUAGCCCAAAUUCAUUGACAUAAACGUCGACAAUCCUACAUAGCAUAACGGACGCUGAUGUAGACAUCUUUUUAUAAUUUUCUAAUUUACAUGGAAUGAGGUGGUAAUUCACAUGGCCUGAUCGAUGGGAUGGAGUGGGUUCAUGGUCCAUUAAGAAGCUGUUAUCACAUAAAUUUUGACUCAAUAUUUAGGAUUAAAAUUGUAUAGAAAUUAGGGACCAAUUCGAUCAUAGCAAAAAUGAUUUUCGCAUCACCUAGGUAUUGCAUCCAUUAAGUUUUACUUUUUAUUUUACCUAUUUUUGAAUAAGUAGAAUAUUUAAAAAAAAAAAAAAAAGAGCUUGGAAGAGAAAGGGGGAGGGGGGGGGGGGGGGGCUCAAGGGCUGGGCUUUUGCCCCAACCCCUUUGCUUUUCUCUUCCUUGCGGAUGGGCCCGAGCCCAUUCACCCUCAUUCUUCCCUAGGCUUGGCCCCCCGUCACCUCCGCCUCCGCCUCCUUCCCCUUCCUUCUUCUUCCUCGAGCCGCACACCACAUGCGCGGAGGCCGACGAAGGCGGAGUACGCCCUAUGGCAAAGAGAGGAGGGUAGGCCAGCGACGGAUGGGAUGGCAAAGUAGGCUUCUUCAAUGCUACCCAACUGAGGAGCAAAGCAGACUUGCUCUACGAGUUGCCGCCCAACUGAGGAGCAAAGCAGACCUGCUCUGCGAGUGGACAGGGAGGGGACGUCUGUUGGCCUUCGAAGCGGUAUCCUAGGAUCAAUGUAGCUAGAAACCUAAACAUGUAGGAGGAGAAUACGAAAAUUUGUGUACCUGAUUUGGAAUCCAUCGUUCUUUAUGCGGAAUGACGACGAUCCAACACUCAAAUGACAAGCCGACGCUUAGGUUCUUUUCCUCUAUGACCCUUGGUUCCUGGCUCGAUGAGACCGCCACUCACAGCUUGCCUUAUGUGAGGUGAGAAAAAGUUCAUGGAAGAAUGAGGGCUAAAGAAGGGACCUUAACACUAUUUAUAGAAUUUUGGACGGGCUCUCUCAUCACAGACCAGGUUCAACUCGACCCACACAAGCUAGGUCCAUAUUUGACUAUUAAGAAAAUCUUAUGCCUUACCUUAUUAGACUAAUCCUGUAAAACGGUAAAUUACUAUCUCAAUUAAUGUAACCCAUAUUAGGAAAACUCUUACAUUCUCCUACUUGGGCUAUGUUUGAGACUGUACUAUAUGUGGACACCUUUAUGUUGGUCUAGUGACAAUUCUUAAUAGUCAAUCAUAUUCCAUAAAGUCUCAAACAUUGAAUCAUGAUAGUAACUGUUUGUACUCACAUAGAACCUUCUAUGGUCACAAGUGCUUUCAACUUUAUUGAUAUGGUUUCAAUAUGGUUGUGUGACAAAUGGAUAACACCUCAUAAAGAGUAAUACCUUAUGUGUUAUCUCCUUUAUCGGUCACUAUUCUCUUACUUUAAGUGUCACUGAAAAUUGGAUGUGGCACUAGAGAAGAUCCUUAUGGUUCUAAUGAACCCACAUAUGUUUUUUUUAUAUGGUUAACCUUUCUUUAUGUGUAAUUAAGACAUAUGUUUAAGGCUGAUAAUCAGAUGCCCCCAACCUUCAUUCAAGGCUUACAUAAUACCUUGAGAUUUCCAUUACAUAUAAUCAACUCAAUUUGGUGACCACACAUUCAUAAACACUUUAUUGAAUGUGUAACAUAUAUAAGCUUUAUUAGAGCAAAAUCAAAACAACUCCCACUAAACAACAUCAUUCAAUGAUGCUCCUUAGCCUAUGUUCACAACAUGUUGUUCAAGUACACAAGGACGAAAAUCUUUAGUUAGUGGAUCCACAACCACAUCUUCUGUGGAAAUAUACGCUAUUGUAGCGUCACCAUUCUGUAUCAUUUCUUUAUGGCCAAAAAUAUGACUAUCACAUAUCUAGACCCCUCGAGACCUUUAUUGUUGUUCAAAAACAACAUUGAGAAAUUAUUGUCUCGAUACAACUAUAUGGAUCUAUUAAUGAAAUCAAAUAUGGUCAACUCCUUAAUGAGAUUCUGAAGCCAGAUAUUUUAAGUAACAGUUGAAAAGCAUGAUACAGACUCCGUUAUACGAUAGAGGAUAACAUAGAUUUUUGUUUAUCGCUAACACUACACUUUCUGCUAAUAUAAAGAUAUAUACUGUUAUCAACUUUUUGUCAUCCUUAUAGCUAGUAAAAUCUAUAUUCAAAUACCCUACUAGCUCUAGAUCCUAAACAUGUUUUUCAGCAUAAAGUUUCCUUGUCCUUUUUAGUAUCUCAAAAUCUUAUUGGCAGCAAUCCAGUGAUCAUAUCCUAGACUUGACUGAUAUUUGCCUAAAAGUCUUGCUGCAAAAACAAUAUCUAGCCUAGUGCAGACUUAAACAUACAUGACACUUCUAAGUGCACUAGCAUAAAGUAUAUCUUUCAUUUGGGUUUUCCCAAGAUUUGAACAAGGAUAAUGCCAGGGAUUCAAUCUACCAGCCCUAAGUGAUUUCUAGUUCAUAAUUCUACCUACUUAAUCUUUCUAAAACACGAUCAACAUAUGCAAUUUGAGAUAAAUCUAACAUACAACAAUAAUGAUUCCUAUGGAUCUUAAUGCCAAGGACAAAAGAUACCCCACUAAGAUCUCUGAAGUUAAAAUUCCUUAACAACAUAUGCUUUAUCUUAUACAGUGAUCCUAUAUCACUACUUGCAAGCAAGAUAUUAUUUUACAUAGAUUGUGAGAAAACUAAAUAUUCUCCCACUAACCUUGCAGUAUAUACACUGAUUUACUUUAUUCUCAACAAAACCGAAUGAAGUGACAACACUAUGAAGUUUCAAGCACCAUUGUAUACAAACUUGCCAAAGACCAUAAAUAAAACUCUUUAAUUUUACACACAAGCUUACCUGAAUCAUUUGCUACAAAACCUUCGGGUUAUACCAUAUAAACGUAUUUAUUGACGUAUCCAUUGAAAAACAAAUUUUUAACAUUUAUCCAAUGUAAUUCCAUAUCAAAAGGAACUACUAAUACCAUAUUCACUAUGAAAUAGUCUUUAAAAAAGAAUAAACUUCUCUUUGAGUGAAACCUUUCACUACUAGUCAAAACUUAAACUUCAUAAUAUUUCCUUUGGAAUUUCAUUUAGUCUUGUACACCUAUCUGCAGCGGAUGAGCUUGUGACCCUUAGCCAAUUCAACAGACUCCAAAACACUAUCAUGUUUUAUAAAUUGCAUCUCGUCUUUCAUCGUAUCUAACCAUAGAUCUAACUGAGGAUAAGAAACAACAUCUAUAUAUACAAGUCACUAAAUCGACCAUACAAUAGAUAUCGUAAUCAUGCUCUUACAAAUAGAUUAUAUAGUCCAGUGGUAUAACUGAACAUCUUUCCCUAGUUAAUUUCUUAAGUGGAGCUACCUGUUGAUACCUGAUCUUUAGUUGACGUAUCAUUAAAAGGUAACAAAUCGAUAUUUAAGUUUCUGAUCACGACGGAGCCCUAUCUCUUGACCAAAACAUGUCGUUUUUCAUUUCUUUCUUUUGCAUUGUCAUUUUUAAGCAGUUUUAGCUUAUUUUCAAGAAAAACCUGAAAAGUCAAACGGUUAACUUUCAGGUUGACUUUUUGAUCAACUCUUUGACAAAAAGUCAACCCCGAGUCAAAAAUUGACUUUUUAACAAAAAAAAUUCCACUUAGCUUUAAUUUCACCAUUUUAAAAUCAAUUUCUUGAAAAUUCAAAGAUUUGACUAAAAAAUCAAUCUUUUGGGAAAAGUCAACUAAAUUGUUGACUUUUGGUCAAACUUUUGACCACAAAAAUAAAAAUAAAAAAAUCCGAUCGAACCUGAAUUUAGGUCCAAUUUUAAUAUUAGGCUUAGAUCAUUUUUUACCUAAGCUCGAGCACUUCAAUUCAAGGUCAAUUUGAAUAUGAUAAGUGAUCUUACAUAUCGGUAGCUCAUUAGAUAGGGCAAUUGUGAUACUAAUUGAGUUCACUUUUAGUUAAUUUGUAAUUUUGCCAAUUGAAUUGCAAAUUUUAUCAUUUUAGCCCUUUAGGCCCAAUUCAAAGCACCCACGGUUUUGACUCAUUUUUUUUCCACAAGAAUCAUUCAAUUAGGUCAAUAAAAGACCUUUAGAUCACGUUCAUAAGGUUUGAUUAGCUUAAUUGUAUCUUAAUUGAUCAAUUUCUUCAUAAAAAUGAUAAAAUUCAUUUUCAACUUGGUCAUUUAGGGGUCAAAUCGCAUAAUUUUUUUUUUAUCCACAAGGGUCCCAAGUGGACAAAACAGCAAGAGUCGAACCAAACCGGUCAAGAACUGGUCAAAAUCUGAUCGAACUGGACCGAAUUGGUCCGGCCAGUCUUACCGACCGCCGACGGGACUAACCGAUUCAGGCCCUUGCCGGCCGGUUCUUGGUCUCCGGCCACCGGUUUUGGAACCCUCUCAAUUCCAAAUUCACUUCUACUCCUUCAAUUUCCCAAAAUUUUACAAAUUGGUCCUUGAAUUUAGUUAAAUUGUAAAUUAAUCCCUGAUUAGACAUUUUGAUGCAAUUCCCGAUUUUGGCUUGGUUUUUGCCAAAAAAAAAAAACCCACUAGAUCAAUUACCCAACACCUCGAGAUUAUGAUGGAGCCUUUGAAAUGGAUUUUUGACCGUUGGAUCGAGAUUUUGACCGUCAAGUCGAACCGACGGCCAAAAUCACUUAAUGUGAGAGUAUAUAAAUGAAAUAUCUUCUGUUUUCAAAAAGGGGGGUUCAUUUUGCAUGAAAAUUUUCUCUCUCCUCAGCCUCUCUCUCUCUCUCUCUCUCUGUCUCUCUCUGUGUCUCUCCCCCUCUUUCUUUGGUCCCUCUAAACUCCCGCUUAAACAGAUCACACACACUCUCUCUGUAGUUUCAGUUCAUCUCAUGGAUCGGUCUCGUUCUAAGCUCGAACUGGUGGUCGUCGGAGCUCUCAAGCAUUCAAGUUGUUGAUGAUCUGCAGUAGUAAAGGUCUUUGACCUUACUGUGGACAAAGGAGGUUAGAUUGGUGGCUAGAUCUUCACUAGCGGCCCGAUGUUUGCCGACGAGUCAAGGCUGGUCCAUUUUGGAUCGGUUCUUCCUUUUUUCCUUGAGCCAGUGAUUCGAUUGAUCCUGAUCCGAGCCGUAGUGACCUGAUCUACAUUCUUAGAGUCUUGAUCAUGAUCCAGUGGCUUGAUCCGAUUGAUCGCGAUAGAAAUUGACAAAGAUCAUAACGAUGGUAACGAUUCGAAACUUGAAUUCGAUGAAGCAAGAUCGAGUUAGUCGAUCAAGGCUAAGAUUCAAGAUUAGAAGCUUUUACAUGCUUAAGAUCAAUGAGUAUGAAUGCUGUGAUGAUUUGUUGAUGAUUUGAAUGAUGAUUGUGAUUUUGAGCCUAAUCUGUGAUUUCUGUAGGUUUGUACAUAGGUCAUUGUUUUGGCUGAAACGAGAUCCACUCGAGUCCUCUUAGGAUUAGAUAAUAGACAUCCCGAGCUUCGAAAUGAUAGGUCAUACACCCUAAUUAAGCGUCAUUUGACCCUAAAAAAACACCUCAGAAGAUUAACGAUUCUAUAAUAGUUUAGGUCUUUUUUGGGUUCUGAUUAGGUUCCGCCUUUUGACUUUGUUAUUUUUAUGCCAAUUUUCGUGAUCAUUUUUUGACAAAAUUUUCUUCAUGAGUUUUGUUCCAAAUCAUCUCGUUCAUCUUUUGUAAUUUUUUUCAUGAUUUUUGGAUGUGUUCAACUAGGUCAGAUCUACUCAGAUUUAAGCUUAGGUCAAUCUGUUCCAUAUGGAUAUCUGAUUUUGCCAUUUUUGUGCUGAUUUUUUUGUUGAGUUCUGAAACAAAUUUCCUCAUGAAAGUUGGUUCUACAGGUGUUUUGCAUGUCCUAUAUUUUCUUUUUUCAAAAUUUUUAGACAUGUUCAGCUAGGUCAAAAUUGCUUAGAUCUGAACAUAGGUCAGUCUGUCCUGCAUUAGUUCAAGAUUUGUUUUGAUAAAUUUGAGUCCAUAAAUGCAUCUAUUUGAUCUCAAAUCUUUCAUUAAAAUUGAAAUACAUGAUAUAUAUAUAUAUAUAUAUAUAUAUAUGUUCAAUUGAUGCAUGCUUUGCAAGGUUUUACAUUAGCUAAGUGAGUCAAUUGCAUGCAUUAGAGUAAAAGGUACUACAACAAUAUAUGUUUGACAUAUAGUUUGGUCUGUUUUUCCACGGCUCAUAUGAUCUUAAUUGAGUUUCGGUCUCUUCACAAGAAAUCUUCAUCAUCGUAUGAUCUGUAUGUGAGAUUUUUGGUAGGAUUUAUGCAUGUCUUGAGAAUGGCUGAAAUCAUGCUUGUUCUGUAAACUUAAUACUUAAAUGAAAUCUUGUCAUAUGUGCACGUUUUCAUGCUUGUUUAAGUCAUCUAAAGAUCAAAUCUUAUGAUUAUGCCUUCUCGACGAUUGAACCGCAUGUUGCAAGAUUUGCAUACAUGUUUAGAUCAUGUCAUUUGAGUUUCAUCUUGCACAUUAAAUUGUCUCACAAAAAGUGUUCAUCACACUUGGAAUUCCCAAGCAUAUCAUUAGGAAUCAUGAAUCAUCUCAUAAUGUCAUUUAAAUUGUUUGACAUUUUGUAUGCCGACUUAAGAUUAGAUGACUAUCCAAACUUUCCGUUGCAUCCAAUCCUAAGUCCCGUGUGAUUUCUUCAUGCCGUUUGGGCAUUCUUUGAGUGAUUUUAAGGUUUUUUUAAUGAAUGCUUAUGUUCUGUUUUCUUAAUUACUGAUGCGCACACUUUUAAAGAUCUCGACCUUAGGAUACCAAAUUAACCUAGUUUGGACUCGAGCUCUUCUAGGAAGACGUAGGGUACACUUAGAAGUUUCUAAUGCCACUAAUUUCAUGCUAAUCGCUCAUCUUUUGGACUAUUUUCCAUUUUUUUUUCAAAUCUAAAUUACAAUCUGGACAAGGGGUUAAAUUCGGACCCCUAUUCUAACCCCUAUUUGGACAAACCUUUGAUAUUUUUGUUUCAUUUUUUCUAUUUGGAAUUUAAACUUGGCAUCUUAAUAAAAAUUUCUUGUCAUCAUAUUGGCUAUAUUGUGUGAAAAUUUGAAAAUUUUUAGACAUGUUUUGAUAGGACAAAUCUUUGUGACAUUAGCUGAAAGUCCUGUUGUUUUGACAAAUUUCUGAUGUAUUGUUACUUGUUGUUUGAUUUUUGUAAAAUCAUGUAUAGAUUGUUUAAGAAUUUUUUUUUCACAAAAGUUGUUUAUCAUUAUGUCAUGCAUGUUAGAGAAUUUUUUCAUUGCCAAAUUAUCAUUAGGUAUUGCCCAAUUUUGCUGUCCUUACACGUUUGUUCUGAAAUUUCCUGAUAUAAAUAUGACCGUGAUUGUUUAGUUCUGCCUUUUAGGUUAGUUUGUGCAUGAAAUUAUGACAUGCCAUCUUCAUGAAAAUUGUUCUAAAUAUUUUGAUCUUUGUUGUUAAACAAUCGACUUUUUCAAAUUGCAUCUUUCAAAAAAUGCUUUAGUACAUGUGAUGUUUCUCAAAAACAAUUUAUGAAAAAGUUUUUCUCUAAAACUCGAUUUGGCUUAAGGAAAAAUCGUGAUUUUGACCAUAUUCAAAAUGCUUGCGAUGCUUGUGAGUGCAUUUAUGUGAGGCUGGGGCUAGUCUUGGUAAUUGAAUGUGUUCCAUAGCCUAUAUAUUCUUUAAUCCUAAAUAUUUUCAAAUCUUUUUUUAAAAAUCUUGAUUUGAUAUAGUGAAAGUCAUGGUUUAAAUUGUAUUCAAAAUGUUUGCGAUGCUUGUGAGUGCAUUUAUCUGAGCCUCGGGCUAGCCUUGGCAAUUAAAUGCCUUUCAUAGCUGAGACAUCACUUUAUCUUAAAACUUUUCAUGAAUGAUUUCGAAAUAUAUUUUUUGAAAUAUCACAUGUACCCCUCAUACAUAUAAUCCCGUCAUGAUUAGAAAUUGCUUGUGUUUGUGAUUGUCGCAUGCCCUUGGUAAUAAGUGACCCGCCGACAGUUCACUUUUCUGCUUGAUUGGUUGAGAAAUAAGGUUCAAAAGACCUGCAUGCAUGUUAAAAUUUUUACAAUGCAUGUGACUUUUAGAUGAAUGGUAGGGUCGAUGCAAGAUAUCGAUAGAUAACCCUGGGAUCACAUAAUCGCUUGAUUAGGAGACUUAUAAGAGUUAUUGGCCAUGCGAAAAUACAAUUGGUCAACAAUUGCUAUAAGUCACAAAAAUGGAUUGGGUAAGUGUCUUAGUGGGAUCAUUGCAUGAAAGACAAAGGCCAAUCCCAAGGCACCAAAAUUUUAACUUUCAUUUUACACUUCCUUUAAACGAUUAAUCUCAACAUGAUGUCUUGUUUUUUUAUUGUUUUGAUGUGUAUGCUUGUUUUUUUUUUUUCAUUGUAUGCACCUAGUUAUAAGUUUCUUAGAUUAUGUUUAAAUUAGGACCCCGAAAAUGGAGAAAGUGCGAAGAUGGUGGAGGUUGAUGUCCAUUCGGACCAUUAUCAUAUACUAUUCGUUUCUCUGACAUAUGUCUUGAGUUCCAUUUGUUGUAUAAAAAUCGACGAGUUGUGGGUUUUCUCUCUUUCUCUCGUUUUUUUUAAUUGUAGUUUUCUUUAAUAUUUUCUAAGAUUGCAUGGUAGAUUUACUUCUUUCUUUGAUUGUUUACUUACUAUCUCGUAAUUUCAAUUCCAUUGAUUGCUUUCUUUUCUUGUUUUUCUAGAAUUAGAAUAUAAUGAAAAUGGCCAACCACGCAUGAUUGCGUAGUUUAGGACUAGUGAUCUCGAAAAUGUAAAAAGAAAAGUAUGGACAUGUUAGAAAAAUACAACAUAUUGUUUAUGUACCGAAAGAGGGCUAAUAGAAAUAUUAGCAUAACCCAAGUCCCUUAAUUUAGAUAUUUGGUUGCGUAGGAAUUGAGGGAACACUCCUAAUCCUCGAUUGGGUUUUUUAGCCGACCCCCAAAAUAAGGCAAGCGGCGACUCCCGUCUUAUUUUUAGGUUGUCAUAAACAACUAGACUGUAUAAAUAAACCCAUCAUGCGGGGUAUGAAUUUCGAUGAAACUCACCAUGGUUUAGCAUACUCGAUAUGGGAGUACCCCAAAGGCUGAAGCGAUGCCAUCCUUAUGGGCGAGGCGUAUUGUCAAGAGGGCUACCAUGAUAAAGGUACCCUUAAAUCCGAUAUCCACACCCGACCCCUUCUUUUAAGGUGUGUCGUCCGUGUGGGUAUGGAUCGUGACAGUCACUCCACUGUCACACAAGGUACGAGCUUGGGAGAGCUCGCGAUCUCAUGGAGGGAACUCACGAGAUCGCUUGAUCUGAAAGGCAAGGUGAUGACGUCUUUUGGAACGCGAGCUGUGAGAGAACUCUCGUGAUCAAAUACCCCUAAAUCAGACAUUUUCCCAUUUUCUCUCCUCGUGAUGAUGAGGGAUCAAGAGCGGUGAGAUCGGGUCGUGACACUACCACAACCAUUUCAUCUUGUACCUGAGAGGUUUGACAAACUUUAUCAGGAAUUGUAUCAAUAACAACAUCUCGAACCUUAACAAGCUUAGUCUCUGGUGUAAAAGACUCCAUAGUUGUCUGUAUAGGCAAAGACAAAGACUUAGUGGUCCCCACUGUAUUAUUAUCUUUAAUAGUUUAAGAACAACUAUCCUUUACAGCUAUGUUGAAUUCUAGAAACUUUGUUGUCUGUAAUUCCACAAUUUUUAUACCUCCACUAGGAUCAUAAACUGAUAUCCCUUCAAAUGACUUGGGUAAAAUAUGAAAUAGCACCGAGGGGUUCUGCAGUCCAACUUACUUAAUGUUGGAUCAUAUAACCUUACUUUUACAAGACAAUUCAAACCUUAAUAUGGUUUAAGUUAGAUUUACGUUUAGCCCGUGACUCAAAAUGAGUCAACGUAACAUUUUUGGUAAAAAUUCAGUUUAAUGCAUAUUGGGUUGUUUCACCCCACAAAAAACCUAAUAAAUUAGUCCUAGUAAUCAUACUCAUUACCACGUCCAUUAUGAUGUAAUUACGCCUUUCAGCCACACAAAUUUAUUCAAGAUUUUCGGGCAUAGUAAACAAAGUUAUCAUCCUAGAAUUUUUCAAAGGAUUUGACAAAUGACCCUUUAAGUUAUCCAGUAUUGCCAUACUUAUCAAAAUGUUCACCAUUGUUGUCAUAUCUAACAAUCUUUAAGACUCAUCCCAACUGUUUCUCGACUUUAGUCUGAAAGAACUAGAAUCUACUCAAAGAUUCAGACUUUUCUUCGAUAAAAAAUGUUGAAAUGAAAAUUUCUAUAUAAUGUUACCAUAUAUGGUCCAUCAAUAUCAGUGUGAAUGAUCUUUAACAGAUCAAGACUUCAGACUGUAGUUUUCUUGUUUAUCUUAAUCAUCUUGCUUCUACAACAGUUUACACAAGUUUUGAGAUGACAAUUUUUUAAGAGUAGACAAAAUAUCAACUUAUCAAUCUUUCUACUCUUUCUCUAGACAUAUGAUCAGGAUGUUUAUGCCACAAUAUAUAAGAUUGUUCUUUAGGUAAAGAUCUAUUGAAAACAACAUUUUAAAUUGUAAAAACGAUGUACAUAUCAUUGGGAGAUCAACACAAUUAGUAUAAUUGAUCUGACAUAUUGCAACACCUGACUUUAUUUGACUUGGAAAACAUAGAAAUUGAAAGAGCUAGUAUAAACACCUAGAGGGGGGUGAAUAGAUGUAAAAAUAGAGUUGUCUAAAAAUGCAGUAAAAAUAUUUUUCUUUUAAACCGAGUUUGUUUGACAAUAGACUUUGAUAAAGAUUCAAACUUAAAUAAUAUAGCGAAACUUAGAAAAAUAUCACAGCAAAUAAAUUAAAGGAAUUUAGGGAAGAGAAAAUGAACACAAGAUUUACAGUGGUUCGGUUUAGAUUAAGCCUACGUCCACUCUCCCACAUUGACAGCCUUCUGGCUGGUUUUCACUAUGAAUCAAAAGAGAAUUACAACAAUAUAACAUUGACUACUCAGUAAAGAGUUUCUUUUUCUCUCACUAAGUCACUCUUUAGUGUUUCUCUCUCUUUCGAAUAUACGUUUGAGCACUAUUAAGGAAGAACAAGUGAUUUGAGAAGCUUCAGACUUUGGAAUUCUAGUUUUCACGCUCUCUCACAAAUGACUCGAAAAACCUCUUUAAAUACCCCCAUGUCUUUGCAACCGUUAGUACUAUCCAGAGAAAUUCUUCCAAUCAAUCCGUUGGAUAGAAUCAAUCAAAGAGAUCUAGAGCCAUUUGAAGAUUGAGAUGAAAAUCCAAUGAUCUUAGUCGCCCAUACAAUCAUAACUUGGUUUCCAUAAAAUAGAUUCUUUCCAAAUAAACUUGACUUCCAAAUUGAUUUUACCAUUCCGUGAUUGCUUUUAUCAAUAAUAUCCAAAAAGAUAAGUGAGAUUUCCUACCAGAAAGCCAGAUAUAUCUUGUUCGUACUAAAUCCUUGAAGGAAGAAUAAUAAUCCCGAGUCUGAUUAUUUCUUCGUUCUUCACUCGAGUUCAAUCUGGGUCUUUGUCAGAGUGAGGUAGACUUCUGAUGUAAGGUAGAUUUUGAUAGAAUUCCACAGAAGUCUAGUAUUCCUCGAAAUGUGAAUAAGAAUAGAAAUAGAAAGUUUUGUCAACUUCAAAAUCUAAUAUGAAUUUUCUCAACAAUCUCCCCAUUUUUUAUGGUGACAAAACUUUCAUGCAGAUUAAAAUAUUAUAUCCUACAAAACAACACUUCAGAAGUACAUGAUAGUAUAUAAUAAGAACAAAAUAUUAUAGAAUUGAAUAACAUAUAAUCUGCAUCCAUAAAACACAUUAGUCUUAACAGUUUUGCAACAGCAAAACAAUUAGAGUUCAAGCACCACAAAAGUUCAAGCCACAAGUUUAAAAGUUCAAACCACACAAAAAAAUCAAAACAAGAACUUUAAAUUUUCUCUCACUCUCCCCCUUUUGUCAUCAGCAAAAAGAUAAAGUCAAUUAGGAAUAAAAAAAAGUGAAUGAAAAGAUGAUCAGGGCUAUUUUGGAAUGCGAACAAGUUGGAAAUCCUUUAGUGACUGCACGGUCUCCUCAAGCUUAUAUAGGCACUGAUAAUAUACAUUCUCCACUUUGGCUACAGUCUACGAAGCUUGUUGAUUAAGUGUUUCAACCUGAGUGUCAAGAGACUAUAUCUUGCCUGUAAGAAAUUCUGAGGUAGAUCCUAAAACAACAUGUAACUUCUAAAUCUCAAACUCCAUAGCAUAUUGUUGUGCCUCUAUCUCCAAAAGGAGUUCUACUAGCCUUAGAUAGUUUGCAUCGGGUUCGGUUUGGGCACAAGCUUUAGCAAAAUGAAUUUGUGGAGCAUCCAGAAGUGAAGGAACAUCAACUUGAAAGUGUGCAGUUUGUUGCUUACCUUAACUUGGAGUUUCCUCUUCAAUUUCAACUUCAGGGAAAUGAGAUGUAAAUACAUCUUCUACAUGUGCAAGAGAUCUACUAAUACCAUCACUAGUAGUAGGUGCAACUAAUAGAGUUUUCUCAUGUUCUCCCUCUGUUUUGGUGCCUUUAGGUUGAGACGAAACUUCUCCUUCUUGUACCUUCUCCUUUCCAGCACGAGAUCCCUUUUUUGGUUCAGUCUCCUCUACUUCAAGUGCAGCAAUGUCCCUGUUUUCCUCAGUUUCCUCCAAUUAUGGUAUUACACCAGCGUCUCCUUCUGAGUCUUCAUCCUCAUCUUCCUUCUCUUCAGAUUGUUCAGCAUCACUUUCUUCUUCUUCUUCUUCUUCUUUUUCACCUUAUUCUUCUUCUAGUCCUUAAAAAUCAACAGAACCUUGAAGAUUGCGCAAAGCGAUGGCAGAAAUUGUCAAAUCUUCAUCUUCCUCUUCAUUAUCCUGCAGAAUGAUAGAUUUCUUCUUCUUUGAUGUCUUCAGGACAACAUCCUUUCCCUUGCGCUUCUUUGCAGCAACAAAUCCUUCUUUGAUUUUGCUAGAUGAUUCAUUUUUCAAAAGAUCCAAGGGUUUAAAAAGAUCUUUCAGCCUCAUCUUGGAAAUCAUUUUCAUUCCUAUUUCUAUAGGAGCAAGAGUCAUUGAUCGAAGUUGAGAAGGUAGCGGAAUCUGAAAGUGUCUGAAUAAUCUCAUUAUCAAGGCAGAGUAGGGCAAUUGCUCUUUUUUCCUUUUAUCAUUGUUCUGUACAUGUGUAAAAAGAUAGUAUGUGGGAGAGAAAAAGGAACUCCAUUGCAAAUUGCCCACAUUAUCUUUGCCUCAAACCUUGAAACAUCAGUCUUAGAAGUAGCUUUGGAUCUGAUGCAAUUGAUCACUAUCUUAUCAACAGAAUGUUUGAAGCAGGCAUACGAGAGUAAGUAAUACUCCCACUCAGAUUUCUGUCUUUCACAAAAAAUCUAGUAGCUUGAUUGAUGGAUACAUUUAUGGGUAAAAAACUACUCCGUUCUACACCUAAAAUGUUAGCUAGAAGAUCCAAAUCUACAUCAAACACUCUAUCACAUACAGAAAACUGAGUAUGAGUUUGAUCCAGAAAUGACAGAUUUGAGUAAAAAUAUGCUGUUAAUUCAAGAUAUGCUUCAGAUGUUUCUACACAAAAAUUCUCAAAUUGAAGUUUGGCCAACUUUUCCCUCAAGUUAACCUUUAUAGAAUCCAGAAAGUCAAAGUCUAUUGUUUGCGAGUUUAUGACCCCUAUAUUCAGUAAUCUUAGCCACCACACCCAUCUUCGGUUGGAAAUUUAUAAAGAUUCUCUCACCAUCAUAAGGAAAAUUCAAAAAUUCAUUUUGUCACGCCCCGAUCCUCGAGCGCAUGCCCAUCCCUUUCUGGUCGAUAAAAACUAUGUGACUUCCCAGGUUGAGUCGCCGACCCUUUUCUUUUAUUGCACAUGAGGAAGCAAAUAACAAAUCCCCUGACAGUAACUAUCUUGGGAUAGAAAAGCAGGACAUCACAUUCACAAACAAACACACUUUUAUAAACAUACUGAGUCUUUUACACAAGUCUAUAACCAAAAGACUAGAUCUCAAAAAGAGGCCGUCCUAUCUGACCUACUCUUCAGGUCACCUCAGCUUAGCUCCAAGUCCUCCCUCUACGGUCCUGAAAAUUUUAAGCCCACGACGGGGUGAGAUAUAAAUCUCAGCGAGUUCACGGUCUAAAUCCUGAUUAGGAGGGAAAUACACCGAGAAGUGUCCUAACCACACAACCACUCAAUUGGCACAGAGGACUUACCUUGCCUCAGUUUCCUUUCCUGCACGUCAGUAUAGUUCAUAUCGCAAUGCAUAUAAUCAAUGCAUAUAACAACCGGAACACCUCAUCAAUUCAAUUAAUCACCGGGGUCCUGAUUAUAAGGCCAAACCGUUAUGACACGUCCCAUUUCAUGUCACACAGUUUGGGUCUCAUAAUCGGGUGCAUCAAACUCAACAAUCAUGCGUUCCAAUUGUUAAUUACACCCCUCAAGGGUACGGCCAACUCUAUUGGCGGUCUUCUGGCAUUGCCAGGCGUCGUCUCACCUCAUUUUAGCACGGCUACGUCUCUCAAUUAGACGGCUUCCCCGAAGGGGCGUAGGUCCAGAAUCUACUGCGACCCGAGUCCCAAUGAAUGGGUAACAUCCGACUUAACAACCUAGGACGGUUUCUCUUAACUAGCACACGACCAAUCAAUCUCGGCCCAGGACACUGUGCAUUGCACUCAAAUGUCUCAAUUAAAAUAGUGAACCUGGUCUAUUUUAUUCGUAUUAGAAAUACACGAUAAAAUAGUCGUGUGUGGGUACACGGUCAAUUCACACUAGAAAAACUGAUAUCCUCCAAUUUAAAAUCCCACUGGUUUAUAUAGUACAUAAAAUCAUUUUCGGUGUUAAAACCCGACACUCGGGAUUUUCUGAAUAAAUAAUGAAUUUCACAAAUUUUGGAAUUAAAUACUCAAAAUUCCAAUCAGCACUCAAUUUGCACAAAUUAACAUCAAAUUGCAGAAAUUGAACACACCAUUACAAUCAGCACGAAAUUCCGGUCACCAAGGCUCUGUUUGUUUGUGUUUCUUUUUUUUUUUUUUUGAACACUUUUUCUGUUUUUUUGUUCCUAGGAACAAAAAAGGAACAGAAACGCGUUUGGGUGUGUUUCUGUUCCUUUUUUGUUCUUUUGUUCCCAGAAACAAAAAAGAAACAGAAAUAAGAAACAACAAAUUUGUGUUUCUUAUUUAUGAAACACAUUUGAGGAACACUUUUCUAUUUUCUUCUUAUUUUCUUCUUCUUUUUUCUUUCGCUAGUCGUCGGCCUCGGCCAUGGCCGGCGACCAGCCGACGAGGGCCGGCGGCCUCGCCCAGCCACGGCGAGGUUCGCCGUCCCCCGGCGAGGCCGACCUCGCGCUGGGCUGGGCGAGUCGGCGUCGCCUGGCGGUGGCCCGGCGAGGCCACCGGCCCUCGUCGGCCGGUCGCCGGCCAUGGCCGAGGCCGGCGACCGGCCAAAAGAAGAAAAAAGAAAAAAGGAAAAAGAAAAAAGAAAAAAGAAAAAAGAAAAAAAUAGGAAAAAAUAGAAAAAAAUAGAAAAAAUAAAAGAAAUAAAAAAAUUAUACAAAUUUACCAAACGUGUUUCUAUUUAUUUUUUAUUCCCGGAACAAGUUUACCAAACGAGUUUUUUUGUUCAAAAAUUGUUCCCCGGAACAGAAACACUUUUUUCUAUUUUUGUUCCCUGGAACAAUUUUUAAACAGAAACGCAAACAAACGCACCCCAACUAUCCCGGCCUAAUUUCCGGAAAAUAAUUAAUAAUUAAUAAUUAAAUAAAUUAUCGAGAAUUAAAUAAAUUACAAACUAAAUAAAUUUAAAGCAUUUAAUUGAAAUAACCUAAAUUAACUAAACUAAAUAAUCUAACUAACAAUUAAAUCUAACCAUCUUAUUUAAUUUAAUCUAAGUACACUAACUAAAUAAACUAACUAAUUCCUAACUAAUCCACCUAAAUAAACUAAUUACAUUAACUAAAUACUAACUAUAUACUUAAUCUAACUAAGCCAUCCUAAGCCUAAUCAACAUAAUUAAUCCACAAAUUAGCUAACUAACACACCUCUAAGUGUCAUUAGCCCACUAAUAAAGGAUUAGAAUGCAACUCACCGGUUAUGCCCGAAAAUCGGCUCACGGCCAUGGCGGUGCAACGGCGGCCAAGAUCCGGGCUCACGGCGAGGCCGAGAGAGAUUGGAUCGACUGAAAAACCACAAAAAGAAACUCACGAACUCGGUUGAGUUCAUUGGAAUCCGCUGCUGGCUUCGGUCUUGGUGGACUGAGCGAAGCUAGCGUUGGCAAAUCGGCAAAGAAGAAUUCGGUGGUCUUCAACGGGCUGGUCGUGCGGGUGAUGGACUGCUCGCUUGAAGCUGGACGUGUGGGCUUUGAAGUCAACAAUGGAGGCCUUCGGUUGGGGUUUUGACCGAAGCAAAUGGAGCUUCGGACGCGUGGGCUUUGGUGCGAGGAGAAUUUCACGAGGAAGAUGGCAAAUGGUGGGGUGAUUUGGUGAGUGGAGAAGUAAACGUGAAAUGAAAAAGAAAUGAGAAGGAAGACCGAAGAUGGUGGGGUUGGCUUCGGCCAGUGGCAGAGAUAGAGAAACGAAGGGAUGAAGCUACAAAGAAGAGGAAGAUUGAAGCUGAAGACGUCGCAUGAAGGGAAGGAGGCGGUGGACAGGCGUGCGAAGGAAGCUGCAGCUAAGGAAGAAAAAGUCAAAGAAAAUAUCUUGAUCCUUUAAUGCUUGGUCCCCCCUUUGGUCUUCAUGCAUAUCACCAUGUCCCCUUAUUCUUUCUAACAAAUAUAAUCCAAAAAUUAACCCAAUUGAUGCUAAAAUCAGUCCUCAAACCAUAGCUCCGAAUUUCACUGAUUUUAGAAUUCAAUUUCAUCAUCAAAUUCUCAAUUUCGAAGUCCAAUUUCAUCGAAGAAAAAUCCCACACAUGUCCAUAAAUUCCCAUCACCUGGUAGCUCGGCUUAAAAGUCGAAAUUUCCUUCAAAUGAGCUAAACCGAAUUUCCAUUUGAUUUCCGAAUCGAUUUUCCGUAAAAAUCUCGGAAUCUCCGAAAAUUUUUUGGAAAGUGAGUCGAUGUUCCUAAAAUGAAUCGUGACACAGCAGAACUUUCAAUUUCUAAAAUCGAGUUCAAUUUCGCAGUUAAUUUCACUCUGACGUGAUUUUAGCGCGUCCCAAUCUACUAGGUAGCUUUUAGGAACUUUUAAUGCAAUUGACUCGUGGUCGAUUAUUUUCGAGCCACAAUGUACAUCUUCGACACAUUGGCUACUCUCAAUUGUCGUGAAAAUCUCGAGAUUUCAAAUACGGACACAAGGUACAAAAAUGACAGAAAAAUCGGUCUAAUACCGUUCGACAGAAAUUUUGCAAUUAGGUGGAAUCACCCACGCACUAAUCACAUGUCUCUAUCGAAUCGACCUAUCUCCGGUCUCUGAUCCAUUUUAACGGUGCUGUAAUGACCCUUGCAGAUUAGCACGGUUGAGCAGUCGAUUCCCGGUCCAAAUUCUCAUGUCUAUUGUGUUUAGAUUCCUUAACGGCUUCACCUGAUAAACUAGUUAACUCGUGAGUGGCCAACUCAGAGAAAAAGGCUAUAGACACGUCGAUGAAAAGCCCAAUUCGUCUCAUCGAAAUCAGACUCGAAAAUCAAGAUGUCACAACUCUUCCCCUCUUAUAAAAAUUUCGUCCUCGAAAUUUAAACCUAUUACACAUCUUAAACAAAAAGGUGGGGGUACAUUCGUCUCAUCGAUUCUUCAGUUUCCCAAGUUGCUCCUUCAGUGCCGUGGUGUUGCCAGACCACUUUGACCAAUGGGAUGGUCUUGGUGCGCAGAACUUGCUCUUUGCGAUCUAUAAUCUGAACCGGGCUCAGCUUUCCUUUCUUGCCAAAGCACGAAAUACCCCUCAUUGGUGACACCUUCAGAAAGACGUGAUCACCAACUUGGAAUUCCAAGGGCCUUCGACGCUUAUCAGCGUAGCUUUUCUGACGGCUCUGAGCGGUCUUUAAUCUGUCUCUGAUGACUGCAACUGCAUCCACUGAUUGCUGAACUAACUCUGGGCCUGUAACUUUUCGUUCCCCAACUUCAUCCCAACACACUGGCGUUCUACACGCUCUGCCAUACAACGCUUCAAAAGGAGCCAUAUGAAUGCUCUACUGGUAGCUGUUGUUGUAGGCGAACUCAACAAGAUGAAGCUGUUCCUCCCAGCUUCCCUUGAAAUCCAACACGCAAGCUCGUAACAUGUCUUCGAGGGUUUGAAUUGUCCUCUCAGACUAGCCAUCCAUCUCAGGAUGAUAGGCCGUACUGUACUGCAGCUUCGUUCCCAAAGCACUCUGCAAGCUUUUCCAAAAUGCAGCUGUAAACCUCGGGUCUCGGUCUGAUGUAAUCGUCACUAGCACUCCAUGCAGACGAACUAUCUGUCGCACAUACAACUCUGCGUGCCUGUCCAAAUCAAGGUCCUUUCGGAUUGCAAUAAAGUGAGCCGACUUUGUCAGUCUGUCGACCACUACCCAAAUAGAGUCAUUACCUCUCUGACUCCUUGGUAAGCCCGUCACAAAGUCCAUUGUGAUAUGUUCCCAUUUCCACUCGGGAAUCUCGAGAGGUUGUAGAAAUCCUCCCGGCUUACAAUGUUGAGCUUUGACCUACUAACACGUCAAACACUUGGCGACAUGCUUGGUGAUGUCCGCCUUCAUACCAGACCACCAAUAGUGUUGACGUAGAUUCUAAUACAUUUUUGUACUACCAAGAUGAAUGCUAUAAUUGCUACGAUGAGCUUCUGAUAAGAUCUCUUCUCUAAGCUCUACAUCGUCAGGUACACACAAUCGUCCUUGGAACCUCAGUGUUUCAUCAUCAGAAAUCUGAAAGUCAGGUUUUCUCUUAUCUACAUCUUCUUGUAGGAUCUUCUGAAUUUCUGGAUCUGUUGACUGAAGUGUUUUGAUUCUAACUUGCACUUCCGGCUCAAUUCUGAGAGUGGCCAUAAGAUUUGAAAUAUGGCCUACCUCAAAUUUGAAAAUCAAAUCUCUAGCAUUCUCAAUCAAAGUCCAUUCCUUAAGUACCAUCUGUGCAACUGAAGAUUUCCGACUCAGCGCAUCUGUGACUUUAUUCGCCUUUCCAGGGUGAUAGAAGAUAUCACCAUCAUAGUCCUUCAAGAGUUUCAUCCAGUGACGCUGUCUCAUAUUCAAUUCCUUUUGAGAGAAUAGAUACUUGAGACUUUGAUGGUCAGUGAAGAUCUGGAAUCUUUCUCCACACAAGUAAUGUCUCCAAAUCUUCAAAGCGAAAAUAAUUGCUGCGAGUUCUAAGUCAUGCGUCAGGUAAUUCAAUUCAUGAGGUCUCAACUGACGGGACACGUAUGCAACAACUCUGCCAUAUUGCAUCAACACGCAACCUAGUCCUCUAAACGACGCAUCACUAUAGAUCUCGUAUCCUCCAAGACCAGAUGGUAUAGUCAGCACAAGUGCGGUAGUCAACUUUUCCUUAAGCUCUUGGAAACUAUGCUCGCACUUGUCUGUCCAAACAAAUUUCUCUUCCUUCUUCAAUAGUCGAGUCAAAGGCGAAGCUAUAGUUGAAAACCCUUCCACGAACCUUCUGUAAUACCCUGCUAAACCCAAAAAGCUUCUGAUCUCUAUCACGGUUGUCGGUCUUGGCCAGUUGAUCACUGCUUCUAUCUUGCUUAGGUCCAUGGAAAUUCCUUCUCUUGAAAUCACGUGACCUAGGAAAGUAACACGAGUCAACCAAAACUCGCACUUGCUAAACUUAGCAUACAGCUCAUGAGUCCUUAGAGUCUGCAGUACCAAUCUUAAAUGCCCUUCAUGCCUCUCUGGACUUCUAGAGUACACUAGGAUAUCGUCGAUGAACACGAUCACAAACUGAUCCAGGUAUUCUUUGAAAACUCGGUUCAUCAAAUCCAUGAAUGCAGCUGGAGCGUUUGUCAAUCCGAACGGCAUUACAAUGAAUUCAUAAUGGCCGUAUCGAGUAUGAAACACUGACUUCGGAAUGUCUUCCUUCCUGAUCCUCAGCUGAUGAUAUCCCGUCCUCAGGUCGAUUUUAGAAAAUAUCGACGCUCCUUGCAACUGAUCAAACAAGUCAUCAAUCCUCGGCAAUGGAUACUUGUUCUUGAUCGUCACCUGAUUGAGUUGGCGAUAGUCAAUGCAUAGGCGCAACGAACCAUCAUUCUUCUUCACGAACAGAGCUGGUGCUCCCCAAGGCGAUGCACUGGGACGUAUGAAUCCCUUAUCCAACAAUUCUUGCAUCUGCACCUUCAAUUCUUUCAACUCUGACAAAGCCAUCCGGUAAGGAGCCUUAGAGAUCGGCUCUGUCCGGGGCUAACUCAAUCACAAACUCUAUUUCCCUUUCUAGUGGCAGACCUGGCAAUUCUUUCGGGAAUACAUCUGGAAACUCCUGAACCACUGCAAUAUCCUCAAUCUUUAGCUCCUCAACUAUCGUAUCCACGACAGUUGCCAGGUAACCUUGGCAACCCCCAUCUAGCAACCGGGUUGCCUCUAGCGACGAGAUUAAAGAAAUCAAGGGUCCUCCUCGACUCCCAAUAAACUCGAAGCUCUCACCCUCUAACGGGUUAAACUGAAUCGCCUUGCGAUAACAGUCUAGCUUAGCUCGUUGCUUGGUGAGCCAGUCCAUGCCAAUAAUCAGGUCGAAGUCAUACAUGGCUAGGACUAUCAAGUCUAUCUUCCCCUCUCGCUCACCAAUCGCUAACGUGCAACCAGGACAACCCACUAUAAUUAAUACAUUAUCCUUUAACGGUGUCGAUAUACUAACCACCGACUCCAAAAACUCAAGAAUCAAUCCUACCAACUUAACAUACUGCUCAGCUAUAAAUGAAUGAGUAGCUCCAGGGUCAAAUAAAGCAUAAGCAGCGUGGUUGUUCAACGAGACGGUACCUGUAAUCACAUUAGGAGUAUCCUGCACCUGUCCUCUGGUGAUAGGAUAUGUCCUUCCUUGAGCUGGAGGUCGGUUAAAUUUGCCUUGCUCUGCAUUCGGUGGCGGAAGUCCUCGAAUUUGACCCAUCGGUGGCGGUGGCGGCAACUAUGGUCCCAUCUGUCUCCUGGGACAAUUCUUGGCCAUGUGACCAUGCUGGCCACAUACAAAACAAGCACCUGUCCUAGCUGGACACGGGGCUGAUCCGUGUUGUCCUCCGCAGGAGCGACACGCUUUGAAUUGACUCGGUGACUUUCCUAUCCCACCUCUCCUGUUGAGUGGAAUAGGAUAUCUUCCUCCAGUCAUCGGUCUCUUCCCAAACCGAUUUCCAUCUCGGUUCGAACUAAACUGCGACCCAGAUGCAGCAGCUUGUUCAUUCUGGUCUCUCUCGAUCAUCUGGACCCGUUCAUACAGGUCGUUGUAGUUCCUCAAAUUCAGUAGUAUCAGUGGACUUCUCAGUUCCGGCCUGAGUCCAUCUCUAAACCUUCUAACUUGGUCUAUCGGAUUUUCAACCAACCUAGGGGCGUACUGCGAUAGUUCAGCAAACUUCGCUUCAUACUAAUCAACUAUCAUCGAGCCUUAGUGAAGGCGUUGAAAUUCUGCCAUCUUCACUUCUCUGGCAGUCUCAGAAAAAUAUUUGUUGUUGAAGACUUCGAUGAAGGCAUUCCACUCCAGAACCACACCUUCAGGAAACACUGUUCCUUUGGUGGCUCUCCACCAUGUGCCUGCUAUCCCUUUCAGUUGGUAGACGACAAGAGCGACCUUUUCUGCCUCGGUGCACAUCAGUAGUGCAAAGGCAUUUUCCAACUCCUGGACCUAGAGGGCUGCAGCCUCAGGAUCUCCCGCGCCAGUGAACUUUGGCGGGUUCAACUUUAAAAACUGUUCCACCAGAUUAUGCAUUGGCCUCACAGCAGCCAUGUUCCCAGGUGGAACUUCAGCAGGUGCGGUAGCGGCGGUAGCAGCAAUAGCAGCAUUGGCAACGGCAGCAACAGCAGCUGUAGCAGCGGUGGUAAUGGCGGCUACUUGAUUAUGGGCUUGUUGAUCCAUUCGAUUUCUCAUUGUCUCAAGCACAUGCAUGAUCCUGUCCACUCUUGGAUCACCAUGAGCUACUACUCCAGCACCAACUGGAGGUGGUGCAGUUCCACUCGCACUGGCCUGAGCCGGCGCUUUACCUCGGCCACCCCGGGCACCGGCUCUUGUCGACGUCCUGGCCUGAGUAACUGAGGAUAAGGUCCUCUGCCUAGAAGUUCUCGGCUCCUGAUCACUCAUACUGUAGAUCUUCUACAACACCUAUUCCCAAUUCCAUAUAGAAUUAGAAACUAAGUGAUCUCACAACCAAUUUAGCAAACAACUAUCAAUCACAUGCAUCAGCAUGAAAAUAGAGGUAAUUCCUACUAACUAUCCCAAGAACCCAUCGCACCUUAUCACUCCACUAUUAACCCGCUCUGAUACCACUUAAUGGGGAUGUCAUGCCCCGAUCCUCGAGCGCAUGCCCAUCCCUCUCUGGUCGAUAAAAACUAUGUGACUUCCCAGGUUGAGUCGCCGACCCUUUUCUUUUAUUGCACAUGCGGAAGCAAAUAACAAAUCCCCUGACAGUAACUAUCUCGGGAUAGAAAAGCAGGACAUCACAUUCACAAACAAACCACACUUUUGUAAACAUACUGAGUCUUUUACACAAGUCUAUAACCAAAAGACUAGAUCUCAAAAAGAGGCUGUCCUAUCUGACCUACUCUUCAGGUCACCUUAGCUUAUCUCUAGGUCCUCCCUCUACGGUCCUGAAAAUUUUAAGCCCAAGAUGGGGUGAGAUAUAAAUCUCAGCGAGUUCACGGUCUAAGCCCUGAUUAGGAGGGAAAUACACCGAGAAGUGUCCUAACCACACAACCACUCAAUUGGCACAGAGGACUUACCUUGCCUCAGUUUCCUUUCCUGCACGUUAGUAUAGUUCAUAUCGCAAUGCAUAUAAUCAAUGCAUAUAACAACCGGAACACCUCAUCAAUGCAAUUAAUCACCGGGGUCUUGAUUAUAAGGCCAAAUCGUUAUGACACAUCCCAUUCCAUGUCACACAGUUUGGGUCUCAUAACCGGGUGCAUCAAACUCAACAAUCAUGCGUUCCAAUUGUUAAUUACACCCCUCAAGGGUACGACCAACUCUAUUGGCGGUCUUCUGGCAUUGCCAGGCGUCAUCUCACCUCCUUUGAGCACGGCUACGUCUCUCAAUUAGAUGGCUUCCCCGAAGGGGCGUAGGUCUAGAAUCUACUGCGACCCGAGUCCCAAUGAAUGGGUAACAUCCGGCUUAACAGCCUAGGACGGUUUCUCUUAACCAGCACACGACCAAUCAAUCUAGGCCCAGAACACUGUGCAUUGCACUCAAAUAUCUCAAUUAAAAUAGUGAACCUAGCCUAUUUUCUUCGUAUUAGAAAUACACGAUAAAAUAGUCGUGUGUGGGUACACGGUCAAUUCACACUAGAAAAAAAUGAUAUCCUCCAAUUCAAAAUCCCACUGGUUUAUAUAGUACAUAAAAUCAUUUUUCGGUGUUAAAACCCGACACCCGGGAUUUUCUGAAUAAAUAAUGAAUUUCACAAAUUUUGGAAUUAAAUACUCAAAAUUCCAAUCAGCACUCAAUUUGCACAAAUUAACAUCAAAUUGCAGAAAUUGAACACACCAUUGCAAUCAGCACGAAAUUCCGGUCACCGACUAUCCCGGCCUAAUUUCCGGAAAAUAAUUAAUAAUUAAAUAAAUUAUCGAGAAUUAAAUAAAUUACAAACUAAAUAAAUUUAAAGCAUUUAAUUGAAAUAACCUAAAUUAACUAAACUAAAUAAUCUAACUAACAAUUAAAUCUAACCAUCCUAUUUAAUUUAAUCUAAGUACACUAACUAAAUAAACUAACUAAUUCCUAACUAAUCCACCUAACUAAACUAAUUACACUAACUAAAUACUAACUAUAUACUUAAUCUAACUAAGCCAUCCUAAGCCUAAUCAACAUAAUUAAUCCACAAAUUAGCUAACUAACACACCUCUAAGUGUCAUUAGCCCACUAAUAAAGGAUUAGAAUGCAACUCACCGGUUAUGCCCGAAAAUCGGCUCACGGCCAUGGCGGUGCAACGGCGGCCAAGAUCCGGGCUCACGGCGAGGCCGAGAGAGAUUGGAUCGACUGAAAAACCACAAAAAGAAACUCACGAACUCGGUUGAGUUCAUUGGAAUCCGCUGCUGGCUUCGGUCUUGGUGGACUGAGCGAAGCUAGCGUUGGCAAAUCGGCAAAGAAGAAUUCGGUGGUCUUCAACGGGCUGGUCGUGCGGGUGAUGGACUGCUCGCUUGAAGCUGGACGUGUGGGCUUUGAAGUCAACAAUGGAGGCCUUCGGUUGGGGUUUUGACCGAAGCAAAUGGAGCUUCGGACGCGUGGGCUUUGGUGCGAGGAGAAUUUCACGAGGAAGAUGGCAAAUGGUGGGGUGAUUUGGUGAGUGGAGAAGUAAACGUGAAAUGAAAAAGAAAUGAGAAGGAAGACCGAAGAUGGUGGGGUUGGCUUCGGCAAGUGGCAGAGAUAGAGAAACGAAGGGAUGAAGCUACAAAGAAGAGGAAGAUUGAAGCUGAAGACGUCGCACGAAGGGAUGGAGGCGGUGGACAGGCGUGCGAAGGAAGCUGCAGCUAAGGAAGAAAAAGUCAAAGAAAAUAUCUUGAUCCUUUAAUGCUUGGUCCCCCCUUUGGUCUUCAUGCAUAUCACCAUGUCCCCUUAUUCUUUCUAACAAAUAUAAUCCAAAAAUUAACCCAAUUGAUGCUAAAAUCAGUCCUCAAACCAUAGCUCCGAAUUUCACUGAUUUUAGAAUUCAAUUUCAUCAUCAAAUUCUCAAUUUCGAAGUCCAAUUUCAUCGAAGAAAAAUCCCACACAUGUCCAUAAAUUCCCAUCACUUGGUAGCUCGGCUUAAAAGUCGAAAUUUCCUUCAAAUGAGCUAAACCGAAUUUCCAUUUGAUUUCCGAAUCGAUUUUCCGUAAAAAUCUCGGAAUCUCCGAAAAAUUUUCGGAAAGUGAGUCGAUGUUCCUAAAAUGAAUCGUGACACAGCAGAACUUUCAAUUUCUAAAAUCGAGUUCAAUUUCGCAGUUAAUUUCACUCUGACGUGAUUUUAGCGCGUCCCAAUCUACUAGGUAGCUUUUAGGAACUUUUAAUGCAAUUGACUCGUGGUCGAUUAUUUUCGAGCCACAAUGUACAUCUUUGACACAUUGGCGACUCUCAAUUGUCGUGAAAAUCUCGAGAUUUCAAAUACGGACACAAGGUACAAAAAUGACAGAAAAAUCGGUCUAAUACCGUUCGAUAGAAAUUUUGCAAUUAGGUGGAAUCACCCACGCACUAAUCACAUAUCUCUAUCGAAUCGACCUAUCUCCGGUCUCUGAUCCAUUUUGACGGUGCCGUAAUGACCCUUGCAGAUUAGCACGGUCGAGCAGUCGAUUCUUGGUCAAAUUCUCAUGUCUAUUGCGUUUAGAUUUCUUAACGGCUUCACCGGAUAGACUAGUUAACUCGUGAGUGGCCAACUCAGAGAAAAAGGCUAUAGACACGUCAAUGAAAAGCCCAACUCGUUUCAUCGAAAUCAAACUCGAAAAUCAGGAUGUCACACAUUCUCUGCUGUUCCUUUUGGUGCCAAUCCUAACCUUUCCAUCGUUCUCAAAAGUAGAGUUUCAUUUCCAUAUUCAUUGUCUUUCAUGAAGUUAGUGAUAAAGUCCAUAGGAUUUCCACCCUGUUUCAAAAGCAUAUAAUGUUUGAAAAGUACCUCAGGCCUCUUUACUGAGAUGGGUGUUGCCUCAUUUAUAACUUCCUCAUCUGUAGAGUGACGAGGAGUACUUCGGGGAGAAUCUUCUCCAAUCAUAUCAAAAUGAGUUGAUGCUUCAGGCAUAUUACGAGGGCUCCGACUAGUGAUGCAAGAAGAUUUCCUCUAGAACAAGAUUGUUGCAGAUUUGGAGGACUUCGACGACAUGCUCGAGUUGAAGAGAGAAAGAAGUUUGCAGAGUUUUUCUGCAAAAAAUCGAGAGAGAGAUGGGAGUUCGAGAAUUAGGGUUUGAGAACACUGUGUUCAAAAGAAAUAAUUCACAAAAUUUAAAGAAAUCGAAAUGGGGCAAAUGAAUCGUCACAAAGAAAAAUGCCUUUUCGGAAAACAAUUUAAAAAGAUAGCUACCAAAAAUUUGAAAUGUAAUCCGAAAAAUCUGCAAUAAAAUUGUCAUUUCCAAAAAGAAAAAGGGCAAGCGAUGAUUUGGAGUCAAUCAUACCUGUUUAUUUUUACGUGCCAAAAAUAAAAUACCUAGAUUGGAGAGAUUUCCAUACUAAAGUAACUUCCUUAAGUUGAAAUGUUGAGUCUAAUUAACCGUAGACUUUAGUCGAGAGGAAUGAUGAUAUUCAGCUUGUUACGAAUUGAUUCAAAUAAGCUUUUCUCCAAUAGCUUUGUAAAGAUAUCUACCAGUUGAUUCUUUGAAUCAAUAAAUUGAACAUUAAUCUCGUCAUUCUGUACAUGAUCUCUUAUGAAAGGAUGACGAAUCUCAAUAUGUUUUGCUUUCGAAUGAAGAAUUGGAUUUCUAGUAAGGUUGAUAGCACUUGCAUUGUCACAUCUAAUUUCCGUGCAGAAUUCUUCAAUUCCGAAGUCUCUUAGUUGUUGUCUAAUCCAUAGAAUUUGUGAGUAGCAACUUCCAAGAACAACACAUUCUGCUUCUACUGUAGAUAGAGCCACAGUACUUUGCUUUCUUAAAAACUAUGAUAUCAGCAUUUGUCCCAGUAAUUGACAUGUGUCAGACGUACUUUUUAUGUCGACUCUACAAUUGGCUAGAUCAGCAUCAAAAUAACCAAGUAAAGUAAAGUCUCCUCCUUUUGGAUACCACAGACCUAGCUUUGGAAAAGUAUUAAUAUAUUUGAUGAUACAUUUAACAACACAUAUGCACACACUAAAUAGAAUGUCAGGUCUAGAGGCAGUGAGAUAAAAAAGAGAACCAAUAAUGCUUAUGUAUAACUUUUGAUCUACUUUCUUUCCUCCUUCGUCCUUGUCGAGCUUUGAUGAGCUGGACAUGGGAGUUUCUGUUCUUUUGCAGUUCUCUAUUCCAAACUUCUUGACAAUAUCUUUGGCAUAUUUCUCUUGGUGAAUGAAUGUUCCUUUCUUUAAUUGUCUUAUUUGCAAUUCUAUAAAGAAGAUCAAUUUACCCAUCAUGCUCAUUUCAAAUUCUUCCUGCAUAGAUCUUGAAAAUUCCUUGCAUGGAUUUUCGUUAGGAAAUCCAAAGAUUAUAUCAUCUACAUAAAUCUAUACAAGUAGAAAAUCUUUUUCUUCUCUUUUUAUAAACAAGGUUGUAUCCACUUUUCCUUUCUCAGAGCCAUUAUUUGUUAAAAACUUACUCAACCUUUCAUACCAAGCUUGACAUGCCUGUUUUAGACCAUACAAUGCAUUCUUCAGUCUGUAGAUAGAGUAUGGUUUUCUUGCAUCUUCAAAUCCUAAUGGUUGUUCCACAUAUACUUCUUCUUGUAUGAAUCCAUUAAGGAAAGCGCUUUUGACGUCUAUCUGGAAUAACCUGAAUUUUUGAAAAUAGGCAAAAGUAAAUAAUAAUUUAAUUGCUUCUAACCUUACCACAGGUACAUAAGUCUCGUCGUAGUCUAUCACUUCUUCAUGUGUGUAACCUUUUGCCACAAGCCCUACUUUGUUUCUAAUUACUUUACCUUUUUCAUCCUUAUUUCCGAAAACCCACUUUGUUCCAAUCACACAUUUUCCUUUAGGCUUAGGAAUCAGCUCCCACACAUUAUUAAUGUUGAAUUGUCUAAGUUCUUCCUACAGAGCUUCUAUUGAGCUUUCGUCAGACAAUGCUUUUUCUACUCCUUUUGGUUCUAUUUCUGAAAUAAGUGCUACUGCACUAGAAUCUUCUUUUCCUUUGGAUCUGGUGCAGAUUCCUUCAUCUAAUUUGCCAAUGAUGAAUUCUUUGGGAUGACUUGAUUUAUGCUUCCAAUUGCCAUUUGAUUUGACAUUCUGUUAAUCAUCCGUUUCCUUUUAUUCAUCUAGUUCUGCUUGUUGAUGUACUCUAGAAGAUUGAAGUUCUCCGAGGGAAUUAGACUUUAUCGAGUCUAGAACUGGUUUAGACUCUUCAAGUUGAAUCUGAUUUGGUUGACUCUGCAUAUUUUCCUGAAAUCUGAUGUUCAUUGAUUCUUCUACAGAUUGAGUCUUCUUGUUAAAGACCCCUAUAAGAUUUACUUGACAUUGAAUAGCCAAGAAAAAUUCAUUCAUCCGAUUUUUCUUCAAACUUUCUAGAUCGAUCAUUUGUGUUCUUCAAGAUAAAGCACUUACAGCCAAAAACAUGAAAGUAGGAGAUGUUAGGCUUAUUCUCUUUAUAUACUUCAUAGAGAGUCUUCUCUAGGAUAGGCCUUAAAAACACCAUGUUGAUUAUAUAACAGGUAGUAGAGACUGCUUCUGCCCAAAAUUGAGAAGAUAUUUUGCUUCUAUCAAUAGAAUUCUGGCCAUUUCUUGUAAAGAUCUAUUUUUCCUUUCCACAACUCCAUUUUGUUCUGGAGUAUAUGGAGAAGAGAAAAUAUGUUGAAAACCAGAUUCAUCACAGAAGUUUGCAAAAUCCUAAUUUUCAAACUCACCUCCAUGAUCUAUUCUUAUGCUUGAAAUAGCAUAACAUUUCUCGUUCUAAACUUUCUUGGAAAACUUUGAAAAAUAAGAGAAAGUUUCAAACUUAUUUGCCAAAAAGAAUACUCAAGAGAAACGUGAAUAAUCAUCCACAAUUAUUAGAUAAUAUUUCUUUCCACCAAUACUCUGAGUUCUUGUUGGUCCAAAAAGAUCUAUAUGGAGAAGCUGCAAACACGACUAGUAGAAAAUUGAUUUACUGGUUUAAAGGAACUUCUUACUUGUUUUCCUAAGAUAUAAGGAGUGCACAAAUCAGACUUCUGAUAAGCCAAAUUUGGAAGCCCUCGAACCAACUUCUUGGGAGAAAUUUUGGCAAUCUAUUUCAUAUUUACGUGACCAAGCUUUCGAUGCCAGAGACUUACUUCAUCUUGAAUUGAGAUAAGGCACUGAGAAUUUUCUGGAUUUAUGUCCAGAAGAUAUAUAUUGCCAUGCAUUCUCCCAGUAAAGGAUUGAGGGAAAUCUUGACUUAUUCUAGAACAAAUACCUUCUUGAAAGUUUAUUCUGAAACUUGUAUCACAAAGCUGACUUAUACUGAGAAGAUUGUAGUUGAAGUCUUUUACCAAGAAAACAUUGUUGAUAGUCAGACUUCCGAUCCUGAUUGUUUCAUAUCCUAUAAUCUUCCCUUUACUGUUUCCACCAAAAGAAACAUUUCCUCUUUUUAAUCUUUCAAGCUUCACAAAGCAGCUUGAGUCUCCUGUCAUAUGCUCAAAACAGCCAUUAUCCAAAUACCAUUUGAUUUUUCUUUUAAUAGUGACUUGCAUUCAGAAGAAAAACUCAAACUUUUUUUGGUACACAGAUUUUCUUAGGUCUAAGAGACUAGCGUUAAAAAUAAUCUUUGUCCAAUUCUUCUUAAUUGGGCUCUAAACUUUGGGACAUUCAUUUUCAAAAUGUUUUGAGCUGUUGCACUUAGAACAUUCGAGAGUACUUCGACCAACAGGUUUUACAAACACUUUUUGAAAAUGAUUUUUGUAAAAUGCCUUUACGAACACUUUAGGAAAAUCAAUUAAAGGAAUAGUUUCAUUAUUUAUACCCAAAUCUGAUUUGUCAAAAUAGCAUAUUUGAGCUGUAAGAGUUUUCUCCAAUUUUUCUGAUCCUCUGGAAAACCUUUUUGAAAUAUCUGAAAUAUCCCUUUUAAAACCAACAUUUUCUUUUAAAAGAGAAUCAGAAUUUUCUUUCAAAUCAUCAAAACUUCUUUUCACACUUUCAAACUUUUCUUUCCAAUAGAUUUCCUAUUGCCUGAGCUUAGAAUUUUCCUUUUUCAGUUCGAAAAUCCUUUUAAGAGAGGAUUUAAGAUUGAGGCAAAGUUCAUUUAUAUACAUAGAAACUUUAACAGGAAUUUCUAAGUGACUAACCUCGAAUUCUUUGUCAGAAUCUAAAUUAGUGUCUGUUUCUGAUUUUGAGUCUGACUCUGAGUGAGCCAUCAAACAUAUGUUUGCAAAUUCCUCUUCAUUUUCUUCACAUUCAGUGUCACUCCAAGUUUCUACUUUAAGAGCUUUCUUAUACUUCUCAGACUUCCCUUUGUUCUUUUUCAACAAGAGAUAGUUUGGUCUGAUGUGCCCAUUUUUCUUACACUCGAAACAUAUUAUGUCCUUGCUAGUUUCAACAUCUUCCGCUGGUCUUUUCUGGGAAUUUUGCAUGCUUUACUUCUUUCAAUUCAACCUUCUUCCCUUUCUGUUUAGUUUUCUGAAUUUCUUUAUCAUAAGGGCCAACUCCUCAUCAUCCAUAUCAUCGUUCGAAUCUGUAUAAUCAGAAUCAAAGUUAGACCUUAAUGUAAUUGAUUUCUUACAUUUUGGAUCUUCUUUAUCAUUAAUCUACUCCACUUCGUAUGAUUGAAAUGUGCCUAUCAGUUCGUCAACUAAUAGAGGCAUGAUCCUCUAAGUCUCUCUUAUUGAAGUCUUCAUAUGAUUCCAGUCCUUUGAAAGUCCAUGUAGUAGUUUGUUGACUUUCAUUAGUCUAAAAAUUGGUUGAUUUUGAUAGGCUAGGCCAUCCACAAUUUUCCACAAUUUCUAUAAAGCGACUGGACAUAUCACAAAUAGAUUCUCCAGGCUUUAUUUUGAAGGAUUCAUAUUGUUUAAGUAGAAUAUUUAUCUUUGUCUCCUUCACACGAUCAGUCCUCUCAUAAGUGACGUAAAGUCUGUCCCAAACUUCUUUUGCUGUUUCACGGGAGGAGAUUAUGUUGUAUUUAGUGGGAGACAAGGAACAAUAUAAGGAAUAAAUUGUUUUUGCAUCAAGAGCCUAUUUCUUGGCAAUUUCCGCUUGUGUAGAUUCAUAAGCAUCUUUUUCAAUCACUUCGUUCCCUUUGUUUGAAGCCGAUGUUGCUUUUGGAUUGAUUCUUCUUUCGACAACAUCCCACUCCAGGGGAUCUCUGAAUCUGAGUAAUGCCUCAUUUUGUUCUUCCACACAUUAUACUCAUUUCCAUCGAAAUAAGGAGAUCUGGUAUUGCUCUAUCUUUCAACCAAUCUUGGAGCCAAAAUACUAGUCAUAAAAGAUCUUUAACUUAGAAGUAACAACACUUCAAUAAAGUAAGCACACACGGCUCCAAUACCAAUUGAAAAAGCUAGUAUAAACACCUAGAGGGGGGUGAAUAGGUGUAAAAACAGAUUUGUCUAAAAAUGCAAUAAAAAUAUUUUUCUUUUAAACUCAGUCUGUUUAACAAGAGACUAUGAUAAAGAUUCAAACUUAAAUAAUAUAGCGAAACUUAGAAAAAUAUCACAGCAAAUAAAUUAAAGGAGUUCGGGGAAUAGAAAAUGAACAUAAGAUUUACAGUGGUUUGGCUUAGAUUAAGUCUACGUCCACUCUCCCACACUGACAGCCUUCUAGCUGGUUUUCACUAUGAAUCGAAAGAGAAUUACAGCAAAAUAAGACUGACUACUCAGUAAAUAGUUUCUUUUUCUCUCACUAAGUCACUCUUUAAUGUUUCUCUCUCUUUCGAAUACACGUUUGAGCACUAUUAAGGAAGAACAAGUGAUUUGAGAAGCUCAGACUUUGGAAUUCUAGUUUUCACGCUCUCUCAUAAAUGACCCAAAAAACCUUUUUAAAUACCCCCAUGCCUUUGCGACCGUUAGCACUAUCCAGAAAAAUUCUUCCAAUCAAUCCGUUGGACAAAAUCAAUCAAAGAGAUCUUGAGUCAUUUGAAGAUUGAGAUGAAAAUUCGAUGAUCUUAGUCGCCCAUACAAUUAGAACUUGGUUUUCAUAAAUAGAUUCUUUCCAAAUAAACUUGUCUUCCAAAUUGAUUUUACCGUUCCAUGAUUGAUUUCAUCAAUAAUAUCCAAAAAGAUAAGUGAGAUUUCCUACCAGAAAGCCAGAUAUAUCUUGUUUGUACUGAAUCCUUGAAGGAAGAAUAAUAAUCCAGAGUUUGAUUAUUUCUUCGUUCUUCACUUGAGUUCAGUUUGGGUCUUCGUCAAAGUGAGGCAGACUUAUGAUGUAAUGUAGACUUUGAUGGAAUUCCACAGAAGUCUAGUAUUCAUCAGAAUGUGAAUAAGAAUAGAAAUAUAAAGUUUUGUCAACUUCAAAAUCUAAUAGGAGUUUUCUCAACAAAAACAACAUUGUUCUAUACUUCAAAAGAGUGGCCACACACUUCUAGACAUGAUAUGGAAACUAAGUUCCAUCUAAAGGAAUAUACAUAAAGUGUUUCUCAAAAUUAAAUGCAAGCCAGAAUCCAUAAUCCAUAGUCAAAACAAUUCCUUCCACUAAAUUGACGUUAAAUGUUGUUUUCCAUUAUGAGUUAUGAUUCAUCCUAAUUUGGUUUCCUUAGAUUUAUGAAUCCCUUUAUGGUAAACAACAUAAUUUGUUGCACUGCUAUCUAGCCACUAAGAACCGAAUGAGGCUUUUGGUAGACAUAUGAUUCAUAAAUAAAUGCCAAUGAAUCAUUAGCUCUAGACAUAUGCUUAGACAACCAAGUUUUAUAUUCAUUACAGUGUUCCUUAUGUGUCAUUUCUUUUCCACAAAGGUAGUGAAUAACACCAUUUCCCUUAAAGGGUGCUAUCCUGAGAUUAGAUUGUCAAAAUGACCGGUGGUUUCAUGAAUUAUUGUAUGAGUACGAUUUUGGACUUCAAAUUUACCAUCCUUAGGACGUAAUCCUUAACCUCAUUAGAACCAUCAUACCUUGUGUUGAAGAGUCAUUAUAUUUAUCCCAAUCUCGGUAAUAGACAAGACACAAUUUCAAACUACCAAGGCUUUCAUCAUCCUUUUAGCAAUGCGGUUAGCUGGUAAACUAUUUUCAAGUGUUCCUAAUGGAACGCCUCAUGGAUAACAAAUAAAUUCAAUUGCCAUUUUCCCAAGCAACAAUCAAUACUUUCUAGUUCCAUAUCACCAAUAGUGAUAUUGCCAGCUUAUUUUCAGUAAAAGCAAUAUGAAUAUCUACCAGCUUUAUCCUUAAUAGAAAAUCCUCUUUUUCAUUACUUAAAAUUUGACCUAGUAGGAACCUCAAUCACAACGAAGUUGCCAUUACAAAGAAUGUAAUUUAAUAACAAGCAAUUGGCAUCAUGUGAGUAUUAUGUAACUUGAAAAUCUUAUAAGUACACAUCUUGAGAGAUACAUGCAUUAUCAUAUAAAUACCUUUGAGUAGAAUACAUGACAUGCAAUUGCACACUCUCCACAUGAUAGUGGUCGUGAGAAUAUAUUCUAACAUUUUUCGAAUUCACCACAUUUGGGUGUAUAAACCACUAGGGUCAGCCACUCAUCAACUAUAUGCUGUACAUGCAUUCCUCCAUGAACUAACACACAAUUACCUAUUUUGGGAGUAUAACUACGUAUUAAAACAUGAGACAUCCCAUCACAAUAUGAGACUGAUAUUUUUCAAACGCAGUUAAAUGUGCCACUUUGGCAGUCACAACACAAUUGAAUCAUUGAAACUCUCUCAUACCAGAGAUAUAAACUUUAUGACUCACAUUGACCUUAUACAUGCGAUUUUAGACCGAAUGAUAGGGGCAAUUCAUCACUAAAAUCACAUGCUAUACCAAUCACAUUGCUCUAUUCGUUAAUACAUGCUGAACCUUAUACAUGUUAUCAAUGAAUCAGUGCUCUACACAAUCUUUAUGUGAUGAUAUACAUGUGAGUUCACAAUGUAUUUUUGAAACCAUAGGGAAAUACAUGAAAAAUAUGCAAAAAUACCCCGAAAAAUCACGUACUUUAAGGGUCCACAUGCAUUUUCACAUCCAUAAAAUUAUCAAACAUAAAUAUAUAUAUAUAUAUAUAUAUAUAUAUAUAUAUAUAUCACAGUGUAGAGAACUUCAAUACGAGCACACCGACGUAAACCACGUGCCAAACAGACUUCACACGAGCCCUCAUGCGCCGUUGGAAUGCGCGGCGCGUGAGUUGUACCCACUUGCCUUUUGAGCCGGCUUGAAACCAGCUUGACCAAGUUUGACUAAUCAGAUCAGUCAACAGUCCGAUUGGAAACCGGUUCGACCGAUUAACCAAGUUGGAUUAAUGGUCAACAUGGGUCGGUCAACCCGGUCAAAUCGGGUCGAGUCAUUCGAUCAACCUAGGUCAAGUUGACUCGCCAGGGAGUGACAUCAGCGCGCCAAAUGACAUCAUCCAUGACAUCAUCAAGUCAAGGUGUGCCGCCUGUUGGUGGGGUGACGUCAUCUGACGUCACCAACUGCGUUAGCCGGUCAUGCGCUGGACGCGUGGGCGCGCGUGAGGCCUUGUGGUAGCACGUGGCACUGACUCGGAGCACUAUCUUAGCGCGUGGAGGCAGGUGAAGCAAUUUUUGACCUCGUUUGGAGGCGUGCAACCCACCAAAUUGCUCGUUUUGGCUCGUAGAAUCCAUAUAUGUGAUCAAAAUCCACUUUCACUGGACUAAAAUUCACAAAAAUAGGCAAAACAGUCCAAAGGUAGGUGAAAUCUAAAAUGCUCAUUGCCGGCGCAUUUGACCUCUGCUAGAGGUGUGCCACUCACUAAAAUGCUCGGUUCGACGAGACGAAUCCGAAUAUGUUUUCAAAAUCAUGUUUUAACAAGCAAAAUUUCCGAAAACUGGCCAAAUGUAACAAUUCGAGUUCUAGGUUACAAGGCUCUGAUACCAAAUCUUGACUGUCGAAGUGGCAUCCCAAGAUCAACGUAGUUAGAAACUCGAACAUAUAGGAGGAUAAUAUGAAGAUUUACGUACCUGAUUUGGAAUCCAUCGUUCUUUAUGCAUAAUGACAACGAUCCAACGCUCAAAUGACAAGUCGAUGCUCAAGUUCUUCUCCUUUAUAACUCUCGAUUCCUUGCUCGAUGAGACCGCCACUCACAGCUUACCUUAUGUGAGGUGAGAGAAAGUUCAUGGAAAAAUGAGGGCUAGAGGAGGGAUCUUAACGCUAUAUAUAGAGUUUUGGAUGGGCUCUCUUAUCACGGGUCGGACCCAACUCGGCUCACACAAGCCAGGCCCAUAUUCGACUAUUAAUAAAACUUUAUGCCUUACCUUAUUAGAGUAAUCCCGUAAAAUGGUAAAUUAUAAUCUCAAUUAAUGUAACUCACAUCAGAAAAACUCUUACAAUAUCGGCUUGGCCGCACCAAGGCCGGUCGAAGCCUCCGUUAACUGGCCUCCUCGGCCUAUCGAGCCCAGUUGAGGACAGAUCGAAGGAGAGAGAAAAAUCGAGAGAGUAAGGGAGUUUUGAGAAAGUGAGAUCUGCAAGAGUGAGAUCUGAGAGAGCGAGCAGAAAUAGAGUUUAAGGGUUGGUGAGCGCUCCCCAGCGAAAUCCAGUGGGUGAUGUUUCGCUUCUCUUCUUUCUUUAUUUGUCCUGACUUGGGGUCGGUCGCCUAAGGAUCUCGGCUUGAAGGUGCACGAGGCAGACGGACGUAGACCAAUGCUCAAGCUUGUCUGCCCUCUGACGUUGUGAGCCGGGUAGGGACUCUCAGCCAAUUGCGUUGUUUUUGCACACACGCCCUAUUUCAGGCUCGCCAGAUGGGCCUACUGUUGUUUGGUUCUCUUUUGCUGUUAGGUCCCUAUUUAUCCUUUGCUGUCCAUCUCAGUCCUCGCCCAAUGUCCCUGUUGAGCUUUUGUUCGUUCCUCCGCCGAUGCACGCCAUGUGCUCGAUGGAAUGUUUAAGUUAGAUGCACAUUUAAGUCCUUUGUUUAUGGUCGAGGCUUGUUGCGUUUUAUUCAUGCUUGCAUUGAAGUAGAGUCUCGCUUAUUUAUUGUAUGCUUAUUUUGGCAUUAGUUUGAGUUUCGAGCGGGCUUGUAAACGCCUCUUUAGCCACGUCCUCCACGUGUUCGAUGAAAUGUCUAAUUGGAAGGUGUGUUUUCAUUCUUAGUCCUUCGCCCACUUUUGGUGUUCAUGGUUUGUCAAACGCUUUUUGAUAGAUUCCUGUUGAUGUCCUUCACUUUGUAUGUUUUAGUUUGGUCCUAUUUUUGUGCAUCAUGUUUCCGCAAGUGACCAAUCCUUGGCCGGUAAUGAGGAAAGGUGGUGGUAGAUGCGGCCACGCAUGGCAGCUAGACACGGCUUGUAUUGAUGCUUGAGUAUUUUUAAAACCAAACAUGGUUUCCUAUAGGGCGCAAAUCAACAGAGCAUUCUCGGUUCAUGGGGAGAAGGAAACCAGCACUGGUGUUGGAAAUUCUUUUGUGAAGUGGGCGUAGGAAGAACGAAAAGGAAAAACUGAAGACGAGGAAGAUGUGAAUGGUAAUAUUUUUGUUUUUGAGAAUAAUUUUUUUCAGAAGUAGUACUUUUAUAUUUCUACUCUCUAAACAAUUUUUGAGUAAAACAAUGUGUUUGGUGAAUACAAACACAUUUGAAUGUCGCCAACCGUCGAUGCUCGCCGCCGCCGACACUAGCCGAUGACUGCGCUAGCAAUGGUCGGGCGGUCGGCGGUGGUAGUGGUCGGGCGAUUGCCGACAGUUGAUGGUCGCCAGUUGGCAAAUGGCAACCCGCAAGGAGUGACAAGACAAGGAUGAAGAAGAAAAAAAAUGAGAAAAAAAGAAACUUAUUUUUAGAAAUUGUUUUACUUUUUUCUGCUUCUUGUUUGUGUUCCAAAUCAAUUUUCUAGGAAAUAGAAUAAUUAGUUAACAUUAUCAAAUGAAUUUUCAUUAUUUUACAUUCCAGAGAGCAAAAGAAAAGAAGAAUAAAGGAACAUAAAUGUUUUCAUGCUCUACCUAAUUUAGCAAGAGCUUUAGGCCUAAUUCAGUCAGUUUUAGGAAAUUCAGGUUCAAUUCUAGUUAUAAUGAGGCUAUUUUACAUUCUUGGGUUGAUCAGAGGAGAUUUUUUGUGUUGGGCCUAAUUUUAUAAAUAUAUUUAAAAGAUAUAAAAAAAUAAAAAAAAUAAUUUAUAUUUUCCAAAAAUCAAAUAAAGCUUAAAAAAUAGUUUUUGAGUUAGCUUUCUUCAAAAAUACAUAAAAAAAAACCCCCCUAAAAAGAAAAUCAAAUCACAAGGUUUAAAUAAGAUUAGGUUUCGGUUAGGUAUUAGUAGAUUAAUUGGUGUGCUCAAAUUCCGGUUCUCGUUUUUUAGAUUGUGCGAAAGUAAAAUAUUUCUUUUAAUAUUUUACAAGGAUUUCUAACUAAUUUACCCCAUAUUGAUUAGUGGUGAUUUUCAAAUGAAAAUGGCUUGUAGGUUAAAAAUUUGGAUAAUAAGUUACAAAUUGGAAAUUGGUGGGCUUGGGAAAACUCAGACUAAGCCUAGAUUUGGGAGAAGUACACUAUCAGUGUCAUAAGUUGUGUACGGCGCUCACUUUAGUGCCAAAAGUUUCUGUCAUAUUACUUAAGUGCCAAAUCGGAGAAAAAACGAUCACUUUGGUGCCACCGGCGACAGAUUCCGGCCAAAAUGAUUACGUGGCUUUUAUAUUUAUAAAAAAAAAAAAGCCGACGUGGCUUAAGAUUCUCCACGGUGAUGGCAUAAAAUGACGCCGUUUUUAUUUCUUCAUAAGAAACGACGUCAUUUUAUACCAUUCCAUGUGGAUACACGUAAGAAAUGACGCCGCAUUGCUCUACAGCCAAAAACGGUGUCGCUAAAGAAGGAGUAAAAUAGGGUUCGUAUACGGUUUUCGCUCAACGCUGGCCAUAGCUCGCUCACCCACCGUCGUUUGCUCACCCGCCAUUGCCCGCCUGCCGUCGCUUGGCCACCGCUGUAGUUGCGCCGUCGUUCACGGUCGUUCGCUGGCUACGUCCCCAACUCUCACUCACUUAGGUUUGUCAUGUUCUCUACGUUGGUUAAUUUAGUGAAAAAAUUAGGGUUUCGACGAGCAAAUUAUGGCGCGAAGGGCAAAUUGAGGGCUCAGCUCAAGGGGAAAAUAGUGGGGAAAAUGGUGGGGAUCUCACUUUUAUGGGGACAGAAUAGAAAAAUUGAGGGUUUUGUCGUUCAUUCGCUUUUUGUUAUGGGGACCAAAUAGAAAAACAGGGCGUGGAAGGGAAAAUGGGGGCUCAACUCAGAGAGAAAUAGUGGUAGGACCGAAUUUAUUUAAUUAAUUAGACCGCUUCUGUGGGGACCGAAUGUGAUUGAAUUGAAAAAUGGGUGAUGGGGACCUCACUUUGUUUAUUCAAUUCGAUUUCUUUUGUUUCUAUAAAGGCACCGAAUUUGGGAGAUUAGUCGCAUUUGUUUCUUGACAACAAAACGACAAGGACCCGCAUGUGAAGUUGCCGAUUUUGUCAUGUGGUCCCAAAAAGUAAUAACUUUUUUUUUCAUUAGGUGUAGUAUCGACAUGGACGCAAAUCAGGUAGGCGUCAUUGUUUGCUAUGUUGGAAAGUUUGUUAUCGGCACAGAGAAUUGGAAAUAUACUGUAUAUGUCAAUGUUCGGAAGCCAUCAUUUAUUGAUUUUCUAAGAGAUUUGGUGUAUUUUUUACGAUGCUGUGGCAUCCCAAAAUUCAUAAUGACCUCUAGUUACAUUAAAGUCUAUGAAUAGGUGAUGGAAGUGCCAUUAAGUUAUUUUAUAGCCAUUUAAUCCAUAAUUUGCAAUAAGAUUUAUGGCCAAGCUUUUAAUGGAUAAUUAUGUGAUAGGAAAGAAAAUUCUAUCAUUGGCCAUGUGUUUUAUAAAUUGGAAUUUACGGAUUUAUGAUUUCAAGUUUUAUGGUCAUAUGAAAUUAUAAUUUAGUAUUUAUAUAAGUUGGGAUUUAAGGUAAAUUAUUAAAAGUAAAAAUGGACUUAUUUAAGAAAAUUUUGGGCCAUUUAAGCUUGGACUUUAGGCCCAAGUGAGAUGGGCCUAAAGUGGGCCAAGAGGCCCGGCCCAUGAAGCCCAUUGGGCUGCCAACGCAUGGAGGGGAGGAGUGAGGAGCCGCAUGGCCUCCAAGUGUCUUCGGCAAAGGAGACACUUGUCUCCUUCUUAGGGACAAGUGUCCCCCAUGCAAAUUGAGGGUGCAUGCAAUUUAUAUAGCAACCAAAGAGAGAGAGAGAGAGAGAGUGGCUGGUUUUGAGAGAGUGAGAGAGAGAGGGAGUGGCGAGAGAGAAGGGGGAGCCGAGAGAAGGAGCUGUCUGCCCGUCGCCGCCCGCACGUCGUUCGUCCGUCGCCGGUGUGCCGUCCGUGUGCUCGUAUUUGCUCGGUCUUAGAGGCAAGUUGGGACUGAUUUCCACCCCUUGCAUGUGUGGUUGAAUUUUUGGAUGUUUAGAGGUUAGAAAAUCGAAGUACAUGAGGUUUGUUCUUGGAGAUGCAUGCUGUUUUCGUAUGAACCGCCUGACCCAGAAUCUUGUGAGAGCUUGCAUGCAUGUUUUGAGUUCGAUUUUGAUUUUUAUCUCUUCAUGAAAGUUGUAGCCAACAUCUUAGAAUAUAACAUACUAAAAUUUGGUGCAAAAUUAUGGAGAUUUAAGGGGUCAAACUCUCAUCCUACGGAGAUGCUAGAUCUGGAAUUUUUUCGCAUGAACCGCCUGACCCAGAAUCUUGUGAGAGCUUGCAUGCAUGUUUUGAAUUCGAUUUUUACUUUGAUCUCUUCAUGAAAGUUAUAUCCAACAUCUUAAACUAUAACAUACUAAAAUUUGGUACAAAAUGAUGGAGAUUUUAGGGGUCAAACACUCAUCCUACGGAGACACCAGAUCUGGAACGAUUUCACUGACCUUUCCGUGGAUUUGUGGUUGCAUGUUGAUUUUUACUAAGAAUAUCUUUUCGACUUCUUCAUGAAACUUGUAGAGAACAUCUUGAAUUUUAACAUACUCAAAUUUGAAGCAAAAUGAACAAGUGGAGCCUAGUGAAUCAACUUACUCUUGAAAACCGUAGAUCUGGAGACGCGGUAUAGGUUACCCGAGACUUCAUGGACCCGAAUGAUGACUCUACUCUGGAAUUUUGACUUAUAUCCCUUCAUGAAAGUUUUAUGGGACCUCUUGAAGUAAAACAUAUCCAAAUUUCAGAGGAAACGAAGAAAAAUAGGUAGGUGAAAACUCAGUAUUUCGGAGAAGCAUGCACUGGACGUUUCGGUGUUAGAUCCAGAAGCUUCGUGUGACUGUAGAAAAUAAUCUAAAAAUAAUUUGUCUUAGAUGUCUUCAUGAAAAAUAUACUUUAGUGUCUUGGCUAUAACCUGGUAGAAUUUCAUAAUUUUCGAAGGUCGUUUGGAUAUUUUAAUCAAAUUAUUUCGGAAACUGUGCAUUCUGUUUCUAUCCGAAAUUACAUGCUGUAUUUGUGUGAAUUAUAAUUUUGUGUGGAAUUUGAUUGGCCUUGUGUUUUUCAUGAAAUUAUUACCCUAUUGUCUUGUCUAUCACUAGCCUUAAUUUCAUGAUUUUUGAGAAGCAUAUGGAUAUUUAAUUUAAAUAUUUUCUAAAAAUGGUACAUGCUGGAAUUUUGUAAACUUUGAAAAGGCAUGAGAUAUGGACCAUUUUAUAUUGCAUGGACUCCAUGAAUUGUAUUGUGAUGGAUGAUGGUGUCUAGCUACAUGCAUGAUAAUGAUUUGAGAUGCAUGUAUGAAUUCAAUGAUGAAUAUGAUCUUGAUUGCCAUCACAUCACAUGCCAUGUUAUAAUUGAACUAUAAUUGAAGAUGUGAAUUGAGAUAAGUGAGAAGGCCGUCGGAGGUGUGAGCCAACGAUUCCCCGGGAGUGUCGGGAUGCCCGGUGGUAUACGUUACGUAAUUCCAGGGGAGGCCUGGUGGUAUGUCGGUACGUAAUUCCGGAAGGCAGGGGAAACCAUUUUCAUGGCGAGCCCUGGAGAUUCCCCAGGAGUGUCGGGAUGCCCGGUGGUAUACGGUACGUGAUUCCAAGGGAGGCCUGGUGGUAUGUCGGUACAUAAUUCCGGAAGCCCUGGAGGUUUGUGCCCAGGGGGAUGCCUCGUGAUGCUAGUUGGAUGCGAGAUGCCUNNNNNNNNNNNNNNNNNNNNNNNNNNNNNNNNNNNNNNNNNNNNNNNNNNNNNNNNNNNNNNNNNNNNNNNNNNNNNNNNNNNNNNNNNNNNNNNNNNNNNNNNNNNNNNNNNNNNNNNNNNNNNNNNNNNNNNNNNNNNNNNNNNNNNNNNNNNNNNNNNNNNNNNNNNNNNNNNNNNNNNNNNNNNNNNNNNNNNNNNNNNNNNNNNNNNNNNNNNNNNNNNNNNNNNNNNNNNNNNNNNNNNNNNNNNNNNNNNNNNNNNNNNNNNNNNNNNNNNNNNNNNNNNNNNNNNNNNNNNNNNNNNNNNNNNNNNNNNNNNNNNNNNNNNNNNNNNNNNNNNNNNNNNNNNNNNNNNNNNNNNNNNNNNNNNNNNNNNNNNNNNNNNNNNNNNNNNNNNNNNNNNNNNNNNNNNNNNNNNNNNNNNNNNNNNNNNNNNNNNNNNNNNNNNNNNNNNNNNNNNNNNNNNNNNNNNNNNNNNNNNNNNNNNNNNNNNNNNNNNNNNNNNNNNNNNNNNNNNNNNNNNNNNNNNNNNNNNNNNNNNNNNNNNNNNNNNNNNNNNNNNNNNNNNNNNNNNNNNNNNNNNNNNNNNNNNNNNNNNNNNNNNNNNNNNNNNNNNNNNNNNNNNNNNNNNNNNNNNNNNNNNNNNNNNNNNNNNNNNNNNNNNNNNNNNNNNNNNNNNNNNNNNNNNNNNNNNNNNNNNNNNNNNNNNNNNNNNNNNNNNNNNNNNNNNNNNNNNNNNNNNNNNNNNNNNNNNNNNNNNNNNNNNNNNNNNNNNNNNNNNNNNNNNNNNNNNNNNNNNNNNNNNNNNNNNNNNNNNNNNNNNNNNNNNNNNNNNNNNNNNNNNNNNNNNNNNNNNNNNNNNNNNNNNNNNNNNNNNNNNNNNNNNNNNNNNNNNNNNNNNNNNNNNNNNNNNNNNNNNNNNNNNNNNNNNNNNNNNNNNNNNNNNNNNNNNNNNNNNNNNNNNNNNNNNNNNNNNNNNNNNNNNNNNNNNNNNNNNNNNNNNNNNNNNNNNNNNNNNNNNNNNNNNNNNNNNNNNNNNNNNNNNNNNNNNNNNNNNNNNNNNNNNNNNNNNNNNNNNNNNNNNNNNNNNNNNNNNNNNNNNNNNNNNNNNNNNNNNNNNNNNNNNNNNNNNNNNNNNNNNNNNNNNNNNNNNNNNNNNNNNNNNNNNNNNNNNNNNNNNNNNNNNNNNNNNNNNNNNNNNNNNNNNNNNNNNNNNNNNNNNNNNNNNNNNNNNNNNNNNNNNNNNNNNNNNNNNNNNNNNNNNNNNNNNNNNNNNNNNNNNNNNNNNNNNNNNNNNNNNNNNNNNNNNNNNNNNNNNNNNNNNNNNNNNNNNNNNNNNNNNNNNNNNNNNNNNNNNNNNNNNNNNNNNNNNNNNNNNNNNNNNNNNNNNNNNNNNNNNNNNNNNNNNNNNNNNNNNNNNNNNNNNNNNNNNNNNNNNNNNNNNNNNNNNNNNNNNNNNNNNNNNNNNNNNNNNNNNNNNNNNNNNNNNNNNNNNNNNNNNNNNNNNNNNNNNNNNNNNNNNNNNNNNNNNNNNNNNNNNNNNNNNNNNNNNNNNNNNNNNNNNNNNNNNNNNNNNNNNNNNNNNNNNNNNNNNNNNNNNNNNNNNNNNNNNNNNNNNNNNNNNNNNNNNNNNNNNNNNNNNNNNNNNNNNNNNNNNNNNNNNNNNNNNNNNNNNNNNNNNNNNNNNNNNNNNNNNNNNNNNNNNNNNNNNNNNNNNNNNNNNNNNNNNNNNNNNNNNNNNNNNNNNNNNNNNNNNNNNNNNNNNNNNNNNNNNNNNNNNNNNNNNNNNNNNNNNNNNNNNNNNNNNNNNNNNNNNNNNNNNNNNNNNNNNNNNNNNNNNNNNNNNNNNNNNNNNNNNNNNNNNNNNNNNNNNNNNNNNNNNNNNNNNNNNNNNNNNNNNNNNNNNNNNNNNNNNNNNNNNNNNNNNNNNNNNNNNNNNNNNNNNNNNNNNNNNNNNNNNNNNNNNNNNNNNNNNNNNNNNNNNNNNNNNNNNNNNNNNNNNNNNNNNNNNNNNNNNNNNNNNNNNNNNNNNNNNNNNNNNNNNNNNNNNNNNNNNNNNNNNNNNNNNNNNNNNNNNNNNNNNNNNNNNNNNNNNNNNNNNNNNNNNNNNNNNNNNNNNNNNNNNNNNNNNNNNNNNNNNNNNNNNNNNNNNNNNNNNNNNNNNNNNNNNNNNNNNNNNNNNNNNNNNNNNNNNNNNNNNNNNNNNNNNNNNNNNNNNNNNNNNNNNNNNNNNNNNNNNNNNNNNNNNNNNNNNNNNNNNNNNNNNNNNNNNNNNNNNNNNNNNNNNNNNNNNNNNNNNNNNNNNNNNNNNNNNNNNNNNNNNNNNNNNNNNNNNNNNNNNNNNNNNNNNNNNNNNNNNNNNNNNNNNNNNNNNNNNNNNNNNNNNNNNNNNNNNNNNNNNNNNNNNNNNNNNNNNNNNNNNNNNNNNNNNNNNNNNNNNNNNNNNNNNNUGCAAGAACAAGAUGCAACUUUGGAUGAUGGUACAUCUUGUUGCAUCAACACUUGUAUGGGCUGGUGCAAGAAGAUGCACUAGCAACCCAAUUGGUGUAAGAACAAUGUGCAAGUCAAGUGACGUUUGAAACUAACCUAUUUUUUUUUUUAUAAAAAAAAAAAAAAACUUGUGCAAUACAAGUGAUCACUUUGUAAUCACAACUGGCACUUAAAUGAUUACUUUUAUAAAAACUUGGCACUCAAACGAUCACUCUUUACAACUUAUGGCACUAAAAUGGUCAAUCAUAAAUUUUCCACUAUCCCUUAAUUUUGCCAUGGUUUGCAGUUGCAGCAAACCAGCAAACCAGCAAACUAGCAAACUAGUAAACCAGCAAACCAUUACCAAAUUUAUGCAGCAAACCAUUAUAUGUGAAGCAAAAAUUAACCAAAAUAAACAUUGACAAUACACAAAUAAACAAUAAAACUUUUAAGUGCUCACAACUAAUGCAUUCCAAAAGCACAUUCCAUUUCGCCAUGGUUUGCAGUUGCAACAAACCAGCAAACCAUUACCAAAUAAAAAAUGCAGCAAAAACUAACCAAAACAAAUAUUAACAAUACACAACUAAACAAUAAAACUUUGAAGUGCUCACAACUAAUGCAUUCCAACUCCAACUUUACAUUUGUAUCAUAGAUUACAAAAACAAAACCUUCCGCUCCAUACAAAAAUUGCAACAAACCAAAAACACAUUUUACUUAUAAAUAAGCCAAUAGAAGUGCAUAUUGCACGUCUUCGACUAUGGUAGACAUACAAAUUUCUUCUCGUUACUCACUUCACAUUUGAAUAAACUACCCAAGAGAAUAAGAACACAAUCAAUGCUAGAUAAAAGGUUUUUUCAAUUUUCAGCCUUGAAACCUACCUCUUCAAAUGGUCGACCAGAGAUGUUGAACCCUUCAUUUGAGCUUGUAUUGAGUCGACAUCCUCCAACUCGUCCAUUAACAUAGGUGGAGGUUGAUUUCGGCCUUCAAGUAACUCCAAAAUCGCCUCUGUCACUCAAAUAGAGAAUUUGCUAUCAACCCAUUUAAAAUAUUUGCACUUUGAGCCUUCUCUAUAUCUGCCGCACCCAUGAAAUCUUCUCCCAAGAUUCAACUGAGUCCAAAAUGUUCUUCUCAGACUCGGUAACCCACAAUAACAGUAACACUCACCAUCUAAUUCAUUUUUUUUUAUAGGAAUGUGAGCUGUUGCUGAAGCUUCUGCCCUCCAUUUGCAAGAGCGAGCUGAUAACUUUGGGAGAAAAUCGAAGUAUGCACUCGAAUUGGUCGAAUUAGGGAUUUAGGGUUUUCAACUUUCAGUUCCAGUCGAAUUUUGGGAUUUAGGGUUUCUAAUUUAGGGGAAAAGACGCUAAACGGCGUCAUUUUGUUGUUUGUAUGCUGAUUGUACUCUCCGGCAAUCUACGUCGACUUCAAAAAUUAAUAAAAAACCGCCACGUCGGAUUUCUGACCAACCAAAUCGGCGUUGGCACUGAAAUGAUCGUUUUUCAAAAUUUUUGGCACUUAAGUGAUCUGAUGGAAAAUUUUGGCACCAAAGUGAGUAUCAUACAUAACUUAUGACACUAAUAGUGUACUUCUCCCCCUAGAUUUAGCGCUAGCCAUUAGCAUCUAUUCUCGCAAUAGGGUUCUCUGAGGAGGUUGUGAUAGAGGUCUUCAAAGGAUAAAGUCAACAUACAAUUUACCUAAUUAUGUAAAAUUUAGAUAAUGGAUUAAACGACUUGAGCCAUCGGAUCUAAGAGAAUACCACACUUAGCCCAAGCAAGUAUUUUAUGUGGCUAGUGCAUAUACUUCGUAAAAUUGAAGCAGGAUCAUAAGAUUUGGAGAACUCAUGUGGGAUCCAUCAUUUUCAAUAGUCCAAAUUGAAUUUAGGAUAUGAAAUUACACUUGUAAAAUAAUUUCUUUUUAUAGCGCAUGUGUGUCUAUAUAUAUAAGGUUCAAAUCAUUUUAGAUCUAUCAUGAAACAAAGUGCGGGAUAGAAUUUCCCCUUUUUAAUUGACUAGUCAUUCGAGCACAAGAAAAGGCCUUAUUUGCAUGAAAUUUCUUAGUCAUGAUCAUUAUCCACAUUUCCCUAGACCUGAUGUUCUAGACUAGAGUUAGGUAAGUCACAACAUGCACAUGUGGUUCAAUAAUAUCCUAUAUAAAACCAACUAAAAAAUGUAUAAUCUCAUCCUCAAAAUCUGUCAAAAGUUGCUCAUUGUCCGAGUCCUCUAGUCACAGCGACCGCUCCCCGCCCUCAUUAGAUCGAGUUAUUAUAGGUUCACCAGUUUUUGUAUGGUUCGUUCUCGGACCAUACACCUACCAGAGGGGGGUCUCACUUUAACAUUAUAAUUGUGACACCUUGAAUUUAACUCACUCGAGUCAACCAAAAUAACAAAAUAUUUAUUUUACUUAAGUCAUGUGAGUGCCAUGUUAUUAUCGUUUGCUCUUUGGCGUUUGUAUAGGCAGAUUUUUAGCAGUUUUAUUGACAAGAUGUUGAUGGUAGGUAAAUUCAUUACAUAGGUACAAAGUUGAGGUUUAUUUAAAGUAAAUAUGUCAAGAUACAAUUUAAGAUUUUUGGUGGGCUUUAUGUUUCAAGAUGAAAAAUGCACAGCCACUCUUGAAAUAGUUUGUUAUAAUAAAAAAGGUGUCUCCUAGUUAAGAAAACAUGUGAUUCUUGGUUAAGAGAAGAGGUAACUCUUGAUCAAAGAAGACAUGACUCUUGGUUAUGGAAAAGAGAUUAAUGUUUAUCUUAAAAUGAGGAUAUCGAUAGUUACAAACGAAAGUUAUUCUUGAAAUGAAGAGUGGUGAUAAUUGGGGAUGAGGUACCUAUUUUAAAGAGAUGCGUUGAUUGAUUAUUUGUGAAUAGAGACAAAUUCACAUAUUAUUUAUAAUAAUCAUAAUUGUUCAUAAAUGCUUCUUAUUCAAAACCCUCUCUUCUUCUCUUUUUAUAUACACAACUUUAACACAUUUAAGGUGCAAUUUCAAGAGAGAAUUGAGUAAUUGCUGAACUCAUUUCUUGCGGCUUUGGUAUAUAUCCUAGAGGUAUAUUUGUUCUAAAUCUAACAGUAAUAAUAAUGGUAGUAAAUAAUAUCUUAAGGAUAGUGAUCAUUAUUAUGCAUUAAAGUAUCAAGAAUCUACUACUACUUCUCUGUCUUCACUAGCAAUCAAAAUUCCUCCAACAAUCUUAAGGUAUUAUUAUUUUCAUAAAAAUGGAGAGAGCAGAAGUAUUGAGUGCCAAUAAUCUUGAAAGAUAAGUAUCAAUAAAAGUUUUGUUUUUGUUUAUAUAUUUGAGUCAUCUUCCUUGUUGCAUAUUGGAUCAUCUCAUGUUGAUUAUAGUGCUUUGAAAUUUAUGAAUAAAAGUGUUGUGAUAAUCUUGACAAGGAAAAGAUAAUGAAAGGAAGUGCCGAUGAAGAAUUCUCUAAACUUUGUCAAAUCAUCUAUAUUAAAUGUUUCGAUCUUACAUUAAUACUAGUGACAUUUGGAAAGCCUUGGAGACCAAAUAACAACAUUGACAAAUAAGGUACGAAUAGAAUUACUGCUUUGAAAUAUUUUGGAUUUGUCAUGAUUAAUGGAAAAUCAGUGUCUAAGCAAGUAGAUGAACUUUAAAUAUAUAUUGUCAUACUCAAAGACCUUAUGAUUGAAGUUUAUGAGCCUCCUUAAAUUGUUGCAAUUAUUUCAAAAUUGUCUUAAACUUGGAAUGACUAUUGAAAUGAACUUCUUCACACGAUUGAGAACCUGAUCAUGGAUAAUGUGAUAAACACAUUCAAAUUGAGGAAAGUACUUGAGAUCAUGAGGAUAGUUGUGUGAAAGAAGUUGUAAAUAAGGGGCAUUCUAUUGAGAACAAUAACAUGAGUAGAGACAAAGAAUGCAUCAAAACAAUGUCAUGAGAAAAUAUGAUUUGGUGGUAUCAUCAUUUGCAUAUAAGUAUAACAAUGCUUAUAAGUGUAUUUACUCAAAAUUUAGCAAAGAGUGUGGAGUUUAUAAUUUGCUUAUAUGUAGAUGAUAUUCUAAUUGUUGGUACAAGUAUGCUUGGCAUAAAUGAAACUAAAAGGUAUCCAUCUUCUCAGUUUUAAAUAAAAGAUAUGAGAGAAGUUGAUACAAUUUUAUGUAUCAAAGUGUUUAAUGAUAGUGAGGGUUAUGCUUUAAGUCAGUGCCACUAUGAAGGGAAAAUCAUUCAAAGAUAUCAUCAUUUGAGAAUUAAAGAUUCAAAUAUAUCGAUUAAAUUGAUGGAAAAUACUAGACAACAUUUUACACAAUUAGAUAUGCCAAUGCAAUUGGAAGUAGGGUGUAUGUUAUGUAUUGCACUAGAACGGUGCAUUGAAUGGAUAUAGCUUUUAUUGUGUGUAAAUUGUCCAGAUUUACUUAUAAUCCUAGUACAGUGCAUUGAAAUGCUAUAAGUAGAAUUUUUUGUUAUUAAAAAAAAAUGCAUUAUGGUCUAUUUUAUGAAAGACAACUAGUAGUAUUAGAAGGAUAUGCAGAUGCUAGUUGGAUAAUUAGCACAAUUGAUAAUAAGUUAACAUCCGAAUGGGUUUUUAAGCUUGCAAAUGGUAUAGUCUCUUGGGCAUCAAAGAAGCAAACAUGUAUAGCCCAUUCAAUGAUGGACUAUGAAUUUAUAUCACUAUCGGUGGCUAGUAAAGAGGCUGAAUGGCUGCGGAAUUUGCUAUUGGAUAUAGAGUUGUUGCCACAACCAAUUGCAACCAUACCUUUAUAUUGUGAUAGUGAGGUAAUUAUGUCUAGGGCAUAUAAUAAAAUAUACAAUCGAAAAUCUAGACGUAUUAGUUUGUGACGUAAGUAUGUUCGACGAUUAAUUACUAAUAGAGUUAUUUUAUCAAUUUAUGUUCAUACAAAUGAUAACUUGGUUGAUCCAUGCACUAAGAGAUUCUUAAGAGGUUUAAUAAGCAGUAUUGCCAAGGCAAUGGGUUUUAGAUCAAUUGAUAAUAGUCAAAUAUAGUGGAAACCCAACUUUAUAAUUUUCAACAAAAUUAUUAAAGUUAAAUGAGUGACAACAAGCUAUUAUAACUUGACGGUAAUCAAGUACUGGGGCACAAGGUUAGUACUCAUGAAAAGUUAGGAGGAUGAGUGUAAGAAAACACUCUUAAUGAACUUCAAGGUUUUAGCAAGGCAAUGUUAAGGUAAUAAAUGUAGGAACUUAUAUGAACAUAAGAAAUGAUGCCAUUUCUAACAAAAGUCGGAUGGACUUUUGUAAAUGUUCAUAAAUGUAAGAGGGAGCACAAGGCCAUAAAAGUGUUUAUGCAUAAGAAAUUUCUAACCAAAUAUGUAUAAAUUCAUAUGUGUGAUAAUUUGAUUAAUAAGUAGAAUCAUGGUUCAAAAUUUUAUCUACCACUAAUUUCGUUAUUGAAAUUAUUGACACUAAUUGAAGGAUAAAAUCUUAACAUAUACUUGUAUGUAUGAAUUUAUGCAAAUUAGUGUAAAUAACAAAUUAAGUGGGGGAUUAUUGAAAUAGUUUAUUAUCAUAAGAGAUAUGUCUCUUGGUCAAGAGAAUACGUGACCCUUGAUUAAAAGAAGAUGUAACUAUUAAUAAAAGAAAACGUGACUCUUGGUUAUGAAAAGAGAUUACUCUUCGUUUGAAAAGGAGGUUAUCCGUAAUUAUGAAAGAAAACUAUUCUUAAAAUGAAGAGUGGUGAUAAUUGAGGAUAAAGUACCUAUUCCUAAGAGAUAUGUUGAUUGAUUAUAUAUGAAUAUAGAUAAAUUUACAUAUUAUUUAUAAUAACCACAACUGUUCAUUAAUGCUUCUUUUUUAUAAUUUUCUUUUCUUCUUUUUUUAUAUACGCAACUUUAACACAUUUAAGGUGAAAUUACAAAAAAUAAUUGAGUAAAUGCUGAACUCAUUUUUCUAAGAUUUUGAUAUAUAUCUUGGAGUUAUAUUUAUUCUAAACUCAACAGUGAUAAUGAUAGCAGUAAAUAAUAUCUUAAAGAUAAUAAACGACAUCACAUAUCAAAUUUCCCCAACACGGAAGGCACCGGUAGACUCAACUCAAGCCGUCGUCGCGAUCGCAUCCCAUGGAAAAUGACUUGUCUCCCUAUGCCCCGCCACAUUGCAAGGUCUCGCUGAAAGUGAACCUUGACCAAACAACAGUCGAGGAAUCAACCGUCGUCGUAUACUGAUUUGGCUAUAGAAGCAACGACACUCAAGUUCUUGUUUCCUACGUACUGUCUGAAGAAGCAAUGACACUUUGGACUCGAGUUCUGGCUUCCUACAUAAACCCGAUCAAAAGCCCCAGAAGAGCGGUCUUCUUCCUCCUCCUGUAAUCUCAAGCCACCCACUUCCGCUUUCACAUUCUAUUCCGAGCGGCCUCUCAUGGCGGGCGAAGGCAAAAUCACAUGUCUCUUCAUCUUUUUCCUCUGUCUCCGCCCAUCUUCGGAGGCACAAACGUGGGUCAAGUCCGGUUAUUUAUACACUGGCAGCGAAAUCCAGAUCUCAGACAUCGUUUCCUCUUUUUUCUCUCACCUUAUAUGCGCUUUUGCUUACAUUGACUCUUCGACCUAUCAGCUCUCUGUCAACUCCUCCAUCGAGCAAUUCUUCUCCACCUUCACGAGCAGCGUGAAACGCAAGAAUCCUUCGAUCACCAUGAUGGGAGAACAGUAACAAUUCGAACAAUAUCGAAUCAACGCAACGAAAUAAAAUAAUCUCCCCUAUUGUGUAAACUUAAUAGGAAUCGAUAUAGUUGAGUAAAAUAAAUACCAAGUAUGCAAAUACAAGACGAUUUUUUUACGUGGAAAACCUCCUCGAUAUGAGGAUAUCAAAAACCAUGGGACUGGAGUCCACCCGAAAUUCUUCACUAUCAACAAAAUUGGGUGAACAAUGUUCUUCUCUAGCAAAUACUAGAGGUACAUAGCAACAAAGAUCUUAAGAACAUAAUUCUUGGCAAUACACAUGAAUUUCACAAGAGAUCAAUGAUAAAUCUGACCAAAAACACAGGUUUUGAUCAAUCCACGAAAAAGCUGAUGUAUGGAGCUUCAAAUGAAAAUCAAACUAUUCAGAUUCGGGAAAAUUGCACCACGAACAUACUGACAAAAUUUCAGCUCAAUCGGAUCACGAAUUGACCUCCGAUGCCAGCUUUAUGUAAAUCAGAUAUUGCCCCAACCCCCAAAUUUUAUGCUUUCUCUUUUUCUCUUGUUAUUAUUUCCUUUUGCGGCUACUACUUUAUAAAGAUAGUGAGAAACCCUAUUUCUCUAUAUAACUUAUCAUAUAGGCUUAAGUCCUUUUGGGCUUGCAACUCAUUGGGCUUCCUUCACAUAAGAGUGAACCCAGCUAACAAAUAUCUCCAUCACGACAAUGUGGAGGGAUUCACCAUCCCUGCUAUCAAUUGGCAAUGUUCAAGCUUCUCUCUUGGUAGAGUCUUCGUCAUCAUAUCAGAGCCAUUAUGAUCCGUAUGAAUUUUCUCAAGUUCCAACAACUUUUCAUCUAGAACAUCUCUUAUCCAAUGAUAUCUAACAUCAAUAUGUUUCGAUCUAGAAUGAAAAGAUGAAUUUUUACCAAGAUGAAUUGUGCUUUGAUUAUCACAAAAUAGCACAUACCUCUUUUGCUUGAACCCAAGUUCUUUUAAGAACUUCUUCAUCCAUAGCAUCUCUUUAUUAGCUUCAGUCGUUGCAAUAAAUUUAGCUUCGGUUGUAGAAAGUGCAACACACUUUUGCAAUCUUGACUUCCAUGACACAACUCCACCCGCAAAAGAAAUCAAAUAACCAAAAGUAGAUUUACGAGUAUCAAUAUCUCCUGCCAAGUUGGAAUCUGUGUAUCCAACUAACUCAAGUUUCCGGUCCUGAAACUGAGUUUCAAAUUUGAAGUUCCCCGAAAAUACCUCAUAAUCCACUUUACUACAUUCCAAUGUUCUCUGUUUGGAUUUGACAAAUAGCGACUAACAACGCCAACUGCAUGCACCAAGUCUAGGCGUGUACAUACCAUCACAUAUAUUAAGCUUCCUAUAGCUGAGGCAUAUGGAACACUUUCCAUAUCUUUCUUCUCUUUAUCAGUCGUAGGACUUUGCUUCAUAUUUAACUUAAAGUGGACAACAAGAGGAGUACUAAUCACUUUAGUCUUGUCCAUGUAAAAUUUCUGAAGUAUCUUCUCAAUAUAUUUCUCUUGCGACAAAAACAACUUCUUAGCAUCUCUAUCUCGGGUAAUUCUAAUGCCAAGAAUCUGCUUUGCCAAGCCCAAGUCUUUCAUGGCAGAAGACUUGCUCAACUGUUCCUUCAAUAACUCAAUUCUUGAAGCAUUCCUAUCAACAAUCAACAUAUCAUUAACAUAAAGUAAGAGAAUAAUAAAGUCAUCAUCAUAAAAAUUUUGGACAAACACACAAUUAUCCGAGGAAGUCUUCUUAUAGCCCUCUUAUGUUAUAACUAACGCAAACUUUUUAUACCACUGCCUCGGUGCUUGUUUUAGGCCAUAGAGACUUUUCUUCAAUUUGCACACAUAAUUCUCUUUCCCUUUCACUUUAAAACCCUCAGGUUGUUCCAUGUAUAUCUCUUCCUCCAAGUCACCAUGUAGGAAGGCUGUUUUAACAUCCAUUUGCUCAAUUUCCAAAUCUAGGGUAGCUGCCAAGCCUAAUACCACACGCAUAGAAGACAUUUUCACUACCGGAAAAAAUAUAUCAUCAAAAUCAAUAUCCUUUCUCUGAUCGAAUCCCUUAACAACCAAUCUAGCUUUGUAUCGUGGUUGUGAAGUAUGUUCAUCUUGCUUCAACCUAUAUACCCACUUGUUCUUCAAAGCUCUUUUACCUUUAGGUAACUUUACCAACUCAAAAGUAUGAUUAUCAUAAAGUAACUACAUUUCAUCUCGCAUAGCAUCAAACCAAUUGCUUUUGUACUAAUCUUCUAUUACUUCUGCAUAGCACUCUAGUUCACCUGCAUUAGUCAAUAAUACAUACUCAUCUUCAGAAUACCUGGUGGAAGGUCGUCGGUCUCUAAUGGAUCUCCGGACUGGAACAUCCAGUGGAACAUCUAAUUGAGCCUCUGGUUCAAGAAUAUUAUUAUAUGUUUCAACAUAUUCAGGAACAUGUGCGUUAUUUGGAACAUUGACUUCCUGCUGCUCUUCAUCAACCUGUGUAGGAAUAUUUGUAAGAGGAACUGAAUCCAAAUCAACCAAAUUAUCACUAACCUGUGGUGCUGAAAUCAUUUCUGCUUUCUCAAUAUCCUCUAUUGUUUGAUCUUCCAUAAACACAACGUCUCUGCUUCUUAUAAUUUUCUUUUCAACCAAAUCAUAAAAUUUGUAGCCAAGCAUAUCCUGUCCAUAACCAAUAAAUAUGCAUUGUCGUGUUUUCACAUCAAGUUUAGACCUCUCAUCUUUGGGAAUAUGCACAAAAGCUUUGCACCCAAAGACACACAAAUAAUCAUAAGAAACAUCUUUGCCUAUCCAAACUCUAUUAGAAACAUCAAACUCUAAAGGAAUGCAUGGAGUAAGAUUUAAUACAUGCACAACUGUACUUAAAGCCCCACCCCAAAAGGAUCUAGGUAGCUUUGAUUGUGAAAGUAAGCAUCUUACAUUUUCAAUUAGUGUUCUGUUCAUUCUCUCAGCUAAGCCAUUUAACUGAGGCAUCUUGGGAGGUGUCUUUUGAUGUCGAAUACCUUGUUGUCUACAAUAUUCAUCAAAAGGUCUAAUAUACUCUCCCCCAUUAUCAGUUCUGAUGCAUUUCAAUUUCUUUCCAGUUUGUCUCUCAACUGAAGCCUGAAAUUGCUUAAAAGCAUCUAAUACUUGAUCUUUAGUUUUCAAGGUAUGAAUCCAAAUUUUCCUUGAAAAAUCAUCUAUGAAGCUAACAAAAUAAAGAGAGACACCAAGUAUGAAUCCAAAUUUUCCUUGAAAAAUCAUCUAUGAAGCUAACAAAAUAAAGAGAGCCACCAAGUGAUUUUGUUUUCAUAGGACCGCAAACAUCAGAAUGCACUAAAUCUAGUAUACCUGACUUUCUUAAAGGAGGGGAGCUUUUAAAUGCAACUCUCUUCUGUUUUUCUGCUAAACAAUGAGCACACUUCUUUAGCACCGAACUUUUCAAUCUUGAAAGGAGCUUCUUCUUGGCCAAUAUUGACAAACCAUUCUCACUGAUGUGGCUGAGUCUCUUAUGCCAUAACUCAACUGCAUCUUCGCUAUCUACUGCAUUAAUUUUGUUUGUAGACAACUUUGCCUGCAUAAUGUACAACGAAGAAUAUUUUUCACCUCUAGUCACAACAAGAGAACCUUUGGUGAGCUUCCAUUGACCAUUACUGAAGGUGCUGCAAUACCUCUCAUCAUCCAACUUGCCUGUAGAAAUCAAAUUCAAGCGGAUAUCAGGUAUAUGUUUAACAUUAUUCAAUACUAACCUUGUGCCAUUACUGGUUUCUAGGCACACAUCACCGAUGCCUACAGCUUGAGCUAGACCAUUGUUUCUCAUCUUCACAGAUCUGAAGUCACCUAACUUGUAUGAUGUAAAGAAAUCCCUACGAGAUGUAGCAUGAAUGGAUAUACCACUAUCAAUUACCCAACUGGUCUCAUCACCAUAAAAAAUAAUGAGAAAGUCUUCUUUAAGUGCAACAGCAUGAUUGUUAUCAUUGUCAUUAUGACUUUUCUUCUCUUUACCUUUCUCCUUUUGUUUCUCCCUUUUUAAGGGGCGACAAAACCUCUGAAUAUGUCCCUUCUGAUGACAAUAAUGACACUCAACAUUAGCAAACUUAUUAUACUUACCUCUGCUUUUAUCUCAACUUUUAUCUCUAUUUCUCGGACCUCGAGACUCACUUAUUCCCCUUUUCUCGACAACCAAUGCAUCAGAAUGUGAAGAGGACAAUCUUUGUGUCUUCCUUCUCAUCUCUUUAUUUAAAAUACUACUCUUGGCUAAAUCCAUGGUAAUCGUACCAUCUGGGGCAGAAUUAGAUAAAGAUGUUCGGAACGUCUCCCAUGAGUCCGGCAAAGUACCAAGCAACCAUAGUGCUUGUAUCUCAUCAUCAAACUUGAUUCCCAUCUCAGCCAACUGAUUUAUAAUUCAUUGAAAAUAAUUUAAAUGAUCAGUCAAAUGAGUACCAUCUUGAUAUCUCAGAGCCAUCAUCUGUUUUAUCGAAUAUAACUUAUUAUUCCUAGUCUUUCAAACAUAUAAUUGUUCGAGCUUAUCCCAUAAACCGCGUGCUUGUGUUUCCUCAAUAAUAUGGUUCAAAACAUUAUCAUCCACCCACUGCCUAAUAUAACCACACACUUGACGAUGAAAUAUAGACCAUUCAGUAUCAGUUUUAUUCUUUGGUUUCUCCUCGGUAAAUACGGGUAAAUAAAAAUCUUUCACAUAUAAAAGGUCUUCCAUCUUCCAUUUCCUAAUAUGAUAAUUUGAACCAUUUAGUGUAAUCAUUCUACUCGUAUUUGUUUCCAUUGUUUAACACAAUGCAGAAAAAUCAAGCAAUAACCAGAUGCUCUGAUACCAUUCUAAUGGAAGAACAAUAACAAUUCGAACAAUAUCGAAUCAACACAGCAGAAUAAAAUAAUCUCUCCUCUUGUGUAAACCUAAUAGGAAUCGCUAUAGUAGAGUAAAAUAAAUACCAAGCAUGCGAACACAAGACGAUUUUUUUAUGUGGAAAACUUUCUCGAUGUGAGGAGAUCAAAAACCGCGGGACCGGAGUCCACCCGAAAUUCUUCACUAUCAACAUAAUUGGGUGAACAAUGUUCUUCUCUAGCAAAUACUAGAGGUACAUAGCAACAAAAACCUCAAGAACAUAAUUCUUGCCAAUACACAUGAAUUUAACAAGAGAUCAAGGAUAAAUCUGACAAAAAAAGCAGGUUUUCAUUAAUCCACGAAAAACCUGAUGUAUGGAGCUUCAAAAAAAAAUCAAACCGUUCAGAUUCGAGAAAAUUACGCCACGAACAUUCUGACAAAAUUUUAGCUCAAUCGGACCACAAAUCGACCUCCGAUGCCAGCUUUAUGUAAAUCAGAUAUUGCCCCAUCUCCCAAAUUUUCUGCUUUCUCUUUUUCUCUUGUUACUAUUUCUUUUUGCGGCUACCACUUUAUAAAGAUAGUGAAAAAUCCUAUUUCAUAUGGGCUCAAGCUCUUUUGGGCUUGCAACUGGGCUUCCUCCACAUAUGAGUGAACCCAGCUAACACACGACUCUGCUAUCAGUGUGGCAGCAGCGUGGGCAGGCCGAGAGGAUCCUUCAGCUUUCGUUUCGAUGCUCGGUGAGUCUUCUUCAAGAAGGUCCUUUAUCGAGUCUACCAUAGAAAAGGCAAGGCUUUAUGGGUUCAGUGGGGUUGAUCUCUGUGGGGUCUUGCCCAGUAGGAGCAUUAACAUGACCAAUUUGAGUGCCCUUUUGCGGGAGUAGAGAGAUGGAGUAGAUGCCGAAUCAAGAAAAUCUGGGAAACCUCCGUUGCUGCUAGUAACGGCUGUGUAUAGUCAACCCAUUUUUAACUCCGUGAGUUACCCACUUGACUCAAUUCAGAGAAAUUUGGACUGGGUUCACCUAAGUGCGUAUGAUUACCAUCUCCCCACCAGGGAAAGAUUUGCGCUCCCUCACGCAGCUUUAUUUGACCCAGCAAGCCAGAACUACACAGGCUUCUGCAUCACUUGGUUGCUGACUAGAGGAUUUCCCGCAAGAAAGCUGGUUCUGGGCUUGCCCUACCAUGGCUAUGCUUGGCAGCUCUAGGAUUCGAGCGCCAAUGCCAUUGGCCAUCCAUCAGUGGGGCCUGCUGUGACGGCGGAUGGGUCAUUUGGAUACAGGGCUAUAAAAUCUUAUGUCCGAGAUUUCGGUUAUGGAGCCAGUCCUGUUUAUAAUGGUACAUAUGUGGUGAAUCUUUUCAGAAAGGGAUCGGUAUGGAUCAAUUUCGAUGGGGUGGAGGCCAUCCGAGCCAAAGUAACUUAUGCCAAGGAAAAGGGGCUCCUUGGUUACAAUGUGUUUCAGGUCGGCAAUGAUCAGAAUUGGGUCCUUUCUCAGACGGGUUAGGAUUAAGUACCUCACAGGAAUUUCUGAAGGUUUUAAAAAAUUAUUGCAUUGAAAAUGUAGAACUAAAUGUAAUUCAAGGACUUAAUUGCCUUGUCAGCUCAAGAGGCCAGUGAAGAUCAGCAACACAGGCGAUGGUUCUGGCUUGCCAUGCUUAUUUCGAUUGCUAUAAUUGUUCUCCUUAUAUUUGGCCUGAUAUGCUACUUACAGAGGAGAACAUUGGAAUCAAAAGGUACGUUUUCUAAACUUUACUGGAGGUUGUGGGAAUCAGGAACAUUGAUUUAGGAAGAGUUAAAGUUGUAGAUACAAUUUCUUAAUUUUGGUUCUCGGGUAUUUCAGGUGUAAUCAGAGGAUUUAGUAGCCGAUUAAAGACUCUGGUGUGUAAAGGUGAAAGUCUUGAUAGUGGUACUCCCUAUCUGCAAACAUUCAGUUAUGCUACCCUCAAAGCAGCAAAUGAUGACUUCUCAAGUCAAAAUAAGCUUGGAGAGGGUGCAUUUGGACCUGUUUGCAAGGUAAGAUAUAUGAGGCCAUAAUUAAUGUAAUGAUUAUUAUUCUCUGUUUCAUUGCAAAUCCUAUGAAGUAUGUGUUGGGAGAACGAACCACGAUUGAGGGCCAGAUUUGGUCCUUUUGCUCUAUAACAUGCAUUUGUUGUUGUAUAAUGUGAGCAAGGAAAAUAGCUCACCCCCAAAUAUUUUUCUUAUUUCUUAUGCUCAAGAAUAUGUGGUCCUUCUCAUGUAUAGUCUGAUUUAUAAUUGAGAAAGUGAAGGUAAUGGGAACUUUUUGACCAAAAAAAAGAACUGGCAUCACAACACAACACAAUAAGCUUGAGAUUUUUAGUGAUGCAGCGUAGGUCUUCUUAAUUAUGGAUGCGAGCUUGUAAGUUUCAUCAUAGGAGGUUGGACUUGGAUGCCUUCUGCUCAAUUUUUUUUUUUCAUUUAUGUUCCUUGGGGUUAUGUGACAUAUGUUAUAGACAAAAGACUGGCUUCCAGCAUAAAUAGUGAAUAGUUUUGUUGAGUCUACCAUGUUCAAGUGGAAGUCAGUUGCCCUGUUCUGAACAUCGGCAUACCUGUUGCUCAGGGCAAGUUGCCCAAAGGACAGUACAUUGCAGUGAAGAGACUUUCGAAAACUUCAAACCAAGGGCUCGAGGAGUUCAAGAACGAAGUUAUGCUCACUGCCAGCCUGCAACAUGUCAACCUCGUUCGCCUUCUUGGAUUUUGUACCAACAGGGAAGAAAAGAUGCUGAUCUAUGAGUACAUGCCAAAUAAGAGCUUGGACUUUACCUAUUUGGUUCGACAUCUUUCAUGCUUCUUACGAUAGUCAUUGAUCAAAACCUGGGUUUUUUUAAGUGACAUCUAGUGUGAUACUCCAAAAAGCUUAGAUGGGUCCUCAGUUCCACUACAAGGGCUAGGGCAGGUGGACCCUUUUAAGCAUUUGGGCUACGCAAUGGUAUGCAAUGCUCUAAUUUCGCUUCCUGUUCUGAUAGUCUUUAGGUUUUGAUGAUGCAGAUCCAAUAAGGAAAUAUUCACUGGAUUGGGUGAAACGUGUUCAUAUCAUAGAAGGCAUUACACAGGGGCUUCUUUUUCUCCAAGAAUACUCGAAUUUCACAAUAAUUCAUCGAGACUUGAAAGCCAGCAAUGUUCUUCUGGAUGAUGAAAUGAACCCCAAGAUAUCAGAUUUUGUUUGGCGAGAAUAUUCAAGAAGGAUGACAUUGAAGCAAAUACCAGCCGAAUUGUCGGGACGUAGUAAGAGAGCUAACUAGGCCCUCCUAGUGUUACCUCAUAGGUAUUCUUCUGCUAAAAGCCUGCUGCUUAAAACCAAUUUUUGUUAUUGCAUACAGUGGGUAUGUUCCGCCAGAAUAUGUGAGGAAGGGCAUAUACUCGAUGAAGUACGACAUCUACAGCUUUGGGGUACUGCUGUUGCAAAUCAUCAGUGGUAGAAGGACCUCAUGUUACUACGGCCUGAAUGAAAAUCUGAAUCUUCUUGAUUAUGUAAGUAGAGAUUAUUUGUGAUUCCAAAAUUUUCUGGGCUCAAAUUUAGGAACAUGAAAUUUGACUUUUAACCAACUGGCGUUCUUAAUUUCAGGCAUAUGAGCAGUGGAAAGACGAUAAAUGCAUGGAGUUCAUUGACCCGUCUUUGGAUGACUCUUCAUCAUCCUGUAAGCUCUUGAGAUGCAUGCAAGUGGCUCUUCUAUGCGUGCAAGAGAAGCCUGGGGACAGGCCAUCCAUGUUGGAAGUCUAUUCAAUGCUCAAGAAUGAAUCUUCAGCCGUGAACUUCCCCAAGAAGCCUGCAUUUUCAAUUAACAAGGAUGAAGAUGAGGAUGGCAAGUGCUUGCUUAAGGAAGCAGUUCAUUCAGUCAAUGAUGCAUCAAUUUCUGAAUUGUUUCCUCGCUGAUUGUACAUUGCAUGUAUCCAGUGUUGUGAAUACUAAUACCAUAAAGAGAUUAUUUUGUUAACUUAUUUGGUUGCCUAGUAAUUCGUAUGUGCCAGUGGCAUUUUUUUUCCCCAAUUAAUUGUAAUAUUUUUUGACAUCUGUGUAUAUAUAUAUUUUUAAUCAUUUAGAGGCAGUUCAAGUUAGAAAUGAUCGAUACCUAAUCCGGUUCAAUUCCACCUGGGUACUGAGAAUCGGACCAGAGGAAUUGGUUUCUAGUUUCUAGAAUUGGGGACUGGACUGACCAGUCCGGUUCAGUUCCUGGAUGGUCUGAAGAAACUGGUCGCCUGCUCUGUUUAUUCCCAGCCUUUGCUUGAUCAUACCAUGAACUCAAGGCGUCGUUCUCACAAUCGGCUUGAAAAGACUUGAGAGUCAUGAGCAAAUCAGACCCCAAACCACACAAAUCCGGCAAUGUUCUUUCUUCCAUCUUAAUAUAGGUUUAAGUGAUGGGACGAUUCGGAGACUUUUGCCUACACAGCACACACCUAGACCUAGAAUCUAGCAAGUCUCGUGAAAAUGAACGGCGAGACACGGGAAAUGUAAUACGAAAAAAGGGCAAAAUACAGAUCAUUACCUUGAUGAGAAUCGAGAUGGAAGAAACAGAGCAAGAGAGGAGGCGAGAGUUGAGAUGAUACCGCGAGAAGGUGGCGUCAAGCUUGAGCAAAAGGGAUGCGACUAAGGCGAGAGAAGGCGACGCCGCGCCGCCAUUUGAGAGGGAAGGACUGAAGAACGAGGCAUCUCGUAAGCUGCGUGAGCUUAGACGAGAUUAUUGAUUAGGUUUUAAGAUUACACUCUUAACUUCACGGUACUAUUCUUCAAGAAAUUGAAAAAAAAAAUUGAAAAAAAUAUAAAUUGGUCCAAUCAAUGUGAUUUGGUUCCCACCAUGGAAUUGGAAACCAAAUAAAAAAUCACUAGUUCCAUAAAAUUGGAACAAGGAACUGGAUUAGUGUUGCCUAGAACCACCCGAAACUAGUCAAUUUGAUCCAAUCUAGACGUUACAGUUCGUUUGGUCCAUCUUGCUCAAUCCUAGUUCAAGUGUUCCUUCUUUUGUCUUGUAUCCUAUUAAGGGAGAAAUAUAUAUAUAUAUAUAUAUAUAUAUAUAUAUAUAUAUAUAUAUAUAUAUAAAGUUAUAAACCUAUUACAUCGGUAUCAAUUCGAUCCUCAAUUUUUUAAUUAGAUCAAUUUAAUUUUAAACAUUUUUACAUUAAUACAAAUUCAGUUCAUCCACCUAACUUAGGUUGGAAAUCAUUGAUGUGAACGUCAGUCAUUUUAUGUGAUGUGAUCAGUGUUAACGUAAAUAUUUUUAAAUAAUAUUUAACAACUUUUCGAAUUUUUUUUUAUGAUUUUUGUUUUUCUAUUAAUUUUUUUCUUUUUUCUCCUUUCAUUUUGGCUAACGAGGGCCAACAAACCCUCGCUAGCCGUUAGAUGGCUUAAAUUAAUAAAAAAAAUUGUUGACGUGGACAUCGACUAUCUUACGCAGCACAAUAAAUGCUAACAUGAACCUUUUUUUUUUUUUUGAAAAUUUAGUUGGAAUGAGGUGACUCUCAUGAUCCGGUCGUUGGGCUAGAGUGGGUUCGUGCUCCGUUAAAAAGAGUUUUAAAAAUAUAAAGUCAACUUACGAUUCUAGAAAAUGCCACAUGUAGCCCAAGCAAGUACUUUACGUGACUAGUACAUAUAUUACUUAAAAUUGAAUCGGGAUUGUUAGAUUUGGAGAACCCACAUGGGACCACCCUUUUUAAUGGUCCACACUGAAAUUAGAAUAUGAACUCACCCCCGCAAACUAAUUUCUCUUUGCAGCCCAUGUGUGUGUCUAUAUUUAUAUAAAGGUUCAAAUUACUUAGAUCUAUCGUGGCGACGGGGUGUGUGUGUGGAUUCAAGCCAGCAUGCCGGUCGAGCAGAUUGUGUUCGGCUUCCCCUUCUACGGGCAUGCAUUUGCCCUCACAGAUGCCAACGAUCACAGCUACUUCGCGCCUGUCACCAGGUCGGCGAUAUCCUCCAAUGGAAAUAUCAUGUACAAUCAAAUCACAACAUACAUAUCCCAAAAUGGCGCUACCAUGGUGUACAACUCUAUGGUGGUGUUUGCCUAUUGCUAUGUUGGGAUGACAUGGAUCAAUUACGAUAUUACACAAACUAUAUCUACCAACGUCGCGUACUCCAAGGGAAGAGGACUUAAAGGUUACUUUGCGUGACAUGUGGCUGGUGAUGACAAUUGGGUUCUCUCUCGAGCAAGUAAAUUUAUGAGAUUUAUGUUACAUAGCAUCAAUCAAUCAUGGAAAAAUUAUCCAAAAAAUUUCAAACUUAUUAUACUUUUGUCAAUUCCAUUAUAAACCGUUCAAUUUUAUUACUUAAGUCUUCAAUUUUUUAUGUUUUACCACUUGAAUCAAUUUGGUUAAUUUUAUUUGGCAAUUGCUGAUGUGGAUACCGACCAUUGUAUGUGACAUGAUUCAUAUGAUAUUGACAAUUUUUAAUAAUAUUUUAAUAUUUUAUCAAAUUAUUUACUAAUUUUUUUUUUAUUUUUUUCUCUAUUCUACUCUUCUCCUUCUUUUCUUCUUAUAUUUUUUCCUACUUAUCUCUUCCUUUUUUUAUUUUUAUUUAUUUUCUUUUCCCCUCCACUAGCAAUUGUCAACCCAGCCAUCAACGAGGCUUGAUGGUGGCUGACAAAGGGGAAAAUGGAAAGAGAAAGAAUUUAAAAAUAAAAAAGAAGAAGAGAAAAGAGAAAAAAAAAACCUAAAAAAUAUUAAAAUUUGUCUAUGUCAGCGCCGAUCAUGACAAGUAAGAAGGUCAACUUUCAUGUCAACAAUUUCUAGCAAAAAAAUGAUUGAAUUGACUCAAUUGGCAAAACGUAAAAUUAUUUAUGAUUUAAUUGAGAAAAUUGAAAGAUUUAUGAUUAAGUCAGCAAAAAUUUAAUAGAUUUAGGACAUUUUGGAAAUUUUGUAGUAUACAUUCUAUUUCCCAAGUUUAGCCCGAAGCCUAGCUACAUAUAGUAUAGUAAAUGUCUUUCAAACAUCAUCUUAUCAAGUCCGUAACUCCUUAAAAAAAAAAAAAAAAAAAAUCCCUGUGUUUAAAUCAAAUUUACACUGCAUGUUCAUCUAAGAUGGAAGGAGAUUCUUUUUAGAGAUAUUGCAAUUCACCAUAGUUAAUAUCAGAAUAGACUUAGUCAUUUGAGGAACAAUGUUUUUUUUUUUUUUUCCCAAUGAAGUACAAGAGUGUGAAGGAAAGGAAAAUCUUGCUAAGCUCUCUAUGUCCAAGGGAGAAUAAAUGGAUCUGGAUGUUUGACUUUUUAAAUAACGCACACACACACUUAUAUAUAAGUCAAGUCCGACCCCGUUUUAUUCAAUCUUAUAUUGAUUAGAUCAUUUUGCACGAAGAGGCAGUUUGCAUUGGGGAAGCAAAAAAGCCUAUCACGUCAACAAAUGGUCAAACUGAUAUUUAUUUUCAAAGAUGUCAGAGAUUUGGUUCCACUUCGUCGUACCCAUCCUUGCCUGUUUCCUCCCUGCAUGCUCUGACUAAAGAAAAAUGUCAAAACUUUUCCCGAUUAGCGGAUCAAAUUUAUCAGUCUAAUUCUAGUCUCCUUCAAUUUUCAACCUGUUGUUGCAAGCUUCAAGCUCGUGGUGACCUAGACGACGUCAGAGGAGACAUUAUUUACUUGUGUUAAUCGAAGUUUGGUCCACUAAUGUGAAGGAUUUAUGGCAUCCCAUCUCACAAUAAAAUGUACUCUUAGCGGAGGAACUAAAGCAAGAUCCAAUGAUGUAAUGGUAAACUUGUAUAAUUUUUAUUAUAUAAAAAGAAUAGAAAUACGUUUGGUAAAUUUGUAUAAUUUUUUUCGUUUCUUUUAAUUUUUUAAUAAUUUUAUUUUAUUUUUCCUUUUUUAUUUUUUCUUCCUUUUGGCCGGUUGCCAGCCUUGGCCAUGGCUAGCGACCAAUUGACAAGGGCCGACAGCCUCGCCCAGCCACGGCGAGGCUCGCCGGCUGGCGUGAGGUCGGCCUCAUUGGGGGCCGGCGACGCUCCGGCAAGGUUGCCGGCCCUCGACGGCCGGUCGCUGGAGUUGCCGGUCCUCGAUGGCCAGUCACCGACCAUGGCCGAAAUCGACGACCGACCAAAGAAAAAAGAAGAAUAAAAGAAGAAGAAAAGAAAUAGAAGGAAAAAAUAGAAGAGAGAAAAAUUAUUUCUCAGAAGUGCUAUUAGAAACAAGAAACAAGUUUUUCUUGUUUCUUAUUUCCGUUCCAAACCUGUUCCUGGGAACAAAAAAAUAGAUGUUUUGUUCUCCGGAACAAAAGUAUAAACAAACGUGUUUAUGUUCUUUUUUUAUUCCCUGGAACCAAAGAACAUAAUUUGUGUUUCGAGGAACAAAAAAAAAAACACAAACAGGCAGGCCCUUAAUGCAGCGUAGGUCUUCUUAAUGAUGUAUGAGAGCUUGUAAGUUUCAUCUUAGGAGGUUGGCGUCACACCCCAAUUCCACAAGGAUAGAAGCAUGACAUGACUGUCCUUUCUCCAAUUUCAACUUGGUAUUACAGCUUCAAGUUCGUGGUGACCUCGAUGACGUUAGAGGAGACAUUAUUUACUAAUGUUAAUCGGAAGCUUGCUCCAAUAAUGUGAUGGAUUUAUAGUAUUGCAUCUCACUGUAAAAUCUAUUCUUAGGCCAUGUUUGGUAACCAUCUUAUUUUCUUGUUUUUUGUUCUUUUGUUCCCUAGAAAACCGGAACAAAAAAAGAAUAGAAAUCCAUUUGAUAAUGUCAACUAAUUUUUCCAUUACCCGAAACAAAUUAGUAGCUAGGGAAUAGAUUUGGAACAAAACUAGAAUUAUAAAAAAAAAAACCUACAUCUUUGUUCCCAGGAACAAAAAGAGAAAUAUGGCCAUUUAAAAAAAGAUAAGCUCAUCGUAACCUAAUGUUCGUCUUUAUACAAUCAACACAAGGUCCAGUCUCCUAACCAGAUCCAAGUCCCCAUUUUUGGAAUAAAAAAAUAAAAUAUACAACAAUUAUGAGAUUUAGGAAAAAAGGUAGAAAUCAAAUUUUGAGUAGUUUUACUAGAUUAUAGUGUUAAUUAUAGUUUAGAAUUAGUUUAACAUAUAAAAAAAUGUGAAUCUUUUGAUGAAAAUUGGAUUCAAAAUUGAAUAAGCUUUUAGGGCUUUACUAUAUGGAUUUUUCAAUACCGUUUUCUUUUAGAGACAAUACUAGGUCAUGAAAGUUUGGUGACUCCGGUAUUCUUCUUUUAAGAUUCUAUUGGAGACAUCCUUUAAGAUCAUCUACAGUUUUGUUUUAAUAAAAAAUUAUAUGGCUUUGAACAAGUGUUUUGCAUUACAAUUUGUCUUGUGUUAUAGCAAUCAAAUAGUCUAUGCUCCAUGAAUUUUUGAUGUCAUUUGCUUGAAGAUUUGAUGAGUUUGUGCAAAUAAGCACACCAAAGAUCACUUCCAUCCUCAAUUGUUCCGCCAUUGUCCAUUUUAUCAAGCAACGUUGGCUCUUCUUCUUAUAGUUAAAAAAGUUUAAAAGGUAUAUGCACUUCUUUAUUAUAAUGCCCAAAGAUUUACUACCAACAUCCUCGCAUUAUGAAUUAUAAACAAGCGAGACUCUUUGUUGUCAUUUCCAACCAUUCAUCUUUGACUCACCAUUAUGUUAGAUUUUCUGAGAGCACUUUAGAAUAUUUUGGUCUAUUAAAUUCUUACAAAAGUCUAAUUUUAUUUAAACAUGAAUUUUUAGGUCUCCACGAACAUUUUUAUAAUUAAAUGAAUAAAAUUGAGAAUAUAAAUUUUUAGGGUUGUACCAAACACAUUUAUGUUUGUUUUCUAUUUUGAGAAAAAAAAAAUCAGUUACCAAAAGCAUUUUUAUAUUAAGAAUUCAGAGAAUAAAAAUAGAAAAACUAUUUCUAAAUACAAAUUAUUUCCGAAAACAAAAAUGUUAUCAAACGUACUCUUAUUGGAUGAGCUAAAGCAAGAUCCAAUGGAUUUAUACGAUCUAACAUUAACAUGGGUUUGAUAGUCAGCACAUAAACACAUUAAGAAUGCAAAGGAAAAUAAUGGAUUUCAAUAACCAAUAGAGUAAAAGGAUCUGAAAGGAAUGAGUUAGAAUGUUAUUAACAUGUAAACGGGGGGAAAAGCAAUGAAAAUAACGCGUAUAGAGAUGCAUAACAAGAUAGGCCUGAUCAUCGGUUGGAUGCGGUGAUACAUGACCCGUAUAUUUGGUCAAUCACAUUCAUUCCCAAAAGGGAAAAAAGCCAUAAAAAAAAUAUAAAUUAUACUUGACAUGACAUAUUUAAUCCAAACCAUUUUUUUUAACAUAAAAAACCCUAUACUAUUUUAACUGAGACAUAUUUAUCAUUUGUCAAUAUUUUGUUAAAUGAAUUUUCAGCCAAAAUAACGUGAUUUUAAUUUUACUUAAGUCAUGUGGACUACGAGCGAGCAUGGUUUCAAGGUAAAACCUGAAACCUAAGAAUUAGACUGGUGGGUUCAGGUUUCAGGAUCUAAAAUAUGCAGGGUAGGUUUCGAGUUGUAAAAAUUAAAUAUCUCAUUUUGACAGGUAGGUUCCAAGUUCUCAAUUAGCGAAACUUGAAACCUAGAACUUGGAACAAUUUUUUGUAUUUUUCUUGAUUUAUGUCUUUGCGCGAUCCUGCGAUAUCCUAUAAUGUUCGAUAAUAAGUGUAUAAUUUGGAACUACUAUAUGAGUUUUCAUUUUAUGAUUGAGAUUUUUACUUUUUUAGUAUUUGACUUUUUUUGAGUGUCUAAAUAUAAGUUAUUGCCAGUGAAUUGUAGUAGUAAGUAAUGGUUAUUAAAGAUGAUAAUUCACUAUAAUUGUUUAAUUGAUAAUAUAGGUGGAAUCUAAGCAGACUCUAGAAUUGAUUUUAACUUGUAACAUGGUAGAUUCCAAAUUUUUGGGUAUAUAAAGUAUGUUCUAGAUUCUAAAAAAAUACACAACCAGUAGGUUUUAGAUUUCAGGUUGAAUUUGUAUGGAAUUUAGAACCACUUACCCUUAAGAUAGGCACCAUUAAUGUUUAUUUUUUGACGUCUCUAUAGGUAGUUUUUAAUGGUUUUAUUGACAGAAUUUUGGAAAAAGGUAAAUGUAUCACAAAUUUAUAAUUUGAGAUUUUUGGUGUCAUAGAAAAAAAUUUAAACUAAAUAUGUCUGCAUAUAAUUUAAGAUUAUUAUUAUUUUUUUUAGCUUUUUACCUUUCCCAAAAUGAAAAGUCCACGGCCACGACCACGACCCGGGCGGAAGGCACCAGUAGACUCAAGAUAGCGUAGCGAUGGCAUCCCGCAAAAAAUGAGUCGUCUCUCCAUGCGCCACGUUGCAAGAAUUCGCCGAAAGUGAACCUUGACCAAACAACGGUCGAGGAAUCAACCGUCCUCGUACACUGAUCUGGCUGUAGAAGCGACGACACUCGAGUUCUUGUUUCCUACGUACUGUCUGAAGAAGCAAUGACACUUUGGACUCGAGUUCUAGCUUCCUACGUAAACCCGAUCAAAGGCCCCAGAAGAAAGGGCUUCUUCCUCCUCCCGUAAUCUCAAGCCACCCACUUCCGCUUUCACAUUCUGUUCCGAGCCGCCUCUCAUGGCGGGCGAAGGCAAAAUCGCCUGUCUCAUCAUCUUUUUCCUCUGUCUCCGCCCAUCUUCGGAGGCACAAACGUGGGUCAAGUCAGGUUACUUCUACGCCGGCAGCGAAAUCCCGAUCUCGGACAUCGAUUCCUCUUUGUUCUCUCACCUCAUAUGCGCUUUUGCUUACAUCGACUCUUCGACCUAUCAGCUCUCCGUCAACUCCUCCACCGAGCAAUUCUUCACCACCUUCACGAGCACCGUGAAACGCAAGAAUCCUUCGAUCACCACUCUGCUAUCAGUGUGGGCAGCAGCGUGGGCAGGCCGAGAGGAUCCUUCAGCUUUCGUUUCGAUGCUCAGUGAGUCUUCUUCAAGAAGGUCCUUUAUCGAGUCUACCAUAGAAAAGGCAAGGCUUUAUGGGUUCAGUGGGGUUGAUCUCUGUGGGGUCUUGCGCAGUAGGAGCAUUAACGUGACCAAUUUGAGUGCCCUUUUGCGGGAGUGGAGAGAUGGAGUAGAUGCCGAAUCAAGAAAAUCUGGGAAACCUCAGUUGCUGCUAGUAAUGGCUGUGUAUAGUCAACCCAUUUUUAACUCCGUGAGUUACCCAAUUGACUCAAUUCAGAGAAAUUUGGACUGGGUUCACCUAAGUGCGUAUGAUUACCAUCUCCCCACAAGGGAAAGAUUUGCGCUCCCUCACGCAGCUUUAUUUGACCCAGCAAGCCCGAAGAACACAGACUUCUGCAUCACUUGGUUGCUGACUAGAGGAUUUCCCGCAAGAAAGCUGGUUCUGGGCUUGCCCUACCAUGGCUAUGCUUGGCAGCUCGAGGAUUCGAGCGCCGAUGCCAUUGGCUAUCCAGCAGUGGGGCCUGCUGUGACGACGGAUGGGUCAUUUGGAUACAAGGCUAUAAAAUCUUAUAUCCGAGAUUUCGGUUAUGGAGCCAGUCCUGUUUAUAAUGGUACAUAUGUGGUGAAUCUUUUCAGAAAGGGAUCGGUAUGGAUCAAUUUCGAUGGUGUGGAGGCCAUCCGAGCCAAAGUAACUUAUGCCAAGGAAAAGGGGCUCCGUGGUUACAAUGUGUUUCAGGUCAACAAUGAUCAGAACUGGGCCCUUUCUCGGACAGGUUAGGAUUAAGUUAACCUCACAGGAAUUUCUGAAGGUUUUAAAAAAUUAUUGCAUUGAAAAUGUAGAACUAAACGUAAUUCAAGGACUUAAUUGCCUUGUCAGCUCAAGAUGCCAGUGAAGAUCAGCAACACAGGCGAUGGUUCUGGCUUGUUAUGCUUAUUUCGAUUGCUGUAAUUGUUCUCCUUGUAUUUGGCCUGAUAUGCUACUUACAGAGGAGAACAUUGAAAUCAAAAGGUACGUUUUCUAUACUUUACUGGAGGAUUACUGUAAUUUUGUGGGAAUCAGGAACAUUGACUUCGGAAGAAUUAAAGUUCUAGACACAUUUUCUUGAUGUUGGUUCGCAGGUAUUUCGGGUGUAAUAAAAGGAUUUAGUAGCCGAUUAAAGACUAUGGUGUGUAAAGGUGAAAGUCUUGAGAGUGGUACUCGUAGUCUGCGAACAUUUGGUUAUGCUACCCUCAAAGCAGCAACUGAUGACUUCUCAAGUGAAAAUAAGCUUGGAGAGGGUGGAUUUGGACCUGUUUACAAGGUAAAAUAUAUGAGGCCAUUCUUAAGCUAAAGAUUAUUAUUUUCUGUAUCAUUACAAAUCCCAGGAAGUACGUGUUGGGAGAACGAACCACGAUUGAGGGCCAGAUUUGGUCCUUUUGCUCUAUAACAUGCGUUCGUUGCUGCAUAAUGCAAGCAUGGAAAAUAACUCACCCCCAAAUGUUUUUCUUAUUUUUUACGCUCAAGAAUAUGUGGUCCUUCUCAUUUAUAGUCUGAUUUAUAAUUGAGAAAGUGAAGGUAAUGGGAACUUGCUACCCGUACUAUGAGAGCAAAUCUUUUCAUAUGUUAAGCAUAGGUAUGCCGGCUUUCUCUGUAGCAGCUGCCAGUUGGUUGGUUUGUACUUGCAGUUUCAAUCAUUGAAGCUACAUGCCUCUAAAAGCAGAAAGCUUGAGAUAUUUAGAGAUGCAGCGUAGGUCUUCUUAAUGAUGGAUGCAAGCUUGUAAGUUUCAUUAUAGGAGGUUGGACUUGGAUGCCUUCUGCUCAAGUUUUGUUUUUCAUUAAUGUUCCUUGGGGUUAUGUGACUUAUGUCAUAGACAAAACACUGUCUUCCAGCAUAAACACUGAAAAUUUUUGUUAGUCUACCAUGUUCAAGUGGAAGUCAGUUGCCCUGUUCUGACCAUCAGCGUACCUGUUGCUCAGGGCAAGUUGCCCAAAGGACAGUACAUUGCAGUGAAGAGACUUUCGAAAACUUCAAACCAAGGGCUCGAGGAGUUCAAGAACGAAGUUAUGCUCACCGCCAGCCUGCAACAUGUCAACCUCGUUCGCCUUAUUGGAUUUUGUACCAACAGGGAAGAAAAGAUGCUGAUCUAUGAGUACAUGCCAAAUAAGAGCUUGGACUUCUACCUAUUUGGUUUGACAUCUUCCUUGCUUCUUAAUAUUCAUUGAGCAAAACCUGGGUGUUUUUAAGUGACAUCUAGUGUGAUACUCCAAGAGGCUUAGAUGGGUCCCCGGUUCCGCUACAAUGGCUAGGGCAGCUAGACCCUUUUUAGCAUUUGGGGUACACAAUGGUUUGCAAUGCUCUAAUUUCGCUUCCAGUUCUGAUAGUCUUUAGGUUUUGAUGAUGCAGAUCCAAUAAGGAAAUAUUCGCUGGAUUGGGUGAAACGUGUUCAUAUCAUAGAAGGCAUUACACAGGGGCUUCUUUAUCUCCAAGAAUACUCGAAUUUCACAAUAAUUCAUCGAGACUUGAAAGCCAGCAAUGUUCUGCUGGAUGAUGAAAUGAACUCCAAGAUAUCAGAUUUUGGUUUGGCGAAAAUAUUCAAGAAGGAUGACAUUGAAGCAAAUACCAGCCGAAUUGUCGGGACAUAGUAAGAGAGCUAACUACGCCCUCCUAGUUUUACCUCAUAGGUAUUCUCCUGCUAAAAGUCUGCUGCUUAAAACCAAUUUUUGUUCUUGCGUACAGCGGGUAUGUUCCACCAGAAUAUGUGAGGAAGGGCAUAUACUCGAUGAAGUACGACGUCUACAGCUUUGGGGUACUGCUGUUGCAAAUCAUCAGUGGUAGAAGGACCUCAUGUUACUACGGCCUGAAUGAAAAUUUGAAUCUUCUCGAUUAUGUAAGUAGAUUAUGUAAGUAGAGAUUAUUUGUGAUUCCAAAAUUUUCUGGGCUCAAUUUUAGGAACAUGGAUUUUGACUUUUAACCAACUGGCGUUCUUAAUUUCAGGCAUAUGAGCAGUGGAAAGACGAUAAAUGCAUGGAGUUCGUUGACCCGUCUUUGGAUGACUCUUCAUCAUCCUGUAAGCUCUUGAGAUGCAUGCAAGUGGCUCUUCUAUGCGUGCAAGAGAAGCCUGGGGACAGGCCAUCCAUGUUGGAAGUCUAUUCAAUGCUCAAGAAUGAAUCCUCAGCUGUGAACUUCCCCAAGAAGCCUGCAUUUUCAAUUACCGAGGAUGAAGAUGAGGAUGGCAAGUGCUUGCCCAAGGAAGCAAUUCAUUCAGUCAAUGAUGUAUCAAUUUCUGAAUUGUUUCCUCGCUGAUUGUACAUUGCAUAAAUCCAAUACUGUGAAUACUAAUACCAUAGAGAGAAUCUUUUGUCAACUUAUUGGGUUGCCUAGUACUUCGUUUGUCCCAGUGGCAUUUUUUUUCCAAAUUAAUUGUAAUAUUUUUUGAAAAUUGUAUAUGUUUUUUACCAUUUAGAGGCAGUUCAAGUUAGAAGUUAGGAGGGAUUGAUUUCCGAUUCAGUUCGAUCCCACCUAGGAACCGAGAACCAGAUCAGAGGGAUUGGUUUUCAGUUUCUAGAAUCGAUUCAGUUCCCAAGCGGUCCAAUGGAACUGAUUGCUUGCUCCAUUUAUUCCCAGCCUUUGCCCGAUCACACCACGAACUCAAGGCGCCGUUCUCACAAUCGGCUUGAGAUGACUGAGUCACGGGCAAAUCAGACCCCAAACCGCACGCAUCCGGCAAUAUUCUUUCUUCUAUAUAUAGGUUGAAGUGAUUGGACGAUUCAGAGACUUUUGCCUUCAGAGAACACAACUAGACCUAGAAUCAAGCAAAAGUCUCGUGAAAAUGAACCGCGAGACACGGAAAACGCGACACAAAAGAGGGCAAAAUACAGAUCAUUACCUUGAUGAGGAUCGAGAUGCAAGAAACAGAGCAAGAAAGGCGGCGAGAGUCGAGACGAUACCGCGAGAGGGAGGCGUGAAGCUCGAGCGAAAGGGAUGUGACUUAGGCAAGAGAAGGUGCCGCCGCGCUGCCAUUUGAGAGUAGAACGAGAGGUACGAGAGGGAAAGAGACGAGGCGUGAGAAGCGAGAGAGAGAGAGAGAGAGAGAGAGAGAGAGAGAGAGAGGAGAUAGAGAGAGAGGGGCGGAGGCAGCUAGGCACGACUGUGACUUAGUCUGUGAAGAAUGACUGAAGAACGAGGCACCUCAGGAGCUGCGCAAGGUAAGACGAGAUUAUUGACUAGGGUUUGAGUUUACACUCUUAACUUCACAGUGCUGCUCUUUAAGAAAUUGACACACACACACGCACAUAUAUAUAUAUUGAUUCAAUUUGGGCGGUUCGGUUCUCAUCCUAGACUGAGAACUAGAGCACAGCUCCCUAGAAUUGUCCACAAUCCGCUAGUUUGGUCAAAUUUGGGUCGUCCUAGUUCGGUCAUCCAUCUUGCUCACUACUAGUUCAAGUGUUCCUUCUUUUGUCUAGUAAACUGUUAAGGGAAAAAUACUGAAAAAAGUAUUAAACAUAAUACGUUGGUAUCAAUUCAGUUAUAAAUUUUUCAAUGGAAUCAAUUUAGUCUUAAACAUUUUCACAUUAGUAUUAAUUCAAUUCAUUUGGCUAACAUAGGUUGGAAAUCGCUGACGUGAAUGCCAGUUGUUCUACGUAGUAUGAUUAGUGCUAACGUGAAUAUUUUUAAAUAAUAUUUUAACAAAAUUUUGAAUAUUUUUUUUAUAAUUUUUGUUUUUCUUUUGUUUUUCUAUUAAUUUUUUUGUGACAGCCUUAAUUUUCAGAUUUCGUUUUCGUUUUCGAUUAAAUAAAUUGGGUCUUUCGUCGAUGCGCCAAUAGUGUUAUUCUCUGAGCUGAUCACUCAUGAGAUAACUGAACUAUUUGGGAAAGUAAUUAAGGAAUCUAAAUGCAAUGGACUUAAGAAUUCGACCAGGAACCGAUUGCUUAACCAUGUUGAUCUGCAAUGGUCAUUCGUCAAAAAUCAAUCAGAGAUUGGAGAUAAGUCGAUUCGAUAGAGAUAUGUGAUUAGUGCAUGAGUGAUUCUACCUAAUUGCAAAAUUCUUGUCGAACGGCACUAAACCGAUUUUUCUGUCAUUUCUGUACUGGUAUCCGUAUUUGAAAUCUCGAGAUUUUCACGACAAUCAAGAGAAGAUGUACAUUGUGACACCUCCACCUUCUCCUCCUCAGAAAAAGCAAGCCCUCUCUCCAUUUUAUAAGCCAAUCCUCAAAUGGGCCAAGAAACAUUCUUACCCACUUGAAGUCACAGCGGAAGCACCACCCACUUCUUCUAUAGCUAUGUUCCAAGAUACUGAUUUUCCUCCUCUUGCCAAGGAAAACUCUAAACUCUCGUUCCCCGCCUCAUAAGAGUUUAUUGAUUCCCAUGGCAGAUAUCGCCAUGUUCCCAAGAUUCCUACUCCCACUGAUGUGGAUGAACAUGGACGACAAAAGAAGACUCUUGCUGCUGAAACUGUUCUAAAUUGGCAAUGAGAGACUCUGUUGGCACAAAACAACGCCUUCAAGGCAAUUGAUUCCAAAAUUGGAAAUGUGCAACAAGAUCUUCGAAGGUAUGGUGAAAGCACCAAAAAGAUACUCGCUGAGUUCCAGAAAAGGCUUCAUGCCUUGGAAUCAGGACAACAUCUUGGGUAUUAUUAUCUUGAAAGUCCAAAACCAGAGAUAGAAAAGCUCAAGAAGCAAAUCCAACUUCUUGAAGAAGGAAGAUUCCGACCCUUUGAUCCACUGGCACCUCCUGUUAGAACCGGGUAUGUACCCCCACAACCACAGACGUCUAUUUUUGCUAACAUCCCAGAAGAUCCCUACAGAAGGGAACCAGACAUGGCAGAAAUACGAAAUCGUCUCAAAGCCAUACAGAAGGGGAAAAAGAAAGAAAAAACACCACCUCUAGAAUCAAGUUCAAUCAUCAUAAGAGAAAAGCCAGAUCAGAUGAUGUUAUCAAAUCCAACAGACAUGGCAGAAAUACGAAUCUUUUCUAAAAGAUUUGAGUACUCAGGCACCUGAUCCUGUAAUCCAACAGCCUGCCAAAAAAACAGAUUCUAUUUCCCGCUGAACAAACUUCCCUUGAUACUGAAUCAGAUUUAGUAUCCCUUUUCCUCAUCUUCAUCCUUCUCAAUUCCUACAGUUGAUACCCUAUUGUGCCAGUAACUUCAGAAAUAUUCAUGGCUGACCCUCCAGAUGAUGAAAUGGAAUCAAAUUAUUCUGACCCAGACUAUGGUCAGACAAGCAAUCCUGCUAGAAACAAUUCUACCAGGCAUGUGUCCAUGGCAUCAAAACAAUUCUUCACCAUUGAUGAUAUUCCUUAUCCAAAAUGGCCAGAAAGACUUGAAGAAUUUCAUACUUGGUUGAAUACUCAUUCCAUUACCAACCAUGAUAUAAAUGAUGUCCUUUAUAACUUUGUUACGAGGUUUACAGGAAGCCUCAAACUCUGGUGGCAAUCACUUACAGAACAAGACCAGAUUAUGUUUCUGAUGUCGCCAAAUUUCAGCCAUGCCAUCACUCUCUUAUAUCAUGUCUUUGUGGGAAAACCAGGAGAUCUCAUAGAGAUAAAAAGAAGAGAAUUUUUCGAAAGAAAAUGCUGUUCUUAUAAAAAAAAAAAAAAGCAUAUCGAUAAGCAUUAUCGAAUGAUGCUUCAGCUCUUUUACCAAAUUGGAGCAGAUCCAAAUCUGAAGCAUGUCUUUCUCACAUCCAUCCCUAAAGAGCUAUCCCAGAUGGUUGAAAGGUCUUUCUUUGGAAAACAAAAGAGAGUACAAGAUAUUCCCUUGGGAGAAAUCCAACAAGAAAUCCAUCUGUGCCUUGAAGAAUUAUGCUUAAAACGCCAGAUGGUCCGUACCUACAUCACAGAUGACAAACGCCUCGAAUCGGCUUGUUCACACCAGAAGCUAAAGAUCAAAUGCUCAAAGCAAGACUGUGAUGGUACUUGUGGCCAAUAUUCCCGGAAGAAAAAGCACUACAAGAAGUAUUCGAUAAAGAAAUCCAAACAUGGAUCCAAGCAUUUCCGGAGAAAGAAGAAAUGGCGAUACCUAUGAAAAAGAAAGGAUCGCACAGGCCAUAAGAAAUCAAAUCGUUGCUACAUUUGCAACAAGAAGGGACAUUUUGCCAAAAAUUAUCCUCAAGCCAAAAAAGGUCAGAAUCAUCUAAUUCAUCAAAUUGAGAAUGAAACAGGUAUUUCUCUUGAAAAUGAUGAUGUUGAAUCUUUAUUCUCCGCUGAUGAAGAACCAUCUGACCAAACACUUUGUAUCAUUCCCUCUUACCAAACUUCUAGUGAGAUUGAGUCAGGCUCGGAAUCUGAAGACAUUUUUCACAUAUCCCCCACAUAUUCAGAACCAAAUCUUGAUAUAUUCUCAAGCCAAACUCACUGUCCGCAUUUCCCUGUAAAAAUUCUCACUUCAAAGUUUGCCAAACCUAUCAAUGUCAUUGCCCUCAUUGAUACCGGAGCAAGCUGCUCCAUUCUAGACACUAAAAUCCUACCUGAAGAAUAUUGGACUCCCCAUAUUCGAUAUUUCAACUCCGCCUCUGGAGAUACUUUCUCCACAAAUGUCAAGACCACUCCUGUGACUAUCCAGUUCUUUCCCCAGUGCUCCAUAAAUGCAAAAAUCUUUGGAUCAAACCUUCCCAAUAAAAACCUGAUAAUUGGGUGGGACAUCAUGACUCAAAUCUCUCAACUUCGCAUCAUUCCUGGAAAAUGUCUUAGAUAUAAAGAUCAGUUCUCCGAAUUCGUCAAUAUUCAGAGACUCUUUUCCAUUCAGAUGAGUCUGUUAGAUCCAAUCAUGCAAAGGCUGCUGGAAUCUUGUGCGGAAUCCCAUUCAGAAUUCGCUCAAAAAUGUUCUCAUCCCUUAUGGGAAAAUCCAGAAUUCUUUGUUCGUCUCCCUUUAAAAAAAAAUGAAAAUAUCAACCCAACAAAGGCGAGUCAUAUGGGAAUGAAGCCAGAACACUUGGCUUUAGCUCAAAGGGAAUGCUCAGAAUUAUUGCAACAGGGCCUUAUCGAAAUCUCCAAUUCUCAAUGGGCUUGUGAAGCCUUUUAUAUCAAUAAACGAGCUGAGCAAAACAGAGGAAAAAUAAGACUGGUGAUAAAUUAUCAACCUCUCAAUCUUUUUCUCCAAGAUGAUAAAUUCCAUUUACCGUCUAGAGAUUCUCUCUUUAGCGGACUAACCAAGGCCCAUAUCUAUUCCAAAUUCGACCUCAAAGUCGGAUUUUGGCAAUUGGGUAUCCAUCCUGAAGAUAGAUCCAAGACAGGAUUCUGUAUCCCGAACCAGCACUUCCAAUGGAAAGUUCUCCCUUUUGGCCUAAAGGUAGCACCAUCCCUGUUCCAAAAGGCCAUGUGCCGUAUUUUCCAACCAAUCCUGUCAAGUGCAGCCGUAUAUAUCAACGAUAUUCUGCUCUACAGUCCUGACGAGCAGUCACACUGUCAAUUCCUUGAGCAAUUUGCAGAAAUCGUGAGAAAACAUGGCAUUAUGCUUUCUCAAAGGAAAAUGAAUAUUGCCUAGAUAGAAAUUGAAUUUCUUGGCAUGCACCUCAACAAAGGAACAUACUAUCCAGGGCCACAUAUUGCUCAAGAAUUAUUGAAGUUUCCUGAAGAUAACUUCACUACAAAACAAGUUCAGCAAUUUCUUGGGAUAAUUAAUUAUCUCAGGGUUUUUGUCCCAAACAUUGCAAAGCUCCUGAUUCCUUUGCAAUCCACGCUGAAGAAGAAUUCCCCACCUUGGGGAAAAACCCAGACUAAAGUAGUCGCUGAACUUAAGGAGAUAAUGCAAAAUCUCCCACCAUUACAAAUACCAUCAACAGGAAGAAGAAUUCUUCAAACUGACGCCAGUGAUGAAUACUGGGCAGCAGUCCUGUUCGAAGAAAUCGAUGGUAAGAGACUCCUUUGUGCUCACAAAAGUGGAAAGUUUUCUCAGGCUGAAAUGCACUACCAUUCCACUUUCAAAGAAAUUUUAGCAGUAAAAAAUGGAAUCAAAAAAUUUGAGUUUCAUCUCAUAGGCCAUCACUUCUUGGUAGAAUUAGACAUGGCAUCUUUCCCUCAGAUGACCAAGUUUAAACAGAAGCAGAUUCCAAACUCUCAGUUGCUUCGAUGGGCUGAAUGGUUUUCAAAAUACUAUUUUGAAACCAAACACAUUCUUGGAAAAAAGAAUGUGCUCGCUGACUUUUUGUCAAGACCCAAGGCACCAGCUGAAAUCAACAUGUACAUCAAGAGGCAUGUUUUCCAUAUGCUCAAUCAUGGCGUGAAAUACAAGAUUGAGAAGAUCAAAGACUUGCAAAGCUGGAAAUAUCCCCAGGAGAUUAUUCAGCAAAUCCAGAACGACAGUCUUACUGAGAACUUGGAGAACCUCAUGUGGUAAUGCCACACAGACCUAUUCAGAUUCAAUGGAGGUUCGAUUCUUCAUCCUUUUGGAUUAAAUCUAAAUUAUCCUUUCAUUCAUCCUCUUAUAUGGAAGGAAGAUGAUUUCCCUGACCAGCUCAAGAUGUUGUUAUGGUACUUAACUAAUAAGUACUUAAUAGCCAUUGAAAUCCCAACCAGAAGAUUCAUCGCCAACCUCACAAGGAUAUUCUUACUCGGAAGAAACGUUGACAAGGAAUGUGAUAGAAAUCUUUUAGAUUUUCUAAAUUGGUUCUAUCAUCCUACAUGCUGGAAACAAGACUUAGAAAGAGAACUGAGAACCAUGACACCAAAUCCUAAAGUCCACAUUAUUCUGUUUUUCAGACAUCCAUGGAAUUUCUGUAGAAAUAAUGGUAGUAUUCUCGAUGCUCCACUUGAAAUAGGAACCACAUCCUAUAAACCUCACUUGAAUAGUCGAGAUCUGUUAGAUUUUGUGAAAACGAGUACCGAGAACUUCAGAGAAUCCUAUGCCAGGAAAACAAAACCAUUCCUAAAGAUGUCUGGAAUAAUGCACCCACUACGUGGGAUCAUUAUGACCUAGCACCAGAAGCUAGCGAAGCACUCAGGCAAUACAGACAAGCUACAUCGUCCCAAGAGCAUGAAAUGACAAGCGAAGAUGACAUUGUCCAGUCUACUCAAAACCCCUACGCACGCUUUGGAGGUCCUCUGUCCCAGAAUCCCUAUGAUCAAGGAACUUCGUCCUCGUUUCAAGACAUGGACACAUCCUUUUACGCACAGCCAUCCAAUUGGCCUCAGCCAAGCAUUCCUGCUAGAACCACAAGUGAAAAUACAAACUGGGCAGAAGAUCCCAUUGGGCUCAUGAAGCAUCCUCAUCUCAAAGGCUGAACCAAAUCCUUUCACCUCAAGACCUUGAAGCCCUUCAGUAGAAAUAUGAAGCACAUCUCCUAGAAGAUAGUUCCGAUGACUCAGUAUGUAGCUACAAUGCCCGUGACGGACGAGACCGAUGAGUCCGUACAAUUUCAUUGUAGCAAAAUCACUGUUCACUUUUACUGUAGCACAAGGCUAGGGAAGAUACUGUUCACAGUACAGUUACUGUUCAUAGUGCGCUAAUAAUUCCCUCCCGGAAGUUUUCGGUGCCUCUGUUUGUAUCUGGACCCGUGAGCUUGGUCCCUGUGUGUGUCCUUGUAACCUCUUAUUGCCUAUAUAAGGCAAGGGGUGUGUAAUGUUUCGGGCAGAGUCCCCUAAAGUAAAGUGUGUGCUUUGUGAAAAUCUCUCCAUGGCUUUCUAAAUUCCUCUUCUUCUCCAGCCUGGUAGGAUCCUCCGAGAAAUGCAGCUUGGGUAGAUUAGAAACGUCUCCAUCCUGGCAUCUCUGGGUGUCUCUAGGCUCUGAACUAAAGGGCAAGUGGUUUUCUGCUAAAAAGCUGUCCCUGUAGGGCUUGAAUGGGUUGUUCGCCCACUGUGGGAUGCAUAAAUUGAUCAUGGGUCAAUUGCACCAAAAAUUCCUAAAAGUUACCCGGUAGACUAGGUCACGCUAAAAUCGCGUCGGAUUGAAAUUAUCCGCGAAUUUGAACCUGAUUUCAUAAAUUGAAAGUUCUGUCGUGUCACGAUUCAUUUUAGGAAUGUCAACUCAUCCUUCAAAAAAAUUUCGGAGAUUUCGGGAUUUUUACGGAAAAUUGAUUCGGACGUUGCGGAAAAAUAACGGAAAUUCGGAUGGGCUAAGUUGAAGGAAAUUUGGACUUCCAAGCCGAGCAUUUGGGUGUUGAGGGCUUGCAUAAAAUUGUAUAGGAUUUUUCUUCAACAAAAUCGGACCUCAAAUUGGAGAAAUCGGAGAGGAAAUUGAAGCGUAUAUGGUGAAAUUCGUAUGCCAUUUUGGAGGCCGUAUUUUUGGUAUUAAUUUGAGCUAUUUAUGGAUUUAAUUUGCUAGAAAGAAAUAGGGGGAUAAGCCAUUAAUUAAGUGGAUAAUUUGUGUACUUUGUUUUCCCUUUUUCUUUGUUCCAAUCCCCUGGUCGAGCAAGCCAGCUGCUUCCCACCGUCGCCACUCCUUUUUCAUUUCUUUUGGUGCAAUUCCUUCCACGUCAAUCCACUCUUUCCCCUGCGUCUUCAUCUCCAUUUAUCCUCUGCAACCGAAGCCUUUUCCCCCCACCGAAUUCCCAUCUGCCCUCUCUCCUCACGCCACCGAAGCCACUCACCCCCACCAUCCUUGCCUUCUUGCCGAGUCAAUUGCCACACUCAGCGACCGCCAGCUGCCACGUUGAAGCCCAUCUUCCUCCAAGCCCACCGAAGACCCAAGGCCCACGCGUCCAGCAGCACCGAAGCAGGCCAUCCCCUUCGGUCUUCACGCCUGCAGCUCGUUCUUCUCCAAUUUGCUGCUUCACCGCCCACGAUUCCACCGAAGCUGCUCUCCCCAUCUCACGCCAUCGAAGCUUGUCCACCGAGCAGCUCCUUCGGCGUCCAUCUUCUCCAGCUGGCGUUGAUCCCGCAGUCCACCUCAGCUUGGGAAAAUUCAGCCCAACAGCCCAAGCAAGAUCAGCCGUGAAUUUCCAGCCCAGUUCGGUCUUUUCUUCAGCCCACAAGCCAGUGGAGUUCAGCCCAGUGAAUUUCGGCCCACUUGAAGCCCAGCCGCAGCAAGCCCAGUUCAGUUUUUCAGCCUUGGGUCCAGCCCAUUCAAGGCCUAUUCAGUCCAUUUGAAGUCCAGCCCAAAUCAAUAACAAAUCUCAAUUUGGGCUGAGAUUUGUUGGGCCAAUUUUAGGCCCGAUCCAAGCCCAUUGACGCCACCGCAAACUUGAGUUUCAGCUGCCGUCACACCGUCGUCGCAGUGAACCGGUUUCAGCAAUAAACCGAUGAGUUUAUGCACUAAACUCUUCUUAGUAGGCUAAUGACGUUUAAGGGGUGUUUAGUUCAAUUUAAUUAGGAAUUAGGUGGUUAGUUAAAUUAAAUUAGUGAUUUGAUUAUGCAAUUAUGCAUGUUAGGUGGUUAUAUUAGAUUAAGUGAGGCCUAGCUAGAAGGGUUCGGGAAUUUUCCGGGCCCGUUUCGGUGUUUAAUUUAAUGAUUUUGGCCUAGGUUGGUAUUUUUAGAAUUCAAAUUGAAUUAUUUAAUUAAUUUUUAAAAUUAAUUAAUUAUUAAUUAUUUUUCCGAAAAUUAGACUGGGAUAGUCGGUGACCGAAAUUUCGUGCUGAUUGUAAAUUUGAGUAUUUAAUCCAAAGAAUUUGUGAAUUUCCAAUAUUAUUUAGAAAACCUCGGGUGUAGGAUUUUGACACUGAAAAUAAUUUUAUAUAUUAUAUAAAAUAGUUGGAUUUUAAAUUGGGAGAUAUCAAUUUUUUUUUAUUCAAGUUGACCGUGUACUCACACACAACUAUUUUACUAUGUAUUUCUAAUACAAAGAAAAAGGCCAGGUUCACCAUUGUAAUUUAGGUAUUUGAGUGCAAUGCACGGUACCCUGAGCCAUAAUUGAGUGAUCGUGUGUUGGUUAAGAAAACCCAUCCUAGGUUGUUACAGGGUAACAGGAAGCCGGUCGUAGUAGAUUCUAGACCCUAUGCUCCUUCGGGAAAGUCGUCUAAUGGAGACAUGCUGUGCUCAAUGGAGUGAGACGAUGCCUGGCUAUGCCAAAAGACCACCGAACUGAGAGUAAGCCGUGCCAUAUGUCGAGAUCAAACUAGGAAUACAUGAUAAAUUGAGUUGAAUGUGUCGAAUUAUGAGACAAAAUUGUGUGGCGCGGUAUAGAACGUGUCAUAACGAUUUGGCCCUAUAAUCAGGACCCAUCUGCUGAUUUGAGAAUCAAGUGUAGCAUUCCAGUUGUUGGAGCUUAUUUACUACUCAUACUUUUGUGACUGCCUGAGAUGUAAAUUGUACGGACCUGCAGGGUGGAUCUAAGAUGAGGUAAGUCCCUAUAAUUGUGUGAUUGAGUGGUUAGGACACCUAUGGGCGUAUUUCCCUCCUAAUCGGGGUUUAGAGCAUGAACUCACUGAGAUUUAUAUCUCACCCCAUCGUUGGCCAAUUUUUCAAGAUAGUCGAGUGGAGGAACUGGAGUUGAGAGGAGGUGAUCUGAAGUGUAAGUUAGUUAGGACCGCUUCUUUUUGGAAAGCCAGUCUUUAUAGUCUUUUGGUCGUAGACCUUGUGCAUGACUUAGUGUGUAUAUAAAUGUGUGUUUUGUUUGUGAAUUUGUUGUCCUGCUUUUCUACCCCGAGAUGAUUACUGUUAGGGGAUUUAUUUUCGCUUCCGCAUGUGCAAUAAGACAAAAAGGGUCAAUGACUCGCCCUGAGAAAUUGCAAAAUAUUAUCAACCAGAGAGGGAUGGGCACGUGCUCGGGGUUCGGGGCGUGACAUUUUUUCUCCUUUCAUUUUGGCUGGCAUCGAUUGACUUAAAUUGAUUGAAAAUUGUUGACAUAGACGCUAACCAUUUUACGUAGCAUAAUAGACAUAACAUAAAUUCUUAUUUUUUAAUUUAGUCAAAAUGACUUGGUGACUCGCAUGAUCUGAUCGUUGAGAUGUAGUGGGUUCAUGCUCCAAUAAAAAAAGUUUUUGAAAGAUAAAGUCAACAUACGAUUUUAGAGAAUAGCACAUGUACCCCAAGCAAGUAUUUUACGUGGCUAGUACAUAUAUUACUUAAAAUUGAAUCGGGAUUGUCAGGUUUGGAGAACCCACAUGGGAGCCACCCUUUUCAAUGGUCCAAACUAAAUUUAGAAUAUGAACUCACCCCCGUAAACUAAUUUCUCUUUGCAGCCCAUGUGUGUAUACAUAUAUAAAGGUUCGAAUCACUUAGAUCUAUCGUGAAAGAGAGUGCGGGAAAGAAUUUCCUUCUUAAUGGACUCGGUCAUUCGAGCACAAGAAAAGACCUUAUUCGCAUGAAAGUGCUUAGUCACGAUCAUUAUCCUCAUUUCCCUAAACCUGAUGUUCUAAACUAGAGUUAGGUAAGGUCAAAACUCUAGAAUUAAUACGAAACUUAAGCUACAACAUGCGCAUGUGGUCCAAUAAAUCCUAUUUAAAGCCAACUAAAAAAUGUCUAGUCUCAUCCUAUAAGCUUGUCAGGAGAUGCUCCUUAUUCGAGCAUUCCAGUCAUAGCAAACACUCUCCACCCUUGUCAGACCGAAUUGUUACAGGCUCAUAAGCUUCCGCAUGGUUCAUCUCCUAACCACACACCUAUUGGAAGAGGUCUUGCUUUGACAUUAUAAUUGUGACACCCUAAAGUUAAUUCACUUGAGAUAUUGUUGUUGGUUUAUGCAUGUAAAUGGAUGUGAAAAAUGUCUUUCCAAUUUGUUAUAUUAAAGAGAAAGUGUUCAUACAGCAACCAUAAUGAUUUGAAGAACCUAAUAAGAUCAGUUGUGUUUAUUAACUCGAGAAAUCUCUUUAUGGACUCAAGCAAGUUCCCAAGAGCCUGGCAUGAAAGGUUGUAUACUUUUCUUGUUGAAAAAUAUUUUGAAUAAGAAAAAGUUGAUACAACUUCAUUAUGCAAAAGAAAGAUCAUAUUCAGCUUUUAGAUAUAUAUUGAUGAUAUCAUCUUUGGAUCUAUUAAUAAGUUAUUUGCAAAGAAUUUGCUAAUAUCAUGCAAAACAAGUUUGAAAUAAGGACGAUGGGGAAACUAAACUUCUUUCUUGAACUACGACUCAAACAAACCAAAGUUUUUUUUUUUUUUUUUUUUGGUAAAAGGUAAGUAGUAAAAACAAACCAAAGUUGGCACUUUCACAUUUCAAGAAAAGAAACGCUUGAGAAUUAGUGAAGAAUUUUGGGAUGGAAACAUGAGAAUUGAUACACCAUUGCCUUCAUCAACCAAAUUUGACAAGGAUGAGAAAUGUAAGUUUGUCAAUCCUAAGCUAUAUAAGAGAAUGAUAGGAUCAUUAUUGUACUUGAUAGCAUUUAGAACUGAUAUUUUGUUUUGCUUAUGUAUGUUCGCUCGUUUCUAAUCUAAUCUUAAGGAAUUGCAUUUGACUGUUGUACAGGGUAUCUUAACAACUCAUAGUUCACAAAAUUGACAAAAAGAGCACCUCUGGCAAUUCUCAAAUAAUGAAUUGCUGCUCGUUUUGUGAUUUUCAAAGAAGUGAAAUUCAAUAACCCUUGCAAUUGCUGAAGCUGAGUAUGUGGCUCUAGAUAGCUGCUGUAACUUUUGCAAAUGAAGCAGCAACUAAGGAAUUUUGGUGAGGAACAAUCGAACAUAUGCAUUAUGUGUGAUAGCACCAACGUGAUUAAUUUGACUGAGAAUCCAAUCAUGCAUUUGAGGGCUAAGCAUAUUUCAAUCCGUCAAUGUAUAUAGCUUUUAUUUCUAUUUACACUACUGACAUCUACAUAUUACGUAUGCUGUAGCUCCUCAAUCCACUCGAAUUUCUCAGUCAUGCUAUCGUCGAUCCGAAAUACGUCUAAUGUCAUCAGCCAUCAGAGCUUCAAGUCUGUGUAAGAAUAUGAACAAAGGGAAUCCGACAGAAGAGAUUCAAGAUUGCAUAUCCAAUGCCGUCCAAUACCUCGAAAGCGUACAAAUGACAGAUGAAUCAUGGUACAUAUGCUCAUCUUCUCUUAUGGUUAAUCAGCAUGGAUAAUUCAAGACAAGCAGGCAAGAUGACCCGAGCAUACGUGCAGGUAUGAACAACGGGAAGUUUGUUUUACACAUUCCACGAGGUUUGCGCUCGCGGCACUUGCAGCCGCCGGCAAAAAGCUACGAGAAUCAUGCUGCUACUCGAAAAGGCGAAGCUUUUCUCCUUUGGACACAACCAGAGGAUGGUGAUGGGGGGAGAGCUACCUUUCUGUCGGCACAAGUUUGUAGGUCUCGAUCAAUCAUUUUGAGUCACGUUGCUAACAAGAACCGAGAUACCCUUUUUAGCAAAAUUGCUCCUUCGACUCCUGGCACAGUCUCCAUAGAGAAACGAUACGUGUCCCGUAUCAUAGACACUUGCCAUUAUUUGCUCAACCAAGAGGAUAAUCUAACGGACGAUGAUGCGCCGUCAGCUCCGGCGUUGACCAAGAAAAUCGAACGAACUCUUCACAAAUUAACGUGCGAAACUUGCAUGUUACAUCAAAACACACGGGAUCGUGUUGAUCGAAUCUUACACGUAAGCGGACCGAAUGGAGUAGCGAUCUGGUUUUUUGCAUUCAUUAACGUUGACUUCCACUUCGGCGAGUUCUGUCUAACCAUUUCGCUAUUUACCUUGUGGGCUGCUGCAUCUUGCGGUUCCUUUAAUUAUCAUCGCUUUCCGCGCCUGAAGGACGGUUGACCAUUGAAAAAUUAACUAAUAUAACUCAGUUCCACACUCAUCAUAGACGACAAAUUUGACUACCAUUUUCGGAUCGCUUUAUUUCGGCCACCUAAUUUUGUGAAUUUCUUGUGAGACUCGCAUGAUAUGAUGGUGGGGAUGGUCAGCUCCAUUAGCAUCAUAGUUGACAAAUUUCACUGCCAUUUUUAGACUCUUUCAUCUCGCUCACUUAAUCACGUGAAUUUCGCAUGAACUUGCAUGAUCUGAUGGUUCGGAUGGAGUGAGUUCACAUGCAUUUGGUGCAUGCAAUGCUCCUUCCGUUAGAAAGAGUCUUGGAAAGGAAAAAUCAACAUACGAGUCUGCCCCAUUAUGUAAUAUUAGAUAUUGGAUUGGACUGUUUGAACCAUCAAAUCUAAAGAAUACCACAUGUAGCCAAGCAAGUAUUUUAUAGGCUAGUACAUACAUUAAUUAUAAUUGAACUGGGAUAGUCAAAUUUGGAGGAGCCUUAUGGGACUUACCAUUUUCAAUCGUCCAAAUUCAAUAUAGAAUAUGAACUAACACUCAUACAUUAAUUUCACUUUGCAGCCCAUGUGUGUAUAUAUAUAAUGGUUCAAAUCACAUAUUUAAAGAGAACAAUUUCACUAAAAGAAUAAAAUAAAAAGGAAAGAAAAAGAAAACAGUAAGUAAGUAAAUAAAUAAAUAAAAACUACCUAAUUUUCCCUUUUCCUUCCAAGCUUCGUGUUCGUGGCAAGUCACCAAAGCAGAGGAUCGGAGGUCCGGCAGGGGACACGAAACUUAAGCCACAGCCUGUGCAUAGAGUCCAACAAAUCCUCUAUAAAACCAGCUCAAACAUGUACAACCUCCUCCACAUUACUCAUCAAAAAUGGCUUCCAGCAACAAUCAUAUCCUUCUCUUUCUCUUCUUCUCCUUUCUGUCUCUCCUCCAAAUUAACUCAUGCAUGGCCCAAAACGUCAAAGGAGGCUAUUGGUUCCCGAACAGCGGCAUCACAGCCUCCAACAUCAAUUCGACCCUCUUCACUCAUCUCUUCUGCGCGUUCGCUGACCUCGAUGCAUCGACAAACCAGGUAGUCAUAUCGUCGACGAACGCCCAGACUUUCGCAGCCUUCACUAGUGACGUCCAGCAGAAGAACCCAUCGGUCGAAACCCUCCUGUCCAUUGGCGGUGGCAGCUCGAAUGCGACUGCCUUUGCGGCCAUGGCGAGCCAGUCUAGCUCCCGAAAGAGUUUCAUCGAUUCCUCCAUAGCCCUCGCUCGGUCCAACGGCUUUCAUGGCCUUGAUCUUGAUUGGGAAUACCCGGACACUGAUGAGAAGAUGACCAACUUGGGGUUGCUCCUCCAGGAGUGGCGGACCAUGGCGGCUGCUGAGGCGGCCAGCUCGGGCAAGGAUGCUUUGCUUUUGUCGGCGGCAGUCUAUUACUCGCCGCACUACUGGUCCCAUGCGGAUUAUCCUGUGGCUGCCAUGGCGGCGAGCUUGGAUUGGAUCAAUGCAAUGUCCUAUGAUUUCUUUGGACCCGGUUGGUCCUCCACCACAGGACCACUUGCUGCUCUCUAUGAUCCAGGUAGGGUGGCAACUUUGACUUGUUUUUUUGGGUAAUAAACUUUAACUAUUCUGAGGCACAACGGAGUUUUCUUAAUUUUUUGUAUCGUGACUUUGAAUUUUGUUACCUCAAUGUCAAAAGAAUCACAGCAUGGUCUCCCAUUCAAAGCAUACUGUGUCAUUCCACGAGUAAUUAACAUGAACAUUUUUGUUCAUUUAAUAUCCUUCACUUGUGCUUAUCAAACUCGCAAUUUUCUUGAUAUAUGCUGCAUCUGAAAUCAUCGGUCCUUUUUAAUUUCAGGGAACGGCAUAAGUGGAGACAUCGGGGUGAGAGCAUGGAUUCAGGCCGGCAUGCCAGCGGAGCAAAUUGUGCUCGGCUUCCCCUUCUAUGGGCACGCAUUCGUCCUCUCAAAUGCCAACGAUCACAGCUACUUCGCACCCUUCACUGGGCCGGCAAUAUCCUCCGAUGGGACAAUCGUGUACAAUAAUAUCAAGAAAUACAUAUCCCAAAACAGCGCGACCACGGUAUACAACUCCACGGUUGUGUCCGCCUACUGCUAUUCCGGGACAACAUGGAUCAGCUACGAUGAUACACAAACCAUCUCUACCAAGGUCGUGUACGCCGGGGAAAAAGGACUUAAAGGUUACUUUGCAUGGCACGUUGCUGGUGAUGACGACUGGGUUCUCUCUCAAACAGGUGAAUUUACGAGAUUCGUGCUAUACACCAUAUGCAAAGUCUAGCCCUAAUCACAGUUACAUAGAGUAUAAUCAACCGAACCUAAGCGAAAAUCUAAUAAUGUUCUUGUCUUUUUAGAUCAAAUCUAAUAAUGUUCUUGUCUUUUUAGAUCAAAUCUAAUAAUGUUCUUGUCUUUUUAGAUCAAACUUGUAUUACAUACUUUGUCAUUUAGGGAAAAAUAUUUUCUUUGUUUUCUUUAAUGAAGUACAAGAGCGCGAAGGAAAAAGCAAUAUCUACCUAACCUCUCUGUGAACAAGGGAUAGUAAUGGAUAUAGAUGUUAAGCUCUAAAAAUAAGUGCAUGCUUCAGACCGACGCCAUUUUAUUUAAUUUAUAUUGGUCACGUGGCUUAGAUCAUUUUCUCCGAAGAGAUGGUUGCAUUAGUGAAGCCAAAAGUCUAUUACGUCAAUACAUGGUCAACUCAGUAUUUGUUUUCAAAACUUUCCAAGAUUCGGUUCUACUUCGUCGUAUCCAUUCGUUAUUUACUCUCUUCAUGCUGUCGUUGGAGAUGAAGUCAAACUUUCUAGAUUAGUUGACCAAUUUAUUUAUCACAGCCUAAUUCUAAUUCCUUCCAAUUUUCAACUUCUUGUUGCAGCUUCAGAUGCGUGGUGACUUAGACGACGUCAGAGGAGACAUUUUCUACAGAUACUGAUUGAAGUUCAGACCAAUAAUGUAAUGGAAUUAUAGUCUCCAUCCCACAAUGUCAUGUAUUCCUUAGAGAACAAUAAAGCAAAGAUUCUUUUCUUUUUCCCCCCUUCUUUUGUUCUUCUCAUCUUAUAAGACGAAACGAUGUGGUAACUUGAGAGGAUCGAUCAAAUGUCAAAUAUGCUCUUAAAAAUCGUGUAAGAAAAAGUAGUAGUAAGGGUACGCUUUACAAAAUACAGGUUUUAUUCCUUAGAAAAGGAGAUGAGAACGGAGAUUACCACUGGAGUAGAGAUAAACAUUCCUCCUGGAAUGCUCAGUUUGUACGAAUGCUGAUUUCAAAAGGUGUACUGAUUGGGAUGAGAAAGAGGCGGAUCUAUUGUCUCCUACUUUAAUCUCAUCUAUAAUCUCCGCGGACGAAACGAAACGGCGAUGUGUAGACGUUUCAUUUUGUAUUUACCCGGCCACCUCUCCUCUCUCUUCCAUCCUCUACCCAGACCCACACCCCAUCUGCCGCAGCCUCCAUCCUGCCGUUGCCAUCGUCGACAAUCACUAUCAUAUUGCCAUCGCUAUGCUCAAUGACAGAGUUUCCUCCCUUCGUUUUCGUCUCUAUGACCGUCCCUCUCUCUCUCUCUCUCUCUCUCUCUCUCUCUCUCUCUCUCUCUCUCACACACACACACACACACACACACAAACACACACACACUUAUGCGUAAACUCAACACCGCUAUCAAGCUAAUGGCCGAUUGGUCGAGCUUAAUAUGGCGUCAAGCUCGCCCUAGAUCGUAAUUGUAACUCUAAAAGGAGCUUUAGACUUGAUCAUGGUUUUGACUGUUAGUAGAAAAAAUGUGUUUAAAAUGGAAAGGAAAAUAAUGUAUCAAAAUAAUCAGCACGGAAAACAGAAAAUGAUUUGAGAAGAAUGAUUGUUUAGAGUGCGUUUGGUAAUAUUUUUAUUUUUGAAAAUAAUUUCUGUUGAGAAAUAACUUUUUUUCAUUUUUAUUUCCUAGACGAAUUUCUAAAUAGAAUAACUUGUUUGUUACAAUUCUCAAAUUUUUUAAAGACAUGCAAAUUUUUUAUAUUUUAAUAAUUUCCUAAGAUUAUACUAAUGUUUUUGAAGUUUUUCUUUUCUUUUUUUUCCUCCCUUCUUCCUCCUCUAGUCGAUUGUCGAGCCUCGGCUGUGACAUCCGCAAUUUUGACCUAUGAGAAAUGGCCAUGGAAUCAAUGCGCCGAUAAUGGGGAUUGGCCAUGGACCAAUCUAAGGAUUGAUCAUGAACCGAUCGACCUAAUCAAGAGGACUACUAAAGGAUCAGCCAUGGCUUGAUUGAAGGAUUGACCAUGGGCUGAUCAAGGGAUCGGCAGUGCGUUGAUCCACUAAUCACGCAAGUUGACUCGAGCUAUUUGGCUGUGGAUCAAUCGCUCAACCAUAAGGGUUGGUCAUGGAUUGUAACAACCCUAACUCCAUCUCUAGAGUUUUGAGCAGUUGGGGUUAUUUUUGUGAGGUCCUAGACUUGUCGCCGUCCUAAUUCUUUUUAUCUUGUAAAUAAACACAUGUGGAAAUGUGAACAAACAAACUUCCCAAACAAAUAAUAGUUGCAAGACUAGGACAUAUAUCACACAGAAUAUAUUACUUUAUAUUACAACAGUACAUUUACAAGCUCUUCUUUCCUUUUUGUAUCACCCUAUAAGUUUUCACAUAUGACAAGGGAAUUCCUAUCUCCUCUAGCUUGACUGUAGUUCUCAAAACUGACAUAAGCCUAAAAGAUAGUAGAGUGAGUUGGGGAACUUAAUAAGUAAAAUUCCUAAUUCUCUACUAGAAAAACAUCAUAUUAUCGAAGUCUAGUAAGUACAACACUUGCAAACAGUGUUGAUGACGGAUCAAUAGUGGCAUGCCUUGACUAAAUACAUGAUGUCCAUAUAAAACUACCAUCAACUUAAAAAUGAGCACAUCAACGCAUUAUACUCAUGCAUAUACCGGCAUGCAUAAAAUGAUUCUUUUACCAUCAUCCCGACUCGACCAAGUCCUCCUAAUUCGAUUGAGCCUUCUUAGGGCUAACUUUCCAAGACUUCUUGGUUCAAGAUCCAAGCAUCUUGACUUAACUAGGGUGUCCCGUUUAAUGAAGGAGGUAUCGUGUUAAUGCUAUCUGGUGACAAAUGUUUCUUCCUCUUCAAGUGCACACAUAAGUGCGUCACACAUGCUGAUUCUUAUCUUUUCUUUUUAGCCGACUUGUACAUGAUCCGAAGGCGUGCUCACUCAUUCGUGUGUGCCAUAAAUCAUUUUAUUGCACUAUAUAACAUGUUGGGAAUGAUCCUUAAUUUGUGACUUGAAUCGAUCACUCAGCGCUGAUCGCCGCAUUGGAUAAGGCUUGGAAACGACAUACCUCAAUGUUGACCUAAGACCUUGAGACUUUGUUAUACCUUACUUCGUGAAGAUCCUAAGUUUGACAUAUCUUGGCUUCGACCCGAUAUGAAUAUACUUCAUGCUGUGAAUGACUCUUGGUUUGUGGCUUGAUUCAAACAUCAAGCACAAAGUCUUCACAUCAAUCAAGACAUAAAAUCGGCACUCUUUAAUACCUUACUAAGACCUUGUGUCACACCCCAAUCCUCGAGUGUGUGCCCAUCCCUCACUAAUCGAUUAAAUGUAACGUUCUAGGACGAGUCACCGACCCAUUCAUUUUAAUGCGCAUACGGAAGCAACAAUAUAAAUCCCCAUACAACAAUCAGAUGGGAUAGAAAAGUAUGACCAAUUUUUCAAACCAAAACAAACCUUUUAUAAACAACCAGGUUUAUUUACAAGACCAGACCAUUUACAAAAAGGUUGACUCAUUCCAAAUGGAACUGUCCUAUGACCUACUAAUCAGACAUAUUCGCCGAUUCUUCGAUCUCCACCUUCCCAGACUUCGUGGCUUUCGGUCCUCCACUAACACAAUCUAAGGACCUGAAAAUGGUUAUACAAUAACCAAUGAGACAAUGUCUCAGCAAAUUCAACCCUCUAAGACUCGAUUAGGAAGCUAAUAUGCCAUAAGGGCUGGCUAUGCACAACACGGGUCAGAGGAUUUACCUUGGUGUCAGAUUCCACCUACAAUUCAACACAGUUUGAAUAGGCACCCAAUCAAUCACCACAAAUCAAAACAUUGAUCAAUCGACCUAGUCGAUUACAUGUCAUCACGACCCUUUCUUGGUCGACUCAUCUCAUACUAUCUAUAAAGUCCACUUAUAUCAGGACUGCUUAUUGCUAAGCUGAUAAAUAGAUAGUAUAGCUUGCUUUUGAGAUGAUUUGGUACACUGCUCUCUGUUAAGCUGCCCUCUGCUAAGCUGCCAUAUUGCCCGUAGGCUGAUAUAGUAUACCGACAUUACUCAAUCUAAGCUGAUAAGAUAUAUUGCUCUCUACUAAGCUGUCAUAUCGCCCGUAGGUUGAUAUAGUACACCGAUAUACUGCUCUCUGCUAACUUGACAUAUCGCUCGUGUGUUGAUAUAGUAUACCCUUCCAAACAUGCAUCAAAAUCAAUCUUUUUAUCAUUCCCAAUAAAAAUAGCCGUGUGUAGGUACACAGUUGGGCUUAGCCAAAAUACAAUAAUUUUGCUUUAGAACAUCCCACCAGUUUCAAUAGCCUAUAAACACAUUUUUGGCGCUGUAAACCGGCGCUCGGUAAUUUUUCAGUUAAUUACCAAAAUUUAUUAAUUUAGGAAAUAAAUCCUAAAAUCACAAUUAAAUCAAUUCAGGACAAAUUAAAGCUCGAAUAAAUAAACAGACUGCACCACAGUAAUUAGCAUAAAAUUUCGGUCAUCGACUAUCCUGAUCUAAUUUCUGGAAAUAAAUAAUUAAAUAAUUAAUUACGAAAAUUAAUUAUUAAAUAGCAAUAAAUCCAACUUAGGCCCAUAAUGCCUAAUUGGACGCCGAAACGGACCCGGAAAAUUCUCGAGACUCGUUCAAUAAAUACUAUAGUCUAUUUACUUGCUAAUUGCACUAACUAACUGUUGGAGAAAACUUCCUUAUUUGUUUUGAAGUUGACAAAACGUUUCCAUCAGUCUAGUCUAAAAGACUUGCAAACUCUGUCGUCAAAAUCUGAAGACCUCUAGACUCAAGAUUUAAAGUCUGCCCUCAUUGACAGUUUCCAGACCGAAGAAAGGAAGUAUUAUCCGUUGAAGAAGACUUAUCCAGAUGCGGGUAUAUCUUUAAGGAUUUGGUUUGUGCGGUUGAAGAAGAUCUCACGACUAGAGAUUGCAUCUCGAGAUCUAUUAUUCGUAUUGAAAUUAAUUCGAGUAUGUUAGAUUCGUUGAUUGGCGAAGUAUACUUGGAAGAUUUUACUUAAGGAAACCUAGAUCCUGAUUGUAUGGGCGAGCAACAUUGGUGGGCUAUCAUCACAUUCCUUAAAUAACUUAAGAUCUUCCUAAUUGAUUCUAUCCAACGGGUUGAUUGGAAGAACUCCUUUGGAAGAUGCCAACGGUUAUAAAGGCAUGAAGGAGUAUAUAAGGAGGAUGCUCAAGUUAUUCGAAUGUGUGCGUGAAAGAAAAAUUCCAAAGUCUAAAGCUUUCAAUUCUUCAUUAUUUCAACUAUUGAAGCUUUUCUUGUAUUCAAAAAAGAGAUUAAAUACUUGUGAGACCUUGAGAAAAAGUGUAGUAGAGUCUCUACACUGUGAAAUCAAGGACGUGAGGCUGUAAAAUCUCUUUUGAUUCAUAGUGGAAUCCAGCCGGUGGGCUGUUAGUGCGGGAGAGUGGACGUAGGCUUGGUCUAAGCUGAACCACUAUAAACUUUGUGUCUCAAUUCUCUUUCCCUUAUCACCUUACUUUAAAAUUGCAACUUUAUACUUCUGCCUUUAGUUCUUUACACCUUCAGCUUAUUACGCUUAAAAAUUAAUUUUGUUAAAAGAUUCACAAAAAUUUCUUUGAUCACCUAUUCACACCCUUCUAGGUGUUCAUACUAGCUAUAUCAAUUGUUAUCAAAGCGAGUGUGCUCAUUUGUUUGAAGUGUUUUUACUUCUGAGUUAAAGAUCCAUGGCUAGUAUGUUGGCUCCAAGUUUGGUUGUGGGCUAAAGCAACACCAGACCACCUUAUUUCGAUGGAAAUAAAUACAACAUAUGGAUAAACAAGAUAAAGACAUUCCUAAGAUUGAAAGACCCUCUAGAAUAGAAUGUGGUAGAAAAAGGAAUCAUUCCUAAAACUACAUCAGUCUCAGAGAGGGGAAAAGAAGUUGCAGUGGCUAGCGAGAUGACUCAAGAAGAAAUAACUAAGAGACAAGCCCUUGAUGCAUAAGCAAUUUACUCUUUAUAUUGUGCAUUGUCUCCUACUGAGUAUAACAGAAUAUCUUCCUGUGAAACAGCCAAAGAAGUCUAGGACAGGUUGCACAUUACCUAUGAAGGAAUUGAUCGAGUAAAAGAGACAAGGAUCAAUAUUAUAUUCGGACAGUAUGAAGCCUUCAAGAUGAAGCCAGGAUAAUCUAUUACUGACAUGUUUCGUCGUUUUACAGAAAUUGUAAAUGGUCUAGAAUAUCAUGGAGAACCAAUCUCAGGACACAUGAAGGUUAACAAGUUGCUGCGUGGACUCUCUAAAGACUGGAAUCACGUAAAGACCUCGAUAAGGGAAACACAAAGGAUCAUGCCACUUUAUGUAAACGAAUUUGUUGGCACACUUCAAUCCUAUGAAGUGGAGCAAAUCAAUGAAGAAGAAGAUCUCAAAGGUAAGAAAUCAAUUGCUUUGAGAUCUAAUGAUGAUUUUAAUAUUACAAACUUUGAAGAUGACAUGGAUGAUGAAGAGAUAGCCCUUAUGAUAAAAAGGUUCAGGAAACUGAACAAAAAGGGAAAAAGAUUCAAUUGGAAGAAACAAAGCACUCAAAAGUUUCAAAACAAAUCAACUGAGGAUGAUGAAUCCAAUAAAGAUAUGAUCUGUUUUGAAUGCAAGAAAAAUAGACACAUCAGACCCAACUGUCCCAUGUUGAAGAAAAAGAAAGGAAAAGCUGAGAAAUACAGGAAGGCUCUCAAGGCAGAGACAUGGAAUGAUACUGAAUGUGAAGAAAUUGACGAAGAUUAUGCCAAUAUAUGUCUAAUGGCAAAAUCAGAAUCAGACUCAAACUCCGAAAUAGAUACAGACUCAGACUCAGAUAGUAAAAUUGAGGUAAGUAAUUUUAAAAUCCCUACUAAAGUCUCUAAAUAUAUUGAUGAACUGUGUCUUAGUCUCAAAACUUCUCUCAAGAGGAUUUCCGAGUUACAAAGGGAGAAUUUUGCACUGAAACAACAAGAAAUUUUAUGGAAAGAAAAGUUUGAAAAUUUAGAUAAAAGCUUUGUUACAUUAAAAGAAAAUGCAGACUCUCUUUCCAAAGAAAAUAAGUUUUUGAAAAAUGAAAUUUCAAAUAUUUCAAAGAGAUUUUCUAUAGGAUCUGAGAAAUUGUAAAAGAUUCUUUCAGUAUAAAAACCUUACUUUAACAAAUCAGGUUUGGGAAUGACUUAUGAAAUUAUUCCUCUAAUUGAUUUUCCAAAAGUAAAAGAAAGAAUUAAAUAAAGGCCUACAAAAACUUUUUACAUAAAUCAUUUUUAAAAAGUUUUUGUAAAACCUGUUAGUCGAAGUGCUCUCAAAUAUUCUAAGUGCAAUAGCUCUAAACACUUUGAAAAAGAAUGUCCUAUGGCUUGGAGACUUGUUAAGAAGGAAUGGGUAAAUACUGCUUAUGGCACUAACUCAUCUGGACCCAAGAAAAUGUGGGUACCAAAGAAAGCUUGAGUUUCUUUUUUAAUUACAGGUCACUAUCAAGAAAAAUGUCAAAUGGUAUUUGGAUAGUGGCUGUUCAAGGCAUAUGACUGGAGACUCAAGUUGUUUUAUAAAGCUUAUGCAACUUAAUGAUGGAAAAGUCUCUUUUGGUGGAAACGGCAAAGAAAAAAUUGUUGGAUGUGGAACAGUAAAAAUUGGAAGUUUCACAAUCAAUAACGUUUCCUUAAUAGAAUGACUCAAUUACAACUUGCUGAGUAUCAGCUAAUUGUGCGACAGUGGAUUCGAGAUCAACUUUCAAGAAGGAAUAUGUUCGAGAACUAGUAAAGAUCUUUCACAAUCUUUUACUGGACAAAGACAUGGGAACAUCUAUCUUCUGGAUAUAAAACCAGAUAAGUCUCAAUAUCUAAUUUCAAUACAAGAUAAAGCAAACCUUUGGCAUUGAAAGCUUGGGUAUGUCAAUAUGAAGCAGAUUGCCAAGAUCUCUUCUAAGAAUCUUGUUCGAGGGCUGCCCAACUUGAAGUUUCAAAAGUCUGACUUAUGCACACCAUGUGCAUUGGGAAAACAUGUUAGAAGUUCUUUUAAACCAUUGAAUUAGGUUUCUACUAAUCACGUUUUGCAGCUUCUGCAUAUGGAUUUCUAGGACCAACUAGAACUAGAAGCAUAGGCGAAAAGAGAUACUGUCUAGUAAUUGUUGAUGACUACUCACGAUUCACCUGGGUUUACUUUCUAGCAAGUAAGUCCGAAGCUUUUUCUUACUUUUCAAAGUUUGUUAAGAAAGUUCAGAACGAGAAAUGAUAUGCUAUUUCAAGCAUACAGACUGACCAUGGAGGUGAGUUUGAAAAUCAAGACUUUGCUAAAUUCUGUGAUGAAUCUAGUUUUCAGCAUAUGUUCUCCUCUCCAUACACUCCAGAACAGAAUGGAGUUGUGGAAAUGAAAAAUAGAUCGUUGCAAGAAAUGACUAGAACACUUUUAAUAGAAAGUAAUAUUUCUUUUCGUUUUUGGGCUGAAGCAAUUUUUACAGCAUGUUAUAUCGUUAACAGAGUUUUCUUAAGGCCUAUUCUGGAGAAAACUUCCUAUGAGUUCUUCAAAGGAAAGAAGCCAAUUGUUUCCUACUUUCAUGUGUUUGGUUGCAAAUGUUUUGUAUUGAAAAAUGCAAAUGAUCAAAUCGAUAAGUUUGAAGAAAAAUCAGACGAAUGAAUCUUCCUUGGAUAUUCAACCUCCAACAAAAAGCUUACAGAGCAUACAACAAGAAGACUCAAUCUGUGGAAGAAUCGAUGAAUGUUAAAUUUCAGGAUCUUAUACAAAAUCAAUCGAUCCAGACUCAACCUAAAGAAUCUGAACUUGUUCCAGACUCUAUAAAGUCUAACUCCCCAGAAGCAGCUCAGACUUUUGAAGGUUAACAACGAACGGAUGUUGAAGAAUCAACUGAAGAAAAAGUUCAGCAGUUUAUCAGACCAACCAGCAACUGGAAGCACAAGUCCAGUCAUCCCAAAGAACUCAUCAUUGGUGACAUUGAUGAAGGGAUUCAUACAAGAUCUAAAAGACAUGAAGAGUCUAGCGGUGUGGCUUUUAUUUCUGAAAUAGAACCCAAAAGUAUAGAAUAAGCUUUAACUGAUGAAAGCUGGAUUGAAGCUAUACAAGAAGAGCUCAGGCAGUUCAGUAUUAAUGAUGUUUGGGAAUUAACUCCUAACCCAAAAGGUAAAUCUAUUAUUGGAGCUAAAUGGGUUUUAAAGAAUAAGAUGGAUGAAAAAGGAAAAGUUGUAAGGAACAAAGCAAGACUCAUGGCCAAAGGAUAUACGCAAGAAUAAGUGAUAGACUAUGAUGAGAUUUACGCACCAGUAGUAAGGUUAGAAGUAAUUAGAUUAUUACUUGCUUUUGCUUGUUAUAAGAAUUUCAAGUUAUUCCAAAUGAAUGUCAAAAGUGCAUUUCUGAAUGGAUUUAUCUAAGAAGAAGUCUAUGUGGAACAAUCUCCCGGUUUCAAAGACCCAAAGAGACUAGACUCAGUAUUUAGACUAAAAAAUGCUCUCUAUGGUUUAAAACAAGCACCUCGAGCUUGGUAUGACAGGUUAAAAAAGUUUUUAAUGAAAAAUGGUUUUGUCAAAGGAAAAAUGGAUACUACAUUGUUUAAUAAAAGGGAAGGUAAAAACUUUUUACUUGUUCAAAUUUAUGUUGAUGAUAUUGUAUUCGAAUCAUCUAAUGAAAACAUGUGCAAGAAAUUUUAUAAGCCUAUGCAGGAUGAAUUUGAGAUGAGCAUGAUGGAUGAAUUAUCCUUCUUUCUCGGAUUACAAGUAAAACAAUUGAAGAAAUGAAUCUUCAUUCAUCAAGAGAAAUAUAUAAAAGAACUUAUUAAAAAGUUUGGAUUGGAGAAUUGCAAAAAGACUGAGAUACCAAUGUCUAGUUCUUCGAAUUUGGAUAAAGAUGAAGAAGGAAAGAAAGUUGAUCAAAACUUUAUAGGAGUAUUAUUAGUUCACUUCUUUAUCUUACUACUUCUAGACCUAACAUUUUGUUCAAUGUUUGUAUUUGUGCUAGAUUUCAAUCUGAUCCAAAAGAGUCUCAUCUAAGCGCCGCAAAACGCAUCAUCAAAUACAUUGCAACUACUUCAAAUAUGGGUCUAUGGUAUCCUAAAGAAUGAGACUUUACCCUCCUUGGGUAUCCAAACGCAGACUUAGCAGGUUGCCGAGUGGAUAGAAAGAGCACAUCUAGUACAUGCCAAGUGCUGGGAAACAGGUUGGUAUCUUGGUUCUCAAGAAAGCAAAGCAUUGUAGCUCUUUCAACAGCAUAAGCAGAAUAUGUGGCUCUUGGAAGUUGUUGCUCUCAAAUCCUAUGGGUAAAACAAUAACUGAGAGACUUUGGAAUUAAAGAUUCGUGUACCAAGAUCAAAUGUGACAACACCAGUGCAAUUAAACUCACAAGGAAUCCAAUUCUUCAUUCAAGAGCAAAACAUAUAGAAAUUCGAUAUCACUUUAUUAGAGAUCAUGUUCAAAAUGGAGAAGUUAUGAUUCAAUUCAUUGACUCAAAGAAUCAACUGGCGGACAUAUUUACAAAGCCUAUUUGAGUCUAUUCGCACCAGAUUGAACAUCACAUCUCUUAUCCAGUAAAGUCUGGACGUGCUCAAGACUCAAAGAUAAAGUCUGAAGAUAUUCAGACUCAAAAGACCAAGAGUUACGACUGUAAGUUGCUCUUUUUUCAAUAUUUUAAACUUGAAAAGGUACGGUUAUUUAUUAAUUGCUAAUUGAAAUUAUCUUUCCAAGUUUCUCUUUUUCAAAAAGGAAGUUAUCAAUUUUGAAAAGACAGUUUUUUUCAAAAAGGGAAGUUAUUCAUUUUUAAAAAGGUAUUUUUAUUUUCCUUUUACGAUGUUUUGUUUACCUCGCUUCACUUGCUUUAUAUACUGCCAAGACUCGUCUUCUUCGUUUUUACAUGGAAACCCUAUGAUACAAAAUUCAUAUUUGCUUUCACUUUCACUCUUGAUCUGUUAAAAAAAUUUCACCUUUUUUCAAGCAAGUUUGUGAAUUCCUACAUUGGAAGAGACAAUGUCUUCGAGAAAAUCAUCAAGGAUUACAAGCAAGGGACCAUGACAUAUGCCCAAGGGUCCUACCCACUUCGACUUGACUGAAGAAGAAGUUCCUACUCGUCAACAGCAACAAAAUCAGCAACAACCUUCUCAGCAGCGUCAAACUCCACCACCGACUCAUCUAGAAGAAGUUUUGGAAGAAGCGGAACCUAUAAGAACGUUAACUCCUAAAGUCACUUUCAAACUCUAUUCUAAUCUAAAAAGAGGAGGAACUCCUAUGACAUUGAUUGAUGAAUACUUGAAAUAGAGGGGGUAUAAGAACGAGACUCUAUUUUUGCGUGACAUGGAAAAGAUGGGUAUCGGCGAAAAGGGUUUGGCUGAAAAAGCCUUUGCUAAUUUUCCUAGUGAUCCACGAAUGGGGACUGCUGAUCAACCUCAAGGACUGGAUGAUGAUGAAAGAAUGUUCAGCCUAGAAUGGGAGUGGCUGAAAAUAUUACUGAUGGUUCUAAUCUGUUCAGAUCAAAGAACCACUAAAGGGUUUAUUUGAAUCUGCUGAAGAGAGGGGUUAUGCACCCAAGGACUGUUGAUUUUGAUUCCUUGAUUUAGUGAAAAUAAAUCUGCGAAAGAAGUUUGCUGCCCUACAGUUGGAGCACUUUUGUUCUAAAUCCACUACUACUUAUACUGAACUCACUGCAUACUUUUAUUCGAAUUUAUCGUUUGUGGAUGCAAAUAGCUUCUCUUUUACUGUGAGAGACAAGGUGUUUUUGGUGGAUAUGGAUACUUUGGCUGAUCUAAUUGGGGUGGAAAGAGGAUGUUUCCGACCAUUUAGUGUACCUCUUGCUCAUGCUACUCAGUCAUUGGUGAAAGACAAGGAUGCUGAAGGCAAGAUAUCCUAUUCUAGGAUGAAUGCUAGAGGUGUUAAAUGGGUCCACAAACCCAUUUAUAGAACCAUCUUUACUUAAAUGGGUCGUUAAUGGGUCGGCCUUAUUUCUCAAGACACUCGUUAGUGGGUUUUAAAAAUAGAAGGACUAAAUUACGUGGGUCUUAAAUGGGUCUAUUUUGUACCCAUUUAAGACCCAUUCCCCAACCCAUGAACCAGUAGGCAGUCCAGUAACCCACGAAUACGAUUCCUUUUCGCUUUCGAUUCGCCACCAGUGCGCCACCUCCACCAUCGCCCGUCGCCGCUCGCCGCCGCCCAUCGUCACCUCGUCGCCUCGUCGCCGCUCGCCACCGCCCAUCAUCACCUCAUCGUCGCUCGCCAUCGCCCCGCCGCCGCCCAUCAUCGCCUUGUCGCCACGAUCAGUCUCGCGGAUCAGCUGGACUAAAACCCUAAAAGCAGCACUCGUCUGCUCGUCGCGAACGACUCGCGGAACCAUCAUCGGAGGAUAGAGCCGCUUGGUUCAGGUAAUCCGUCUGAACACGCAUUCGUGGAUUUCAUUUAUGUUGAGCUAUCGUCGUUGAAGAGGGUGUGCAGGUAUAUAGAUGUUCUUGAUCGCGGUCUGCCUCGUGGGUUUAUGACUAGGGAGCGUUUAACUGAAAUGAUAUUUGGGUUUUGCGGGAAUCUGGAUUUGGAACAGAGCAUGGUUUAAGAGCAUUGCUGAUUAGCUAACCUUUGUGCUUAUGUUUUAUGGACAUUGUGUUUCAUGGUCGGUAUGGUAGAAAGAGAAGAUGGGUUUGUUGGGUAGGAGGACAAAAUGAUGCUGCCUACGUUUUGCCCAAUUUUAUUGAGAUAAUCUCGAGGUAGCCUUAGCGAGCAAUGCUUAGAGAUAUUGAGCAGUGUUUCUCGCUUCUGACUUGGCUUCCAUGAGUUUUGGUGUUGGACAACCAUUUGUUAUUUUAAUGAUCUGAACUUUUGUUCAUUUUCUUGAGUGGUAUUGUGCACCUAUGUCUUUAUUAUGUUUUGUGCUCUCUAAAGAAGGUGAGGAUGAAUUUGAUGACUGCUGCUUUUUUCAUUGGUCAGAUUCUUUGAUAGAUGCUAGAGACCUGGGUUUUUCAUUAACAUCCAUGUUCCAUGUAUGAAUUCAUUCUUUACCCUUUAUGUUAAAUUCAUAACAUGCAAUCCUGAACCUGUUCUAAUUUAUGUUUUCUCCAACUAAUUAGUUGACAUGUCAAGAGAUAACGAGGAUCAAGAAGAAUAUUCAACUACAGAACAAUUCGAGAGACGUAGAGUUGCAUGCUUAGUUCGUGAGGAUGAGGAAGAUAACUCUACUUGCUCUAAGCGUUCAAGAAAAUGCACUUCGAUUGUAUGGUCUGAAUUGAAAAGUUCACAGAUGGUGAUGGCAUGAAGAAGGCUAAAUGUAAGUGGUGCGAAGUAACUUAUACGGCUAGCCAUGGGACAAAAAACUUGUUGCGUCAUUUAGAUACUUGUCCCAACCGAGAGGUUAACGUUGAUGGUUCUGUAGUACAAUUUGACCAAGGUGUGUUUAGAGAUAUGCUAGCAAGAGCGAUAAUCAAACACAAUUAUACAUACUCUUUUGUGGAGCAUGAGGCUACUAAAGAGUUGUUUAGUUACCUCAACCCUAAUGUGAAGCACAUUUCAAGGCUUACAGCAAGAAGUGAUGUGGUGAACGUUUAUGAAAAAGAGAAGGGAAUUUUGAAAUCCAAAUUAUUGUCUCUUUCGAGCCGAAUAUGUUUGACUUCUGACCUAUGGACUUCUGUUACUACGGAUCAUUAUAUGACUGUCACUGCUCAUUAUAUUGAUGAGGAUUGGGAAUUGCAUUCAAAAGUCUUGUGUUUCUCCUAUGUGCCACCUCCAUAUAGUGGUCCCAUACUUUUAGAAAAAUUGCUGACUUUAUUAAGAGAAUGGGGUAUUGAGAGAAAGAUUUUCAGCAUUACUUUAGAUAAUGCAUCAUACAAUGACAGUAUGGUUGAUAUUUGGAAAAAUACACCUUCUGUGAGAUCCUCUUUGUUAUGUGAUGGACAGUUUUUUCAUGUGCGUUGUGGUGCACAUGUUUUGAAUCUUAUUGUACAGGAAGGUUUAAAGGUUAUUGAUGGAUCCUUACAUAAUAUUAGAGAAGCUGUCAAGUAUGUGAGGGCUACACAAGGGAGGAGAGUAAAAUUCGCCGAAUGUAUAUCACAGUCGUGCUUAAAGACCAGUAAAAAGGUACGCCAAGAUGUGGCUACAAGAUGGAAUUCUACAUACCUAAUGCUUGAGGGUGCCAUUUUAUUUGAAUGUGCAUUUUCACAUUUGAAGUUAAUUGACCAUAACUUUGCCACAUGUCCAUCUUCUGAAGAUUGGGUUAGAGGAAAGAAAAUUGCUUUCUUGUUGAAACCCUUUUAUGAUAUUUCUACUCUAUUCUCUGGAGUCAGAUAUCCCACGGCGAAUUUAUAUUUUUAUGGAGUAUGGCAGAUUCAGCUUCGUUUAAUACAAGCAAGGAAUACUGAGGAUGAGGCUAUUAGUUCUAUGGCUAAGGCAAUGCUCAAAAAAUUUGAAAAAUAUUGGAAGUGUUAUAGUGUUGUCUUAUCAUUUGCUGUUAUAUUAGAUCCUCGUUAUAAGUUACACUUGUUAGAGUUUUGUUACUCAAAGUUGGACAUGGAUGAUCAUGUGGAAUUUGUACGGGGCAUUCGAGAAAAACUCUAUACACUUUUUGAUGAAUAUGUGACCGAUGAUCGUUUUACUUCUUCAACUAGUCGAGGUAACAUAUCAGUUGAGGGCAUCGAUGAGAGCACUGGGGAUGACAUUGAUGAGUAUGAUGCAUUUGAGAGUGAACACUUUGGAUCACAAUCUGUUAAGUCACAAUUGGAUUUGUAUUUGGAGGAGAAUAGGCUUGAUAGAAAGAAGUUCCCAGAUCUCAAUGUCCUUGAUUAUUGGAAGACUCAUUCUCAUCGGUAUCCCGAGUUAUCCCUCAUGGCACGUGAUAUAUUGAGCAUUCCUAUCACUACCGUUGCCUCAGAAUCAGCCUUCAGCAUUGGAGGACGCAUUUUAAAUAAAUGGCGUAGCUCCCUUUCCCCUGAAAGCGUAGAGGCUGAGUUGUGCACUAGAAAUUGGUUAUUUGGAGUUCCGCUUGAGGAAGAUUUAGAUGAGGAGUCUCUCAUCAUUGACUUUCAAGACUAUUUGCAUUAGGUACUUUUUUUCAUCUCAUUCUUUUUGUUUGCUCAUGUGAUUUAAUACACUUGUCUUCAUAAUGAUGUAUUCUUGGUAUACUUUGUGGUGCUACAACUUCUAAUCAAAGUUGAUGCUUUUCCUUUUCAGGUUCUAGACUAGUUGUUGGGUCAUAAUGACUCUAAAUUUUUUUCUCAAUUGCACACUAGAUUAUAUUUCUCAGUUGUGGUGCCUAUUGGCUGUGCUCCCUAUACUGGUUGAGCUCAGUCAGGAUAGCUCCAGUUUUGACAAAUGGAGUUUUUUUUUUUUGUAAGUUUGUUAGGGUGAUCUACUAUCAGCUCAAGUAUGGACUUCAAAAGGACUCUGCAGACAAUAGGAGUACAGAGCUGGGAACCUCAGCACUAUUGGAUGAUUCAUGGUUUUCUACCGAUAGCUUUUUGCAUCAACUUUGCAAGGUAAUGGGAUAAGGUGAUAAUCAUCAUGUAGUUUUAACUACUUUUCCAUGUUGUGUUUAAAUAUAUUAUACCUACAAUUGUAUUGAGUCUGUAAAUUCAUGUUGACUCCUUAUGGGUUCAUGAGACUGAGCUGUCUUAUCAGUUGUCUUCUGACUAAAUUGAGUCAUUUGUUAAUCCAAAUUCAUGUUUAAAACUUGUGACAGCUUAUUUUGUUUCCCAAUUUUAGGAUUUCUUUUCAUUGGUGCUAGUUGCCCCAGUUGUUGAUGGAGAACUUCUAUCUUGGGUUGGUUUUCUGAGCCUUGGCAUUAUCUGCCAUUUGCCAUUGCACUUCUAAUGACGAUAGACAAGAAUUGCGAUUUCUUUUAAAAUGCAAUGAAAUGAUAUUAUUGUUGUGGAGAUCACUUGGUGAUAAAUUUGCAAUUACGUCUUAUUUAAUUGCUUCUUCUCCUGCUUCUCAUGGGAGUUGAACCAUCGAACUGGCUUCAGCUAUUUACAGUGGUGACUUUGCCCUAACUGUAAUUACACGUUUCUCUGUGGCCUUGGGGAGAAGCUCGUUGAAAGAAACUUGUUGAGUUCUGUGCGUCCUAUCUAGCAUUUGUAGAUCUCAAUUUGCAUAUUUGCUAGUCACUUACCCUUAUUUAAAUGGAUAUGAAGGAAUUACUUAGAGUGGGGUUGUUUGGCUUUGUAGACAAGGAAAUUCAAGGAACUACUUGAGAAUACUUUUGGGUGGGAGUUCCAGCAAAAUAGUGCUGUUGAUGGAGUGUAUUUCGAUGAAGAUGAUGAAGUAAGCCUCUCUCUCUCUCUCUCUCUCUCUCUCUCUCUCUCUCUCUCUCUCUCUCUCUCUCGAUAUGUGACUAAGAUUUCCUUGCUCUCUUUGCUUUUGCAGUUUGCUCCAACCAUUGAAAUGAUCGAUGACCAACAUCUGUAGUGUGGCUGUGACAGCAUGAACAUGUGCUUCAGUCUUCUGCUCUACUUCAUAAUGAAGCAUGGCGUUACAUCGAGGGGGAACUUGCAGUGAAUCGUCUCUCUAAUCAAGUUUACGAAUUUGUUAUGCUCUCGAAACCUUACCAGUUCAAGAUCAGUCCUAUGCCCUGCAAAUAGAAGCAUGUGGUUAAACCCCUGGUUCUCUUUUUCUCUUUGUAAAAGAAUGACUGGCUAUAGGAUAGGAUUUGACAGAUCGAGUCGGUAAUGGUUGAGGAAAGUGCUGUGUGACAUCUUAGAAGCUCCUGAAGACAUUUUUUUGUGGAAGUCAUGUAUAUUUGCAUUAGAUAGUUUGCCCUAGAUUUGAUGCACCAGUUGAAACAUAUGUUCUAGAGUCAUACUGCAAGGAGUCCGAGACUAUGGGCCAAAUCAUGUGUUGAAGCUGCAGCAAUUUAAUGGUAGUACAGUUACAAUAUCGCCUUUGACGGCCCAAGAAGCGAAAGCACUGACAUUUUGUUAUGGAUUUGAUGAACAAUCCGUAUCAAGUUAAUUCAGCAAUGAACUUUUCUAACUCAUGCCUUCAUUCCUUGGAAUGAAUGUAAGCAUAAGCAAAUUGCAUCAUAGAUUGUUAUCUACACGGGAAAUUGGAGGCGGUAGCAAAUCAUUUGGGCUUAAUUUCGCUAUUGACGUUGGUGAUCAAUGUGUCGUCAAUUGUAUUUGUGUCGAAGUUGAUUGAUUUUGAGACGUUUAAUACCUCCAAUUCAUAAAAUAGGUUGGCCAGCAAACCUUUGGAUUGAGAAGAAAAAAAGGAAAAGAAAGAAAAAGAAAAAAAGAAAUUUUUUUUUUUUGAAAAAGUAUAAAAAAUUGAAAAAAUAUUGAUUAGAUUUGUAUUGUUUGGAAGUAUUUUAGUAAUAUAACAUUUAAAAAAAACAUAAGAAUAAUUUUUCCUAAAUUUGGUUAAAUAUGAAAAUAUUUUAUUAAAUGGGUGUUAAAUGGGUCGGGUCGGGUAUGGGUCGGGUAUGGGUCGGGUCGGGUAUGGGUCGAAAAAUUUGCAUUAGGCAUAAAUGGGUCAUAAAUGGGUUAAUGGGUCAAUUUGGGUCGGACCAUUAAUGACCCGACCCAAACCUGACCCGACCCGACCCACCCAUUUAACACCUAUAAUGAAUGCCACCAACAUCUUGUUACACAAAAUUAUGAUCAACUGCAUUAGGCUAAAGUUGACAUCCAAGACCGAUGUGUCUCGGUCUGAAGCGAAACUGAUGCAUGCUAUCAAUUUUGGAUCAAAUUUUCUCUACCUCACACUAUUAUGUUCCAUAUGUAUAGAAAAGUUGUGAAAGAUAAGAGACAACUCCCUUAUUAUGCUCUUAUCACGCGUCUUUUUAGACAUUUUAAAAUUCACAUCCCUGCUCCAUUAAGUUUGUCAACAAUUUCUCUAAUGGUGAUUGAAUUCAAAAUGGUCAAAAAGAUGCGCUUGCAAGAGUUAAGUAAGGUAUUGGAACGUGUGGAAGAGAAGUCUCCUCUAAAAGCAAAAUAAGACUCUGCUACAGCAAAAAGGAAAGGUAAGGAGCCCAUGGCUACUCUUGUGAAGAGAAAAAGAACUCUCAUCUUGCAGGAUGAAGAGGAUGAGGAUGAGGAUGAGAUGACUCUUUCAGCCUUACGUAAUUUGAAGAGUUUUGUUAGUUUUGAAGUAGCAGAGCCAGCAGAAGAAAGAGAAGAGAUAAAGAAGGAAGAGGAUGAACAAAGGAAGAUGGAGGAAGAAAGAAGAGAAGAAGAAGAAGAAGAAGAAGAAGAAGAAAGAAGGAGAACAAGAUCAGGGUCAAGAAGACUCUUUCGAGCCAACAUUGGCUGUUUCCCUGUCAAGUGAUUAUGAGAUGGCAGGAACUGCUGACUUUCAUCACUUUGAAGCUAAAGUUGAACAAGAAAAAAACUUACCUACUCCACUUGAAGGCAACAAAAUAGGGAGAGCUAUUGGACCAAAAGGUAUUUCUUCACCUUUAUUUGCUAGUGAUGUAAGUCGUUUUGCAACAGACCUAGACGAUGUUUAUGCCUCACAUUAUCUAGAAGACAGUCGCGGUGAUCAAUCUGCUAAAGUUCCAUCCAUUCUCAAAAUCCCUGGAAUUUACUCAGCCGGUCUUAGUUCUGCAUCAGCUCAAACAGCGGACUUUUCGAGACUGCUAGAAAUUCUUUUAAACGUCAAGAAACAACAAUAUGCUCUGGGAUAUGAGAUGCAAGAUCUCAAGAAUGCUUUUAAGGCCACUUCAGUGUCUCUACACGACCAGUUACAAGCUCUGAAGACUCAAGUUCAGUCUACUAUGCAAGGUGAAGAUUUUUAGUCACUAAAGCAGAAUUUUGAAUGGCUUGAGAGGACAGUGCAUUCUAUGGGAGAAUUCGAACUUGUUUACCUUCCCAAAAAACCAUGAUUUUGACUCAUUUUUCAACCAACUUUUUUUCAUUUUUCCUCCACUUUUUGCUAUUGACAAAAAGUGGGAGAGGUUUUAUGCAGAUUUGAUGUUUUUUUUUAUUACUAUUUUGGACUUUAUCCUUUGUCUGGUGUGAUUAUGACUUGGACUAGUUUGAACUGACAAUGCUUGCAAGUAACUUAAGCUAUGUUAUUGAUAACGAUGGUUGCUCUUACAGGACUAACUUAUUUUCUGUGGUUGCAGAAUUGCUACUGUCCUCACCCUAAUCCAAUUAUCCUUUAUAAGAAAUCUUGAUUUGCUUAAGUGUUGUUUUGCAGGGCAAUGUGUCCAAAUCUGCAGGAAAGUUUUGUCACCAUCAAAAAGAGGGAGAUUGUUCGAGAAAACUUCCUUAUCUGUUUUGAAGUUGACAAAAUGUUUCCAUCAGUCUAGUCUAAAGACUUGCAGACUCUAUCGUCAAAGUCUGAAGACCUCCAGACUCAAGAUUUAAAGUCUGCCCUCAUUGAUAGUUUCCAGACCGACGAAAUGAAGUAUUAUCCAUUGAAGAAGACUUAUCCAGAUGCGAGUAUAUCUUUAAGGAUUUGGUUUGUGCAGUUGAAGAAGAUCUCACAGCUGGAGAUUGCACCUCGAGAUCUAUUAUUCGUAUUGAAAUUAAUUCGAGUAUGUUAGAUCCGUUGAUUGGCAAAAUAUACUUUGAAUGUUCUACUUAUGGAAACCUAGAUCCUGAUUAUAUGAGCGAGCAGGAUUGGUAGGCUAUCAUCACAUUCUUUAAAUAACUUGAGAUCUUCCUAAUUGAUUAUGUCGAACGGGUUGAUUGGAAGAACUCCUUUGGAAUGUGUCAACGGUUAUAAAGAUGUGAAGGAGUAUAUAAGAAGGAUGCUCAAGUUAUUCGAGUGUGUGCGUGAAAGAAAAAUUCCAAAGUCUGAAGCUUUCAGUUCUUCAUUAUUUCAACUGUUGAAGCUUUUCUUGUAUUCAAAAGAGAUAUUAAAUACUUGUAAGACCUUGAGGAAGUGUAAUAGAGUCUCUACACUAUGAAAUCAAGGACGUGAGACUGUAAAAUCUCUUUUGAUUCAUAGUGGAAUCCAGCCGGUGGGCUGUUAGUGCGGAAGAGUGGACAUAGGCUUGGUCUAAGCCAAACUACUAUAAACUUUAUGUCUUAAUUCUCUUUCCCUUAUCUCCUUACUUUAAAAUUGCAACUUUAUACUUCUUCCUUUAGUUUUGUACACCUUCAGCUUAUUACGCUUAAAAAUUAAUUUUGUUAAAGAAUCACAAAAAUUUCUUUGAUCACCUAUUCACCCCCCCUCUAAGUGUUCGUACUAGCCCUAUCACUAAUCACCUAACAUGCAUCGAUAAAGUACUAAAUUAAUUAUUCUAAUCUAAUCUAUCCAUCUAAUCACACUUAAUUAAAUCUAAUUAACCCCUAAGCAUCAUUAGUCUAUUAAGAAAGGAUUAGUGAGUUAAACUCACUUAUUCGGCGAGCCAGUCGAUUCAAAUCGAUGGGGACGCAACGGGGCUUGAUUCUUCCUAAGGUGGGCCUAGCUUUCGGGGCCAGAAAUCAGCCAAAACGAGCCUACAAGCUGCUGGAAUACCCACUGCUUUGCUCUUUAUUUUGGGCUGCAAAAGAAGAAAACAAAGGCUGGUUCGGCUUCUGCUUCUGCUUCUGCUUCUGCUUGCUGGAUAGAGGAGAACCAACUGUUGAACGACAAGGAAACGGGUUGACUGGAGCUCCGGCGAGCAAGUGGUCAGCAAUCAGUGGCUCCCGGGGGUCAAGGGGGGCUUGAUGGUGGUUGGUAUGGGUGGAGGUAGGGUCGAAAUGGGGAGAAAACGGCUGAAAGUUGCGAAACAAUGUAGGCGGGUGGCUUCCAGAUGAUCCGGCAACCGGUUUCUUCUCGCCGGCGUAUAGGACGGCCGGCGGCUCUGUUUGGUGCGAGGUCGGGCUCCUUUGAACGAUUUGGAUGUGCUGAGAACAACGGUGGGUGGCAUGAAGGCUAAUUCGUUCGAGAAGAUCACUUUUCACUCGGAUCUUUAGCGAAAGGUCGACUGGAGCAGAAACUGGCAGAAGAGAAAACAGAGGAGGAAUAAGGUCCUGCGGUGGUUCCAGCGUACGUGCGACGGCCAAGGGGGAUGAGAUGGAGUUUUCUCUAGUUCUUUGAAGCUUCAAAAGUCACUCAACCAUGGAGAAAGCAAGUGGAUUGAGGAAGAAGAAAGCUGCUACAAGAAGGGGGCUACUUGGUCACAUAUUCUCCUCAUUUGUACCCUUGACCCUAUCCCCUUUGUAUGGCUGGAUUCCACCUGUAAUUUCCAGCCUUAAUUUCCUUCUAGAAGGCCUUUGAAAUGGUCCAUAAGUUGUGGUGGUGGGGGGCAUACGAAUUUUCCUCGGUUUCCUCUCCAUUGGUUACUUAAUCUUGCUUAAUUCCACAUAAUUCGGCCUCAAUAAAUUCAAUCGACACCUCACCGAUCCAAUUGGUAUUUUUCCUCACCAAUUGAUCCCACUUACUUCCCAAUUUCGUAAUAAAAAACGAUCCCCGACAAUUUAUGGACAAAAACGACCCUAUGAUGACUUUUUCUCAAAAAGUCUCGGGUUAUAGAAAAAAUCUUUUGAGACUAAGUCAAUGUUCCUAAAAUUUAUUCUAACACGACAAAACCUUAAAUUUCUAAAAUCGGAUUCAAAUUCAUGAUUAAUUUCAAUCCGAUGCGUUUUUUGCAUGACCUAGGUUACCGGGUAGCUUUCAUAACUUUUUAGUGCAAAUAACCCGUGGUCGAUUUUUUUUCGAGCCACAAUGGGCCCCUUCGACACAUUAGCGAUUUUUGGUUGUCGUGAAAAUCCUGAGGUUUUGAAUACAUACACAUGGUACCAACAUGACAAAAAAAAUCAAACUAGCACCGAUCGAUGAGAAUUUUGCAAUUUAGUGGGAUCGCCCACAUUUAACCACUCAUCUUAGUCGAACCGACCUACUCUGAUCUCUAAUCGAUUUACGUCUGUGCCAUAAUGAUAUCGACAAAUGAACACGGUUGAGCAGCCAAUUCCUAAUCGAAUCCUCAGAUUUAUUUGCCUUAAAAUCCUUAAUGGCUUCCCCAUAUAGUCUAGUUAUCUCAUGAGUGGCUAUCUUAGAGAAAAGCACUAUAGUCGCGUUGAUGAAAGGCCCGACUUAUCUAAUUGAAAUCAGAAUCUGAAAUUUAGAAUGUCAUACCUUGUGACUUAGGUGAUCCUCGUAUCGAUUAAGACUUAGAACUAGCCGCUUCAAUGUCGAUCCAAGAUCAUGCGGCCUUCGGCGAUCCUCGCAUCGAAUGAGACUUGGAACUGGCAUGCUUUGAUACCAAUCCAAGGCCUCGUGGCCUUGAGUGAUCUUGCCCUUGUUGGACCUAACCCAAGCGAACCUUGACCUUAUUCCAAGCGUGAACAUUUCAAACACACAUUCAAGCACCAACAUGAGAAAACCAAACUAAGGAUCUUACAUCUACCAUGGCUUGAAUGGGUGAGCACCUAACCAAACUGUUGACAACUAAAUUUUGCCGUUUUAUUUAAGACUUAAUAGCAUUAAAGGUUAGGAAUUAGUCAAAAAAUUUAUUAUGAAAAAAUAAUUAAAAAUUAUUUAUUUAAAAAAAAAAAGUCAGGUCAGGCUGGACCCGGCCCGCCUACCUUCAUUUUCUUUUCCCUUGCGGCCCAGCCUUCUUACCCCGCGGCCUAGCCUCCUCCCCCUGUUGGCUCGGCCCGCACCCCAUCAUCCCCCUUCAGCUGGUCUUCGCUGCAGGACCUGCAAAAACAGAAAACAGAGCAACAAAAGGAGCAUCGAUGAAGGAGCAGGCGGAUCGGGAUGGCAGGUGGCUAGCUUGAUCCACGGGUCGGGAUCAACCUGGUUAGCAGCUGGCAUGGUAGGACGAUGACCUGUAGAAGGAAAAUGGAAUAAGAGGGGGGAGCACGAAAUAGAGAAAAAAAACACAGAGGGAGAGUAAAGAGAGAGAGGGAGAGGGAGAGAGAUCGAGAGGAGCAGGAGCCUCCGGGCCACCACCACCAUCACUGACAAGCCACCCAAUUGACGUUGUUCGCCGCCGUCUUCCCUGGAACCCAGAUCUGAAGUGGACGGAGAAAGAGGAGGAACAUAGCACGGGCAACACAGAUAGCGAGAGGGAGAGAGUGACAGGAGGGGGCCACCGGCCUCCUCAUGCCACCGCCGUUCCACUUGAGUCAGCCGUCGUCCCACCAGCCGCUAGAAGUCCUCCUCGCCUGCAAGCUCGCACCAUCGCUUCACCUGCGAUCUCGUGUCACCACUGUGCCAGCGUCGCCUAAUGCUAGCAAUCAAGCCAUCGUCUCUGCCAGGCAGUAGCCCGCCCUUGCCUCUACUCAUCUGCUAGUCUCUGCCGUGACCUGCAGCUGCCGAGCUUCUGCUCGCCGCCUCCAAACACCACCAUCGCGAUGCCCGACCGCUUCUAUCACUAACCGCUCACCACUUCAAAAUGCCGACGCCUGCUGCCGCCACGACCCAACGCCUCCGUCCUUGCGCGUCUACCCGAGUACCAGAUCCUGAGUCCCUGCGACACCGCCUUUGUUCCUGUCGCUGUAGCACCUGUGUCGCGCAAAAACCGUCGUGCCAGCUCGCCCAAGCAUCGUCACCCCUCGCUACCUGCCACCAUCGCCGCUGUCAAUGUAGAGCCCCUAGAGAAGAAGGUUAGAAGCUGGGUCAAAGCUAGGUUGGAUCCGGGUAAGGUUUUCUUAGGAAUCGAGUCACGAUUUAGGAGCUGGGUUGAGUGCAAAUCAAGGUCGAGUUUAGGCUUGUGGGCCGAUUUAGGUCGCGGACCUGCGUGGGUUCAUUUUCUGCGUGGGGGGAAGUAGAGAUUGGGCCCAAUCCAGCUGCAUGAAGGCCCCACCAAGGUUGGUUAGGCCUUAUAUUUUGGGCCGGCCGAUCGGCCCGACCCCUUGUCAGGCCGAACCCGGGCAGGUCUGACCGACUCGCCUCAAUCGAGUCAAACCGAACUAGACCCGGUCUGGACAAGAAAAAAUUAUUUAAAUAUUUGUUUCUAAAAAAAAUUAGAAAAUUCAAAAAUUCAAAAAAAUUUAAAAUUUAAAAAAUGAUGGGGUUUGGUUAGAAAUUGUUAUAUUUUUCCUUCUUAGUGUAAUUAGGCUUUUACUUGCUCGUAUUUUGAUUAUAUCGUAUGUUUAAUUUGCAUAUCUAAUUAUGUUUAAUUGCACGUGUUUAAUUUUACCGCAAUUAGGAUCUUGGUAGCUAUGAUUGUUACUUUAAUGAUUAUGCACCUGCAUGAUCACCUCAUAUGUUAGUGGAUAUGUAUAAAAUCAAUUCAAACUGCUUGACAAAAAUUCUUUCUUUUAAAAUGAACAAGAUUAUGUACCGAAAUGGUGCUAAUUGGUUAAUUAGUGUAAUAAAGUCUCCAACCCUAGAUUCUCUGGUUAAUUAGAUACUCCCAUACCUCACUUGGUUUCUAGCCGACCCCAAUAGGUUAGUAGCGACUCCUUUUUGUGAAAUUCCUAAAAAUAUCACAAUGUCAUGUAAGGUAUGGUUUUGGGAGAGCUCGUGCCUAAUCAUGAGCAAUCAUGGGCUAUAGGCCCAACCUUUAGGCAAUACCCUUAAAUCUGUUCCCUCCCCCCGAAGGGUAAGUCGCGACAGCUUGGCGACUCCGCUAGGGACUUGGUUUUAAACCUUAGAGGACUUAGGCCAAAAUUAAUCUUGUUUAAAAAUAUUUUUGUUUGGCAGUGAGGAUUCCAAGUAUGCCCCUAAAAUUAAAAAUGUUAAAUGUUCUUGUAGAAUGAGAGAUAUAAGGAGAAGUGUUUGCUCACCUUUGUCUUGUAGGGAGGUGUAGGAAUGUAUGGUUUAUUUUUUUAUGUACGAAGUGUUGUUUGCCUAUAAAUUGUUGUGCAUGUAUCCUUUGCAUUGCACUACACCCUAGCACACACAAACUGUCGCCGAACCUAAGCCGCAUAUGAUUUCUUAGGAUGGUGUUGAGGUGGAUACCACUCCGACUAUAACCAUGUAGUACGAGUCACCCAUCUCAACCCCGAAAUUUCUUUCUUGAUGUCAAAGGUCCCAACCCUGGUCUGCAACCGCGUGACACGGGUCAGUUCUUUGAUGAAGUCCGAGUCAUGGGUAACACGACCUAGCCGCGAUCUUAUUGGUUCAGUCCGAUGAUCCUAUGGCUUCAUUUUGAGCUGGAUAGAGUAAAAAUCGAACCACAUCCCAUAUGUAUGUCUAUGUAAUUGAAAAAAAAAAAAAAGAGACAAAGGUCGGCACCCAUUGUAAGUAUCAUUUUCCUUUUUAUUUGUUCAUUUUGUAUUGAACUUCCAUUUUGAAAUUCAUGGACAUCAAUUGAUUGCCCUCGAUGCUAUAGGCUUAUAAUUGAAAAAAUUAGCAAUCACUUUUGAUAAGUGAACAUUGAAUGCAAGUUCUAAACACUUUGAUUUGGCCUCGUUGAACACAUGGUUUUGUUUAAAUUUCUAGUUAUGGGCUCGAAAUCAUUUUGAAAAAAAAAACAAAAACAAAAACGAACUUUCAAGUUGUGAAUUUAUAUUGGGGCACAAAAAUUGAAAUUGCUUUUUUUUUUGUCAAAUUCUCUCAUUCUCACAUUUUGGGACUAAAAUGCAAAUCAUUUUGUGUACAAAUUUCUCAAAAUAGAAGUCACUUCAUUUUUCUAGGAGUAAAAUCACAAAUCAAUCUUUCAAAAAUCAAUGACACUUUUGCAUACAAAACUUUUGGAAUAAAAGUGGACAUUUGAUUGAUGACCGUGGAUUGAUUAUUUUAAUGAUGUUGUAUCUUAUGAUAAAAUCUUAGCGAAAUACUAAACCUCCGUAAUAAGGACUGUGGGGCAUGUAUUGUCGCCUCGAUUUUAUUGUAAGAAGCGACCUCAUUGAGAUAUCAUUUUCUCUCAUUCACGUACUGCACGAUGCUACUUGACAUUCUCGUGGUGACCACAUAAAAAAGUGAAUUCUAGAGCUAGGACAAGAGUUGAUUUUUACUUUCAUCUAUACAAGAGUUUCUUGUAUUUUAUCAUUGUAUUUAUUCUUGUUAAGAAUCUUGUUUUCCAUUUUGGGUUUUGAUUGUUAAUCCAAUUGAUACUUUCAUAAAUCAUGCGACUCAUUUUUUUUUAUGAUGGAAUUCAAUUUCGUGAAAAUCACCCAAAAAAAAAACACACAAAAAAAAAACGAAUUCGGAAGUGUUUCAAGCGAAUCUUUACGUCUACCUUCCAAAAUGAAUGACCAUAAAGCUUUGCUUAAGACCCUCUCUUCGCAUGGUCUCUUUCUUGGGUAGAAUGAGGAGUUUAUUUGAGAUCGGCAUCAGCCCUUCUAAAAGAUAAAAUUGUAGGCUCAUGGAACUUGAGGAGUAAGGAUGCGUUGAGGCAUCGUUAGCGCCAAUUUUCCAUAGAGGUGGAACGAAGUUGAAUUUUGUUCUGGGAAGUUUCGUUAUUCGCAAAUACCUUAGGUGCCAAAAUAGCCCAUCGAUCUCGUUCACUUUGCAUAAUGAGACGAAUGAAGGGAGUUGCCAAGUAUCCAAAAGGGCGAAUUUGAAUGAAGAGUAAACUGUAUCGAUUCCAAUUAUCCAUCUCUGAUACCAUUUCUAACAUGAUUUUCUUUUCAUUGUCAAUGAGACAUCAACAGUACCAAAUUUUGUAACGUUCCAACAAACACGAUGGAGCAUUAUUGAGUCAUGUUUAUCUUAAACAAAUAAAUAUUCAAAUGAUGAAACAGAGGAGCAAUAUUAUCCCUUCCUCCAUGAGAGAUACCUUGGGGAUGUUGAUCACUCGACUUUGAAAAUGAUGUAUCUCGUUCCUAAACUUGAUUAUCUUCAACAUAAAAAAUGACAUGUCAUUUUCCUUGGUACAAGACAAACUUCAACAAAACAAAGGUUUGUCAAAUGAAGAGUGGGAGAAUAACGUUUGAUUUGGAGAAAAAUCUCUCCUUCCCCCACCAAUGAAGUGUGCUAGAACAAUAUUGUCAAAUUCAUCAAGAAAGAAUGUAUCGUUCCUCAAUUGAACCUAAUUAAGUAUGAAGAUAACCCGUUUCAUCUCCUCUUCUUAUAGGGUGAUAAAUGAAAAAAAAAAAAAAGUUGUACCUUGAUCGUAGAAGCAACGCCUUCUACCAAGGAAUCAGGAAAACAUCAAACACUUAAAGGCAAAUGCAAGGAAAGGGUAUUGUCAAGUUACCAAAUAUCCAUGAAGGUGAAUCCAAGAAAUGUUAGCGCCCGAAGGAUGAAAGUGAAUGAAGGGUAAUAAUGUAUCGUUUCCAACAUUUCAAUCCCUAAAGAUUUUUGCACUAACAUAUUAUUUCACAUUCAUUCUUGGGUUACCAAGUCACCAUGACGCAAGUAAGUACCCUUCUUCUCAAUUUUUUUAAAGAGAAAAAGAAAAAAAAAAUGGAGAAUUUCCAUUACAAAAAAAAAAAAAAAACUUUGGCACUUUCUUAGAGACAAGCACAAAAAUGAAUAAUUGAACAAAACUUUCUAUAAAAAAUUUUAGCAUCAUUUUUAUCUCAAAAUAGAGACGGUAACAAUACUUCGAUUGAGGCUGGGACGGGAGCCAAUUUGCCUUGGAUGGAAUCUAUCUGCUUUGAGAGUUGUUGAAGCACAUUGAAGAUUUGCUUCAUUUCACUUUCCAUAAUCUCAACACGGCUUGGUACAUUUUCUUCGGCCAUUCUAGCUUUUGGAUUUGGUGAAUACGACUAUGAUGUGAUUACCUAUCAACACAGAAAAUGGAGAAAACGUAAAUGAGGGAAACACAUGAAAAACUGGCUCAUGGCAAGGGUCGAGUCAUUCUUAUUUAUUAACAGGAGAUUUAUACAAUGCUAAAAAGGGCUUUUUACACCAGUUAGAACGACCCUAGAUAUUCACAUUAGAAAUAUUCACAUCAAAGGUCCCGCUGCCCAUUUUUAUAUGUGAUGGGAAGCUCCAGUCUUGUGAAGCCUCUUGCUUCUUCGUACUAGCUUCGAUACGUGUCUCUUGCUUGUCUCCAAGCUCUUUUCAAGAGAUUUGAUUCGCCCUUGCAGGGUAAGUUUAUCAACUACAUCGGGGAUUACUGGUUGCAGCUCCUUGGGAAUUAUAUGGUUGAGGAUGUAGAAUACUGAUGCAUGAUGAACUUUUUCUUGUCCUUUUAACCUUCUGGGCACGACGAUCUUUUCAAUGUGACAUCUACUCCAUGCGUUCUGAAUUAUGCGAAUCUCCUCCAAGUAGUUGUAGUCUGUACGGGUGAAAAAGAUUCGGAACAAUCCUGAUUUGAGCGGUGGCGGGAUUUCUUGGAGGACCCUGUACUAACGAGCCACCCUAUAUGGAUAAUAUGAGGUAGCUCCAAAGAGGCCAAGCAACGGGAUGGGGUUGUAAUAAUUAAGCGCAAAGCGCGCCUCUCCUGCAAUGAACCAUUUAGCUCGCCAUAGGAAUGUCUCAGGGACCGGGUUUUUUAGCAAGUUAAUCCACCGAGAAUACUCUUCAUUGGGAGAAUAUUUUUCCAAGGUUUGAAACUUUUGUAAUGGGUGUUUAAACUCGUUGAUUUCAAAUAUUUGCAUGAGGUGCCCAAAUCCUUUGAUAUGGGAAAAGAACCACAUUUGUAAAAUUUCUGGAGCGGCCCUCAUGAUUUUUUUUCUUUUUUUUCUUUAAAACGAUUAAGGGAUAAAAACGUUUCGGCUAAAACCAUGUUCACAUAUCCUACUCCAAAAAUGACUUGAUUUAUCACCCAUGUGAUUGAAGGAUUUAUAGCAUUCUUUCGAUGGGGAAAGAUAAUAAAACCAAAGAAUGUUAAGAGGAAGAUCUUGGCUUUUUGGGUCAUUGAUUGUUUUUCAAAGCAUUCAGUUAAAGAUGAUAGCGGAAAAGCAUUGUUGUUGGCUUGAACAAUUUCUCUUGUCGAAUGAUUUUUUAGAAACCGUGAUAAACUAACCACAGGGUCAAUGCCGAUUGGUGGUUUGGCAAGCUCGCUUCCCAGGGGCAUUCCUAUGGCGAGACUGUACUCUUCUAAAGUCGGAGUCAGUUCAAAUUUGCCGAACAUGAAGGUGGAUGUUUCAGGGCACCAGAAAUGUGGUAGUGCUUGCAUGACCCCAGAGUGGAUAUUGAUUUGGAACAAUGGGAGGAGAUGACCGAUUCUUGCUUCGACGCACUCUUGGCCGAGCUGAUCUAACUGUUUCCACCAUCUGAGAAGCUCUCCCUUUGGGGUAGGAAUGAAUUGGAUAUCAAAUCUUCCCAUCGCAUAUAAGAAAGGGAAAUACACAACCUGACCCUAUUUUGCCAUAAGCUAGAAAAGACUGAGUAAAAGUAAAUAAAUCACUUUGCUUUUAAAGAAAAUGGCAAGCACAAAGACAUGCAGAUGAGACGUGUGAUUUCUAACUGAGAAGGUUUGGUGAGAUUAAAAGGAUAUCCACCCAUCGCAGUCUCGCGUUAGCAGCAUACCCUCCUAAUCUUGGCUAAGAAAUUCGGGGAAAAGAAAUGCAACCUCUACAUCGCAGUCUUGCGUUCGAGGUCGUAUCUUUCUUAACACCAUCCUAGAAAUCCUAUGGCGGCCCAGGUCCGGCGGUCGGGUUGUGUGUGCCAUGUGUAGUGUUUAAAAUAGUAAAGCAUGCACAACAGUUUAUCAUCACAAGAUAAUCUAUUUUAAGCAAAAUUAAAAUAAAUUUCUAAGCUUUUGACCUGCAUAAAGAAAAAACAUAAGUCAGUAAAGAAUUUAAACAAGACAAAAAAUGGCCUAAGUCCUCAAAAAUGGUCCCCAGCAGAGUCGCCAAGCUAUCGCGACCUCUUUUUUUCUAGCGUCCGCGAUCGGGUACAAGCGCCUUGUGGAGGCUAAUGGCUCGGCUGAAAUUAGUUAAGCCCGGACUCUCCUAAGUCCACCAAUUCACGACUUUAAUAGUUUAAAUUUUUAACCUGUAAAUUAAUUUUAAAACGGAGUCGCCACUAAUCGGUUUGGGGUGGGUCGAUUAGAAACCCAAGCGAAGUAUCGAGAGAAAUACUUGCUCCUACGCAACCAGAGAAAUUAGAAUCGGGGACUUGAUUACACUAGUUAAUCACCAAUGCCCUUUCGAUACCUAAUCUUGUUUAAACCCUGAGGUUUUUUGGAUGUUCGAGGGAUUUUCCAUGCAUUUUUGGGAGGAAAAACAUUUUUCGAGCGUUUUUCUAAUUUUUUUGACACAAAAGGGAUUUUUUUUUCUUGGACUUUUUUGGUAUUUUUGGAAAAAUACAAGUCUUUUUGGCUUUUUCUGAAUUUUUGGCUUUUUCAUGAAUUUUUGGCUUUUUUUUUGGCAUUUUUUGGAAAAUAUGGGAUAUUUUUUAUUUUUUUUCGAUUUUUCGGAAAAUAAAAUAUUUUUUUAUAUUUUUCAACAUUUUUGGAAAAUAAAUUAUUUUUGAUUUUUCUCAAAUUUUUUUGGAAAAUAAAACAUUUUUUAACAUUUUUAAAACAUUUUUCGGUUUUUUGGAAAUUAAAAUAUUUUUUAUUAUUUUUCCGAAAAUAAAUUAUUAUUAUUUUUGGAAAAUAUUUAUUUAUUAUUUAUUUAUUUAAAUAUCAUUUAAAAUAAAAUUUAAAAAGCCGACCCGAGUCGGAUCCGUGGGUUGGGUUUGACCCGAGCCGGCGACUCAGAUUUUUUUUGUCUUUUUUUUUUAUUAAUCGAAACGGCGUCGUGGCCGGGCGUUUGGGGACACCCGGCCCGGCCCGACGACCCGCUCCACGACCCAGCUCCCAACGGAAACCCUUCCCGACCCGGCUCCAGCUCGCAACCCGACUUUCGCCGCCCCCAGAUCUCGCGAAACCCUACCCAGUUCCGAGACCCGGAUCCGACUCGAUGACCCAGAAAAUCGCAAACCCUAGGGUUUGCGAAUCCACGGCACUAGGGGGGAACCGAGGUGUUUGGCGGCGACGGUGACUACGGCGGCGACGACGAAGGCGACAACGGCGACGGCGACGACGGCUAGGUUAACGGAAAACGGCUACAAUGAAUGGCAACGGUAAUGGCAAUGCUUUUUUUUUUUUUACCUUCUCUCGAACAGGGACGGCGAUGGCAACAAUGGCGGGAACUUAGGGCGCGUUUGGUAACGAUUUUGUUCCCAGGAGCUGAUUCUGACCAGAAAUGAUUAUUUUUUAUUCUGUUCCCGGGAACUAAUUCUGAGUAAAAAAACGUGUUUGGUAACUAUCCAAAAUUUUUUAUUCUGGAAUAGAAUUGCGUUUGAUACUGUGUUAAUUGAUUCUGUUCCAAAUUAAUUUAUUUUAAUUUUUAAAUAAUUUUUAAAUAAUUUUUUUACUUUUUUACUUUUUUCUUUUCUUUUUUCCUUUUUUUUUUUCUUUUUUGCCCUUUUUUCCUAUUCUUCUUCUUCAUAUGGCCGGUCGCCGGCCCUCGGCGAGGUCGGCCUUCGUCGGCCAAGCCUCGCUGGCAGCUGGGCGAGGCUCGCCUAGCCUCGCCGAGCCUUGCUGGUGGCCAGGCUGGCCUCGCCCAGCCUCGGCGAGGCCAGCUUGGCCACUGGCAGGGCUAGGCAAGCCUCGCCGGUGGCCAGGCAAGCUUCACCGGCAGCUGGGCAAAGCUCGCCCAGCCACCGGCGAGGCUCGCCCAGUCCCGCCGGUGGCCAGGCCGGCCACCGGUCGACGAAGGGGCUCGGUCGCCAGCCUCCGGCUUACCCACCAGUUCCGCUCGGCUGAACCAGUGUCCCAUCGAGCUUUCCAGCGAAGCUCGCUCAGCAUUAAUGGUGCCUGAGAUCUUAUCCCCUCCGGCCGACGUCGGCCUACUCUCCUCGACCGUAGGCCAUCCUUCGCGCGUCGGCUUCCCUCGCGCGCGUCAGUUGCAGCGGCGAAGGAGAGGGAAGAAAGAAGAAGAAGAGAGAAAAGGGCCGGGCCGAGGGGUGAAGAAGAGGAAAGUGGGCCUAAGGGCUGUGCGAAAGGAAAGGGGAGCUGGGCCUUGGCUGCUGCUUCUGUUUUCUUUUUGUUUUGUUUUUGCUCGUUUUCUUUUUAUUAUCUUAUUUAUCCGAAAAACAAAAUAAAAUAAAAUAAAAACUUAAUUAAUAAAAUAAAAUAAGCUUAAAUAAAAUUAAGGCGUCAACAAUGAGAUUUAGGAAAAAAAAAAUAGAAAUAAGAUUUUGAGUAGUUUUACUAGAUUAUAGUGUUAAUUUUAGUUUAGAAUUAGUUUAACCUAAAAAAAAUGCGAAUCUUUUGAUGAAAAUUGGAUUCAAAAUUGGAUAAGCUUCUAGGGCUUUACUAUAUGGAUUUUUAAAUACCAUUUUCUUUUAGAGACAAUACUAGGUCAUGAAAGUUUGGUGACUCCGGUAUUCUUCUUUUAAGAUUCUAUUGGAGACAUCCUUUAAGAUCAUCUACAAUUUUGUUUUAAUAGAAAAUUAGAUGGCUUUGAACAAAUGUUUUGCAUUACAAUUUGUCUUGUGUUAUAGCAGUCGAACAAUCUAUGCUCCAUGAAUUUUUUAUGUCAUUUGCUUGAAGAUUUGAUGAGUUUGUGCAAAUAAGCACACCAAAGAUCACUUCCAUCCUCAAUUGUUCCGCCAUUGCCCAUUUUAUCAAGCAACGUUGGCUCUUCUUCUUAUAGUUAAAAAGGUUUAAAAGGGCUAUCCAUUUAUUUAUUAUAAUGCCCAAAGAUUUACCAUCAACAUCCUCACAUUAUGAAUUAUAAACCAGCAGAACUCUUUGUUGUCAUUUCCAACCAUUCAUUUUUUAUUCAUUAUUAUGUUAGAUUUUCUAAGAGCAUUUUGGAAUAUUUUGGUCAAUUAAAUUCUUACAAAAGUCUAGUUUUAUUUAAACAUUAAUUUUUAGGUCUCCACUAACAUUUUUAUAAUUAAAUGAAAAACAUUGAGAAUAUAAAUUUUUAGGGUCGUACCAAACACAUUUAUGUUUGUUUUCUAGUCUGAGAAAAAAAAGUAUUCAGUUAUCAAAAGAAUUCUUAUAUUAAGAAACUUAUUCAGGGAAUAAAAAUGAAAACAAUUUUUUUCUAAAUAAAAAUUAUUUCCGAAAAUAAAAAUGUUAUCAAAUGCAUCCUUAUUGGAUGAGCUAAAGCAAGAUCCAAUGGAUUUAUACAAUCUAACAUUAACAUGGGCUUGAUAGUCAGCACGUAAACACAUUAAGAAUGCAAAGGAAAAGAAUGGAUUUCAAUAACCAAUAGAGUAAAAGGAUUUGAAAGGAAUGAGUUAGAAUGUUAUUGGAAUGUAAACGGGGGAAAAGCAAUGAAAAGAACGCGUAUAGAGAUGAAUUUCUUUAUAAAUGAAAAACUUUAAUAAUCCCUUCCGAUCUAUUCUCUCAAUUUUGACGAGAUUGUGAUUUUAGAAUAAUUUCUUUACCUCUUAGUCCAUCCAAUCGAACUAUAUGUUUGACAAAAUACUUCAAAUCAGGAAGCCGAACCGUCUGUCCAAUUGGUGCCCUAUUGAAAAAUUUUCUUAAGGAUGAGAUUACAAAACAAGAUAGGCCUGAUCAUCGGUUGGAUGCAGUGAUACAUGACCCGUAUAUUUGGUCAAUCACAUUCAUUCCCAAAAGGGAAAAAGCCAUAAAAAAAAAACUUUAAAUUAUACUCAACGUGACAUUUAUUCCGAACCCUUUUUUUUUUUUCUUGUAACAUAAAAAACCCUAAACUAUUUUAACUGAGGCAUAUAUAUCCUUUGUCAAUAUUUUGUUAAAUGAAUUUUCAGCCAAAAUAACGUGAUUUUUAUUUUACUUAAGUCAUGUGGACUAGGAGCGAACAUGGUUUCAAGGUAAAACCUGAAACCUGAGAACUAGACCGGUGGGAACUUAUCUAGUUCUAGGUUUCAAGAUCCAAAAUAUGCAAGGUAGGUUUCAAAUUGUAAAAAUUAAAGAUCUCAUUUUGAUAGGUAGGUUCCAAGUUCUCGAUUAGCGAAACUUCAAACCUAAAACCUGUAACCUAGAACUUGGAAUAAAUUUUUGUGUUUUCCUUGAUUUAUGUCUUUGCACAAUCUUACGAUGUCCUAUAACGUUCAAUGAUAAGUGUACAAUUUGGAACUACUAUAUAAUUUUUUAUUUUAUAAAUUAGACUUUUAUUUUAUUAAUACUUGACAUUUUUCAAAUGUCUAAAUAUAAGUUAGUGUCAAUAAAUUGUAGUAGCAAGUAAUGAUUAUUAAAUAUGAUAAUUCACUAUAAUCGUGUAAUUGAUAAUAUAGGUGGAAUUUGGGUGGACCCUAGAAUUGAUUUUAACCUAUAACAUGGUAGGUUCAAAAUUUCUGGGUAUGUAGAGUAUGUUCUAGAUUCUAAAAAAUACACAACUGGUAAGUUUUAGGUUUCAGGUGAAAUUUGCACGGAAUUUUGAAUCGCUCACUCUUAAGAUGGGCACUAUUAAUAUUUACUUUUUGACGUCUCUAUAGGUAGUUUUUAAUGGUUUUUUUGACAGAAUUUUGGAAAAAGGUAAAUGUAUCACAAAUUUACAAUUUGAGACUUUUGGUGUCAUAGAAAUUUUUUUUAACUUAAACUAAAUAUGUCUGCAUAUAAUUUAAGAUUAUUAUUGUUUUUUUAGCUUUUGACCUUUCCCAAAAUGAAAAGUCCACGGCCACGACCACGACCACGACCCGGGCGGAAGGCACCAGUAGACUCAAGACAGCGUAGCGAUGGCAUCCCGCAAAAAAUGAGUCGCUCUCCAUGCGCCACGUUGCAAGAAUUUCGCUGAAAGUGAACCUUGACCAGACAACGGUCGAUGAAUCAAUGUUGCAAGAAUUCGCUGACGACACUCGAGUUCUUGUUUCCGACGUACUGUCUGAAGAAGCAAUGACACUUGGACUUGAGUUCUGGUUUCCUAUGUAAACCCGAUUAAGGGCCCCAGAAGAGCGGUCUUCUUCCUCCUCCCGUAAUCUCAAGCCACCCACUUCCGCUUUCACAUUCUGUUCCGAGCCGUCUCUCAUGGCGGGCGAAGGCAAAAUCGCCUGUCUCUUCAUCUUUUUCCUCUGUCUCCGCCCAUCUUCGGAGGCACAAACGUGGGUCAAGUCCGGUUACUUCUACGCCGGCAACGAAAUCCCGGUCUCAGACAUCGAUUCCUCUUUGUUCUCUCACCUCAUAUGCGCUUUUGCUUACAUCGACUCUUCGACCUAUCAGCUCUCCGUCAACUCCUCCACUGAGCAAUUCUUCUCCACCUUCACGAGCACCGUGAAACGCAAGAACCCUUCGAUCACCACGCUGCUAUCAGUGUGGGCAGCAGCGUGGGCAGGCCGAGAGGAUCCUUCAGCUUUCGUUUCGAUGCUCGGUGAGUCUUUUUCAAGAAGGUCCUUUAUCGAAUCUACGAUAGGAAAGGCAAGGCUUUAUGGGUUCAGUGGGGUUGAUCUCUGUGGGGUCCUGCCCAGUAGGAGCAUUAACAUGACCAAUUUGAGUGCCCUUUUGCGGGAGUGGAGAGAUGCUGUAGAUGAGGAAUCAAGAAAAUCUGGGAAACCUCCGUUGCUGCUAGUAAUGGCCGUGUAUUGUCAACCCAUUUUUAACUCCGUGAGUUACCCACUUGACUCAAUUCAGAGAAAUUUGGAUUGGGUUCACCUAAAUGCGUAUGAUUACCAUCUCCCCACCAGGGAAAGAUUUGCGCUCCCUCACGCAGCUUUAUUUGACCCAGCAAGCCAGAACAACACAGACUUCUGCAUAACUUGGUUGCUGACUAGACGAUUUCCUGCAAGAAAGCUGGUUCUGGGCUUGCCCUACCAUGGCUAUGCUUGGCAGCUUC
Molecule: long non-coding RNA, 155283 nt
Filed under: Eucalyptus grandis
Lineage: Eukaryota; Viridiplantae; Streptophyta; Magnoliopsida; Myrtales; Myrtaceae
Description: long non-coding RNA (EGRA_LNC001253)
Source: RNAcentral